AGAAGAAGAAGAAGAAGAUGGAUCCGGCGUUGGGGUGGGCUGCGAGAGACGCUUCCGGUGUUCUCUCUCCCUUUUCUUUUUCAAGAAGGUUCCCUGAUCCUCUCUCUCUCUCUCUCUCUCUCUCUCUCUCUCUCUCGAUCUUGAUCUGUUUUAGAUGGCUUGAGAUGAACAGGUUUCUUCCUGAAAGAAGAGCACCUGAACCCUUUUUCUUUCUCUGCUUUGUCUCGUUUCCUUUUCUUCUUUUUUUUUUUCUGUUUGAUGAUUCUAAGCUGAUCCAGAGGAAAAGAGUGUUGUUGCCAAUUGAGCGCUUGAUUACGUGAAGUGUUUCAUUCUUUUAUCUGUGACACAAACUCAUAAAUCACAUCCAAGGAGUUGCGCUGAUCUUCUGAUUGUUAUGUAGGCCCGGAGGGGAGGAUGAUGUUACUAUAAAGAUACUCUAUUGCGGGAUAUGCCACACCGAUCUUCACAUCAUUAAGAAUGACUGGGGGAAUGCCGCAUACCCUGUCGUCCCUGGGUACGCACGCAAAUGCUUUUAACUCUCUCUAUCUCUGUAUCGUUCGAUCGCUUGGCAUGUAUUCGUGUUGUUAGCCUUUCCCCUUCGUAUUAAUCAUUUUUCAAUCCUUAAAAAUAGUUAGAUCCGGUGAAACGGUCACGGUUAACUUCAUUAAACUAAGCAUUCGGCAUUGUUCGAGCACUUGGAACAUCUCAGGCUCAAAUGAUUGGCCGAUUUGCAAAGUCAAAGCACAAGAAGCUCAAGAUGUGAAAGCCCACAUCCAUAAGAGCGCGGCAAUUCGAGUAGGUGAUAGGAAAAGAGCUAGUCAGUGACCAAAAUUUAAUGAUAAGGAAAGAUCAAAGAACAAUUUUGUUUAGCACUGGACGAGCUUAAAAUAGCUUGCGUGAUGAAAACGGAUUCCUAUGAUGGAUUUGACGCAGUUCCUUUUAGGAUAAUAGAAUCUAGUGUUGAAUAAAGAUUGAGUUCAUGAGUUGAUUGAGUUGUUUCUUAGUCUAAAUUAUACUCAUUUUAGGUUUAAGUAUGAUUAGUAAGUUGUUACAAAUAGCCUUACUAGUUCAAUAAUGUUUACAUGGUUUCGAUGAUACUUCAAGUUCAAGAGACUCUUGUGGAGUGCCUCUGAUUCUUGAAGCUCAUUAUGGGUUUACAAUAUCAAGAGGAAUGUGUUGUUAUAAGGUGCCAUUGAGGAUAAAUGGAUCCAUUAUUAUCCACUAGAGGGGUGAAUGUCUCUGUGAACUAUGCUAGUAAACAGGGACUUUGUCAUAGUGUUUGCUAGUUUGAGUAUUUCUUGCUGUUGAAUUGAACCUUAUACAUGAUAUAUUUGUACAUCUAGAGAGAGUAAUACUUUGUGCACAGCAUUCUACGUGCGCGUGGUCUAUUGCUUUGUGAACUAGAAGACUAUGGGCAGUCGAAAGGGUCGGCGAGCCCACACCCCCAUUUUCACUUAUCAAAGCACCCAAUUUUUCUAUACUAACGUAGAAUAUUGUGGGUAUAGUAUAAUUAGAGAGACUUGGUGAGACGUGAGAGUCAAGUACCCAGAAUAAAGGCCUCUUAAUGCUAGUACAAUUGGUCGGGACAUUCACCCCUCUAGUGGGUAAUCACGAGUUCAUCUUUUAGUUACAUUUUGUGUUUCUUUACAGUACAAAUAUUAGAUGUAAACUGUAUUUCAGAGUGGAUGAGAAACCGAAAACCUCAUGAUAGUAAGAUACUAGAAUGACAUGGCUUAGCGAAAAUCCUGCGAGUUUCUUGUUGCUGCUACUGAAAGAUUAAGUUGCUACCAUUUCCCUGUUUACUUCCUAUUUGAGAUGAAUAGUACCAAAUAUUCAAAUGUGAGUGAAACUGAUGGCAGCAGCAAGAGCUUUGCUAUCCAAAACAAGAAAAUGCUUUCACUUGAAAAAAAAAAAGAAAAAAUCACUUGAUCUUGGUUUCUUCUUUUUCUGAGAUGUGCUUCUUAUUCACCUCGCUUUCUUUGUUGCAGGCACGAGAUAGUGGGGAUCGUGACUGGUGUGGGAUCCAAUGUAGACAAGUUUAAAGUUGGGGAGAAGGUUGGCGUGGGCUACAUGGUCGACUCAUGCCUUUCGUGUGACAGUUGCGAGCAGGAUUACGAAAACUAUUGCGACAAGGUCGUAAACACAUCAAAUGGCAUCUUCAGCGACGGUACAAAAACUUAUGGUGGAUUCUCUGAUGCAAUUGUUGUAAAAGAGCGUUUCGUGGUUCACAUACCAGAGAGCUUGCCUCUGGACAAGACUGCGCCGUUACUCUGUGCCGGGGUCACCGUAUACAGCCCGAUGAAGUAUUUUGGGCUCAACGAGUCAGGUAAGCAUUUAGGGGUGGUCGGUCUCGGCGGGCUUGGGCAUUUGGCUGUAAAGUUUGGCAAGGCCUUCGGGAUGAAAGUUACGGUGAUAAGCGGCUCGCCUAGCAAGGAGAAAGAAGCAAUUGAGCACUUGGGAGCUGAUUCAUUCUUGGUUAGCCGCAACCCUGAGCAAAUGCAGGUAAAGAAAGAAAGAUGAUUGAAUUUUUGUUCUACAUUCCAGUGCGAUUUUUGACAUGCUAAAGACCCUCUUAGGCUGCGAGAAGCACCAUGGAUGGUAUCAUCAAUACCGUCUCUGCCUUCCACCCAAUUUUGCCCUUGAUCUCCCUGCUGAAGGUACACGGAAAGAUGAUAAUGUUGGGUGGUCCAAAUAAGCCAUUGGAACUCUAUUCUUAUUCUCUAAUCCAAGGCAAGUACCAGACUCAUACCCUUUUGGUGUUUAUUUAGGAUCAGAGUUUGCAAAUAGUGAUAGAUAUAAAUCUUUGCUAGGUGGGAAGAUGGUGGCUGGGAGCUGCAUUGGAGGAAUGAAAGAUACUCAAGAAAUGAUUGAGUUUGCUGGGAAGCAUAACAUAACUGCAGAGGCGGAGGUUGUCGGAAUGGAAUACGUGAACACCGCGAUGGACCGACUUGCCGCUGGCGAUGUGAGAUAUCGAUUCGUAAUCGAUGUGGCGAACACUUUGGUUGCAACUUAACCAGUUGGAGUAGAGGAAUUUUAACUGGUAGAUGAGAUUAUGUCACGGACAUUGGACGCCGUUGACCAAUAAUGAUCAGUUGGAACACUGAGGUGCUUGAAUAAAUCAGUUACAGAAAUUUCAACCCUCUUCUUUCCCCUACUUUUUCUUUUAUGAGAGAGAAAACCUCAGCACUAGACUUUCUUCUGCAUAGGCCCAAUUGUCUAAAUUUAGCGAGUCAUAUACCUGAAAGUAGAGAACAAUUCAAUCCUUCAUUUAGAUCAAACCUUUAUAAGCAAUAAAAUGUAUGAAUUUUACAAAAAUAACAAAUGCUGAAAAGAAAAGCCAAGCCAUAUUUGUACAGCACUAACAACAAAAACCAGAACGAAAUAUUCAUCGAUAUCUAGUAACACAAUCGAAUAGGAGAGGAUGCACAUCAGCUCACCAAGCAAAGAGAACGCAGAUUCACAACCUUUCAAGCGACUGAUCCCCGAAUAGCUUCUUGAAGGAGCUGCAACACAUUCGAGGUUCUUUUAUGUUCAUAGCAGAACUGGAACAAUAAUUAUGCAUCAGUUCCCUUGAGGAUAUUAUACUUGCAAAGGGGGCAGAUCGCAUUUAUCCGAAGCCAUUUUACAAUGCAUGUGGAAUGGAAGUGAUGGUUGCAGGGAAAUGCAUGGAUCUCUACUCCAUCUUCAUAUGGCGUAAGACAUAUGCAACAUUCCUGAAAACAGGGAUUUGAAGAAGAGAAGAGCAGUGAGUUAGAGAAAAACCAACAUAAAAGUUCUCAGCUCAUCCUGAAAAGGAACAAGGGCCACCAGGCCGCCACUUUUCAGCGAUGUGGCCACUGUGAUAAGAAUACGGUCAUUGUUGCAAGUUGAACGUCUAAGGCACAAGACACAAUCAACGUGUUGUCGUACUUGCCCAGUAAGAAUUUCCUGUUCCCUCUAGGAAUAAGAAAUAAGUUUUUGUUUCUUUCAGGCAGCAUUACGAUAUAAAUGAUAACAUGCUGAAGCAUGAAUUCAAGAAGGAAAAAAAAAAAAAAAAUUGUGCACUUAUCAAAUAGGAACUUUCACUUGUUUAAGGGAAUACAUGCAGAUAUGAAUUUCGAAGUGUUACGUCAUUAAAAAAGGUAUUAUGAAAGAAACAACCAGAAACAAAGAAAGAAGCUACUCACGGCAUCCUCACGUGGCAGAAUGCGUUGCCUCCUUGAAGUUCCAGUGCUGUCAGGAAUGGGAAUCAUCACUCCUUCAUCACUUGUCUUCUGCCCAUUCUCCGAAGGCUCGGCAUAUCUGUAUCUCGGGAGAAUGCUUAUGUCCGCAUCUGAUGCACCUUCCUAUAUUUCAAUGACAAAUAAAACCAACAAUAAGUGAUAACGACAAAGCUCCUGUAAAGUAUUUUCUCCUGGUUGACCACUGCGACUUCUUGUUCUUACCUGCCCCACCACAGCAUAAAGAAUUGCAAUAAUACAAGGCAAACAGCAGCAAAGAGCGAUUCCAAUCACGCAGGCCAAAGCCACACAAAAGAUGGCAAAGCAUACAUCGAAUGCGAGAAAAACUACAGUCAACCUGCAAAAAGCCACCAUGGAUAACAGAGACUGUUUAUGGGCAUAUCAUAGAUACUAGAUUACACAGGCUAUUAACAUACAAAAAGUUCAGUUUGAUCACAAGGUUAACGAUAAUAUGGAUCAGCAAAAUAAGUUGACAUGAUAAUAAUAUCUGAGAAACAAAUACAAUAUAAGUUACCUUGAAGUAUCUUAGUCACCUAUGGUUCAAGAAUUGAGAAAGAGUAUUAAUAGAAAAAUCAAGAAAGAGUAUUUAGCCAGUUAAGGAGUUGUGACGAUUCUCUGAACUUAGCAUAAGUAUCAAAUGCUGACAAAACAACUGAAGAGAUCUACAUUAUGCAUUGAUGUGACAAUUAGAUCCGUGAACUUGCAUUUGCAUCUAGAAUCCAAGGUCAGUCAGAGGAAAGAAGGGGUACAUCAGUCAAAUGACAAUGUUUCCACUGAAAAACUGGAGAAUAAUUGCUGGAAAAAACUCGAGAGAUUUUAGUUAUUGUAACAAGUUAGCUAACAAUUCAGUAGCUUUAAGACACUCAAACGUGAAUCUAAGAUAACUAAAAUUUAAAACAUGUUUCACAGAGGAUAAAAAAAAGAUUUUACUAAAUGAUUAAAUUAUUGUUGUCAGUCAGCAUGGCAAAAGAAAUUUAUCAUAAAAUAGUGAUGCUAUACCAGUAGAGUCUUGGAGCAUUUUGCACCAGUGCUUCACCACCAGAGACAACCCAAUAAAAACCAAUUAGCCACCACAGAAUGGAUGCCAUGGUAUUAAUAGAUUCACAUCGUUUGGAGAAACUGAACACCAAUAACCAUUAGUUACCAGAGGCAAAGAAGUUUAAAACAAAAGUAAGUUGAACUAUAACGACGUGUUUGGCAUUGUUUUCAGUCUGUCAUUAUUUACUUUGCUUACCACUAAACUUAUUCAAUAUCAAUUGCUGUUUUGACUCUGAAGAGAAAAUGGUCCAGUAUUACCAGUAGAAACUUAUAAAUAGAUUUUUUUUUUAAAAAAAAUAAGGGUGACUUUCCAAAGAAACCAUAAUUAUAAAAAUAACAAAGAGUGAAAGUCAACAUAACUUUAAACUCAAAUUCUUUUUAAAAACAUUAAAAACAGUAAACGAUGCCAAACACAACAAAUACCGCUAAAAACAUGUCAUUUCUGAGCUACCGAAAAUUUAAUGAGAUAACAUCUUUCCGUAUAAAAGAUCGAGACAUUUCAUCUUAACAUCACAAAUUAAUAUAUUUCCUGAGAUGACUCUUUCUGCUGCCGUAAUAAUUGAUAAACCAUAGUUAAGAUGUCUGCUAACAAGAGAUGACUUUCGGAUGAUCAGAUCACAUUCAUGACUAUGGCAUUUUAUAUGGUGUAAAUCUGUACUGGCUGAUUAGCUUGCAGUGUUCCAAUAAUAUGAUGGCUAUCAGCAAGCACAUGCUUGCUCAAACAUAUAAAUUUAUAGGCGCAUACAUGUGGAAUUAUCCCAACAUCUAUUCGGAAUUAUCCCAAUAUUCCUAGCAGGGAAAAAUAUAACACAGAAAUAAUCAUAACAUCAAAUUGGAAAGAACUUUACAUCUAGUUUAAAUGAAUGGAUCCUUUUUAAGCUAAACUAGCAUUUUAAAUUAAAAAAAAGAAAAACAAUCAAGAUAAUGAUGACUCUGUCAAUUCAAAACCAUAACGAAUUACAACUUGCAUACCAUGUAAUACAGCCGACAUUCUAUUCUACAGUCUAGCCAAAGUAUGAACUGCAGGUGAUUUUGUUCUCGAUGCAUGUUUGGUUCACGAAUGGAAUGAAAAUAGAAAAUAAAAUUGGAUUGCAUUGGAACGGAAAAUCGAACAACGAAUAAUCCAAAAAUGUUUGGUUCAUUAUUUGAAUGGAAAUUAGAAUAGACAAUUAGAACAACUAGGAUUUUGAGAGAGAGUUUUGGUUAAAGGAGAGGAGGGUGAUGAAGGGAGAGAUAUAUGUAAGAGAAGGUUUUAAGUGGUUUACUUUAAAAUGGGAAAAUUUAAGAUUCAAAGCCAGAAUGAGCCAUAAAUGGAUUGGACCAUUUCCAUUUCAAAGUGGAAUGAGAAUCAAAAUAUGAUUCCUGUAAAACAAACAACAACUAUAGAAAUCAGGAAAUCUCAUUUCGAUUUUAGAAUCUAAAAUAAGUGAACCAAACAUACCCUAAGUUUCCACUCCAAGAGUUAAUCAGAGUUAGCUUUUGAAAUAAAAAAGGGCUCGUUGUCUACACAAAAGGUAACCCCACACAAAUCAAAAUUCUUCUCGAUAUUAUUCAUCUAUACGUCCUCUCCGCUCUCAUGAUUUAAAUGGUCAAAAAGCACAUCAACUAACAUAGCAUUAACAAGAACAAAAUUUCAAUCCAAAAUCAUGAAGCCAAAUUCAAAAAUUACUCUUGCCCACAUCCGUGAGACCUAAUUGUUUAGCUUCCACAUUAUGCCCGAACUCAGAAAGGGGUUUCACUACUUCAAACUUGAUCUCUUAAUCCUAAUAAACACCCCAAACAAAUGAAUCAAAUAGAGAAUAGAAGUCCAAAUUUGUUACUGAUCAACCAAAACUGCAGCUUGAAAUCUAAAUAGACAAAUCCCAUACCUGCUCCUUCGCGCGCCCGCUGCUCCCGCCUCUUCCUCCUCAUCCUCCCCGCUGUUCUCUCCCUCCGCCGCCCCCGACCCCUCCCCAGCCCUACCGCCGGCGACGCCGCCGCCCUCCUCCAACCUGCGCCGCUCCGUCGCGGUCCUCCUCCGGCGAUACUCGGCCAAGACGAGCGCGACGUGGAUCGCGCACUGGAGCGCGUACCCGGCGAUCCAGAUGCGGAGCGGGGUGGUGGGGCGCUCGCGCACGGUGACGGCGAGCACGGCGGCGGCGGCGACGGCGAAGGCCAUGUUCCAGGCGACGUCGAGCGUGACGACGACGCGGGAGUAGGCCCACUCGGCGCGGCGUUCCUCCAGCUGGAGCGCCGCCGCCUCGCGCACCAGCAUCGAGGGGCCGCGCCGCCCCGCCGCCCCGCCCACGAUCGCCGCCAGCCGGCUCGGCCGCGCCGCCUGCUCCGGCGAGCCUCGGCUCGGCCGCAGCAGCGGCUCCGCCGACGCCGAUGCGGUCGACGCUUCCUCUUCCAUCCCACCUCGGUCUCUCUCUCUCUCUCUAUCUCGUCUCUUCCUCUUAUUUCUCUUUUUUUUUUUCUCUUUUUUUAAAAAACUUUAAUUCUUUUCCUAUUUUUCUUAAAAAGACAAACUAAAAUCCAUUAAAGUAGUGAACAAACUAAUAAUGAAAGGUUUUAUUUCCUUACAUAAAAAAUAAAAAAAAAAAUUAUUCAGCAUAAAAAUACUGUUGGGGGGUUGUUGUGGGGUGAAUGAAACGUAGUUACCUAAACAAAAAAAAUACAACACCACAGUAAUCUUGUAUUAGAUAAUUUACAAGUCAUACAUGCUGUGUUUAAUUAUGCUGAGCUGAAGAUUUUAACCAAAUAGAUACUAAUAAUAAUGAGCUAAGUUAGAUCAAAAAAAGGAAAUUUUUCAAAGUUAUUUAUGUGACCAGCAUAUUAGUACAGUUACUAAGGUGUUACUAGUGUAUUAGUAAUAGACUAAUUAAAUGUUAUACCAAUCGGUACAGAAGAAAUUUGUAUUCCCUCGUGUUUUCUCUAGUACACUCGCUCUGAAUGGUGGCAUGAUGGGAGACAUUCUUGCUGUGUAUUAAUUCUUUUUUUUUUCUUUUUUUCUUUUUUUCUUUCUGAGGAAUUGCCAUAAUUGAUUUUGUAUCAAAGCUGUGUGCGACUUCAGGUCCCUAAGCAUAGGGGUGAGGAGUGUCCAGUGGUCCACACAAGAUGACUCUUUAUUUGCACAGAAUUUUUCAGACUCUGCACAGAAUUUUUCUGCAGUAUGAUAGAAUUUAUGGCUGUCCCCGAGUGGUCCAAACAAGUAGUAGAUGGUGGAAUCCAAAUUUUCCAUUGAUUAUCUCCCCUUGUUGGGUUUUUUACAUAUAUAUAUAUAUAUAUAUAUAUAUAUAUAUAUAUAUAUAUAUAUAUAUAUAUAUAUAUAUAUAUAUAUAUAUAUAUAUAUUUUAAGGUGAGAAAUAGGUUGGACAUCAAACUGAGUUCUUUAUAAUUUUAACUUUAAUUCCAAUUACCAUUACAGUAGGUCGAUAUCUUAACUUAUUUCGUUCCAAAAUAAAUGCCCAGUAUAUCAAACAGAAUGCUGGCCUUUUUUCCUUUUCACUAUUUGGAUUUAGUUUUCCUCGGAGACCAUUUAAAAAGUAAGUCGUUUAAUAGGCUAGACUAGCCACAAACAUACAAGUUUGGUGAAUUCAAUACGAGAAGAUGAUUUUGUAUGGGCCAGUUUAUUGUGUGGGCCAUUCAUCCACAUGUGUUGAUGCUUGUGGGAAUGGAGCAGGCCCAAACAGUCAAAAAGUGCGCCGCCGCAGCUAAGCUCGGCUCACAGCUUCAUUUGGGUUUGCGGUAAGAAAUUAUAAUACAAAAAAAAUAAUCUUUAUCAUAAAUUGCAUUGAUUCGGUUAAUAUAUCAUCAAUAUGCAUGGUUUCAUCAUUUCCGUAUGAACUCAUUUUAGUUCAACAGCGUUAGCCAGCCCUUAAUACGAAAUAGUCUAUCGUAAUUCGAAACUUCGUACCCGAUAUUUCAAAACUGUAACAUACAAAAUAAAAAAAUAAAUUGAGCUAAGAAAGCUCAGUGUGAGGGGUGGGUGAAGUAGGUACAGUGAAGUGAACUGCACGGGCAGUCCCAAAUUAACAGGUCAUUUUAUGAUUAAAAAACAGUUUUUUUUUUUUUUAAAAAAAAAAGUUAUGACGUACUAAAGUGUGAUUAAUAUGAAAAUUGCAAUAGCAUAUGUUGCAUUCAUUAAUAUAAAAUGAAGAAGGCUCUAAUCCAGUAAUAAUACAAGUUGUGUGAUAAUUAAAUUCACAAAAAGGUCCGCCACCUUUUAUGCAAUUGCAAUUGCAACUUGAUCCAGUAAUUUUACUACGUGUAAUAAUCAUCACGGCCAGAGGACAAAUUGACGACGCUCGAUCUGCACCAAAGACGAGCAUACAAAAUAGAUGAUUCUCUUUGGUAUAGAUAUAUUAUAUAUAUAUAUAUCCCAAAGAGAAGAAGACUCGUCACCACUCGUCACCACUCGCCACACAAGAAGAAGAAGAAGCAUCCAAAAUCUGGUUCACAAGUGUACAAACUUUGUCUCUACUCUCUACGCCAAAAAGCUGGGCGUGACACGUCCCUCGUUCUUAAGCAUACAAAAUAUAAAACUCAGAAAAUAUAUAUAUAUAUAUAUAUGUUACAUUAAUAUUCCUUUUUUUUAUAUGUAUGUGAAUAUUUUUGUAUUCAUUCAUGCAUUUUGAUAUUUUGUUCGUCUCGAUCCAUACGUGGGGCCUGGUUAGAUGAUGAUAUACGUACAUUAAAGAUCAGAAGCUCAAAUUAAUUUACUCUACCGGAUUGGAUUGGAUUAGAUAUUUAGAUUAGAGAUUAUUUUACACGAUCUUCGAGCGCCGCCGCUGCCCCACCAACGCCGUCGCCUCCACCGCCUCCGCCAUCGCCCCGCAUAUCGUCGCCGCGUGGCGCCCCAGACACCGCCCUCCUCCGCCGCCGCCGCCGCCGCCGGCUCUCCUCGUCGCCCUCCGGCCGUCCGCCGCCUCCUUCGGCGCCGCCCCUCCGCCGCCGGCGCUCGCCGCGAUGAGGCGCUCGAGCUCCCUGGUGAUGCACUCGAUCUCGUAGAGAUCGAAGAGCGAGAUCGAGCCGCGCGGCGGAGGCGGGGAUUUCUUCCCGCCGGAGGGCGGAGGAGGGCUCGUGGGGGCGCGGCGCGCGCCCGUCGUGGAUGGAGCCCCGCUGGUGCCAGGCCCACGCCGCGGCCUUCGCCAGCGCCAUCUCGUCCCACUCCGCCUCCGACGCCGACGCCGACGCCGACGCCGACGACCUCCCCCUUCGCUUCUUCCGAUCCAUUAGUAGAGAGGGAGAGAGAGGGAGAGAGAUAGCAAUAGAUGAAUAAUCAGUGAGAGAGAAGAAAAGGGUUUUUUUUGUUUAUUUUUGGGGUGGGUUUGAUAGGAUAAAUUGGAGGGGCCGAAACGAAGUCUCCUCGUCUUGAUUGCUCUCAUCAAUAGGGAACAGAAGGUUCGCGCGUGGUGUUUUAUUCAGUACGACCGCCACUUUGGUACGUUACGUGGAAAACGCACAUGGUUCUGGGGUAAAUUCCAUCAUCUUAUAUUUAUUAUUAUUACUUUAAAUUAAGUUGUAAACCCCACGCGGUUCUCACCCAUUAAAAAAAAAAUAAUAAUCUUUUUAUUCUAGGAAGGCAGAGCAAUUUUUCUCUUUCAUUGUUAAUAUUCUAAUUUCUGCACAUAAUAUUUUUAAUUUGUUUCAAUUAAAUUCGCCCUUAGCUUUUUAUCCACAAGAACUUAAUUUAGCCGGAAUAAAUAUUACAAAUCUAAAUUACGCAUUAAUUGAUAUCCAACUAAUUUUGUACAUCAAUAAUUUCGCAAUCAUAUUAAUUAAUGAUAGCUGCCCCAUGGAUUCAGUAACGAAUCGCACCAAAACCCAAGCUAGGUUAUGUUUUAAUGCUGUGGAAAAAGAAAGGCCCAUGCCAUAUCCGUUUUCAUAGGAAUUAAUAAUAAUUAAGUGGGCCACCAUGAGCUUCGUGGCUUGUCCUCCAACGCAACUUCGCAUGGUGCCUGAAUCAACACUUCACGCAAUGUGGCGCUUGAUCGGAUUAGCGUGAGGCAAAUUGAUAUGCAUCUGAUAAACAGGACGACAAUUAGACCAAACAAAUCUAUUAACUAUUAGAAAGUUUUUUAAGAAAUUAUUAAAUAUUUAAUAUUAAAAACAAAAGUUGACAGCUCCAGAAAUUUACCCAGAAAUGCUCAAACGUCAGAUUAAAUGUUAAAAACUUGGCGAAACAAUCUUUCAUUUCUGGAAUUAAGUUUAGUUAAAAAGAAAAUAACAUCCUGUUAAAUAUAAAAAUAUUUAAACACAAUUCUCCAUAAACUUAGCUUGUAGAGUACAACACCUGUUUCAUAUCAUUUCAUACAUCCUUCUUCGCAAUUCUGCUAAGUUUAGUAUACACCAGUUAAUAAGAAAAAAAUUUAGUUUGUUGCAGCUUAGUUCACAAAAUUCAGAUUCCAUUGCAGUACCGUCAUUUCAUAAUGUCAAUUCUUGAUCAAUGCAACAAUACAUACGACCAGAAAAUGCAGCAAUCAUGGAAGCUGUAACGGCCAUGCUAAAACCAUGUUACAAGAAAGUCGUACAAGCAAGGGCGAAAUAAUAUGCUUGCACGAGGAAGCCGGAGUGUUUUCAGCAAAUGCUGAAGGCUUGUUUUACAAUGUAGCAUGAUUGCAUAGACAUUAAAACAUACAUUAAAAAAUUACUGAUAAUUCUAGUCAACUCGAAAAGGAUAAUAUUCUCUUUCGUAUGCUUCAACGAAGGCCCCUGGAGUAAGAGACAACCACAGGAAUAGCUGCAAUAAAAUGGAUUACAUGACAAUGUUAGAAUGUGGAGGAAUAUUAAAGAUCAAAUUUCAGCUCAUAACAACCAAUACAACCAAGAAACCUGUGUACCCUCCAACUCAUUAACAGAUGGAGGGUAUAUUAGUGUACUUUGCUGAGGGUGCAGGUGGAAUAUCCUCGUAUAUAAAAUAUUGUCCGGCUUCUAAUAUUCUAUUGUUCCUAUGUUUCAACCAUAAAAAGCACCAUGUAGGAAAAUUAAUAAAAAUAUAUAAUUUGGAAACUACUUUUUGCAGUUAGCAAUAAAAGUAGAUCGGAUUUUAGUCAAUCUAGCCUGAAAGAAUUUAUUUACACAAUAUGUGUAGUUGGGUUAAGAAACAAACUAAUGCUAUGAUCUUCAAAUAAACCCGAGAUAACUAAAGCCUGUUCAACAUUUAUUGAUCCACCAUAGAACAAGUCCGGCUUUAGUAACCGAAGAUCUGUUAAUGUAUCUGUAAAUUGGUACUAACUAUUUUAGUGCAUAUUUCAUGGCUUUUUGAAACCAAAAUUAAAUAUUACCUCUGCAUGUGCAAUCCUUGCAUGCCCUGAGGAGUAGAUCAACUAGUUUUGAACAUGGCACACACCAAAUCUUCGAACAAGUGUAUUCUUAACCUUGCACAUAGUUGGAUAAGCCCAUUCCAAGAAUAAAUAACACAUCAUGACACUUCAGCACUGAACAAACAUCAAAGUUUUCCUCCUCUAUCUCAAAGUAAACGAGCUGCAACCGAGCAAAGUUACCAUCACAUUUAUAUCCCCCAAUAAAUUGAUACACACUGUAACUUAUCUUUGACCAAGUUAUUAGCAGUGCAAACUGGGAACCAUACCUCCAUGUCCUUCCCCAACAAAUAGUAGGUAAUAUUUUCAAACAAUGAUAUUUUUUGCUACAAACAACUAUUGCAGAUGCUCAUUAGGUGCCUCCUCCUGUGCCAAAUUUGAAUCUUGGAUUGUUGAAUCUAAAUUAUUUACUAUCUCUAGACACUUGCUGGCCAGAUUUUCAUCAUGCAUUGACCAACUACAGCAGAAAUAAAUUACCGACGAACUGCAAUACUUAUUUUGGUUUGUCCGAAAUGGGCAAUCUUCAUUUGAACAAAUACGGAUUCGAAGAGAAUCUAACUGGAGAUGAUCAGAAAAAGAUUCAAUAUACUUGCAUUUGACAUGACUACUCAAUUUCUUACACAACAAUUGAAGCGUAGUAUGGUUAGCAGCGUGAGGCAGAAACUGUUCCCGGUUACUCAGCCGUACAGGAAAGCAGCGCGCAAAUUGAACCACAUGCUUUUCUGCACCCAGCAUCUGCAAGAGCUCAUCCUUGCUGACAACCUUUGCAGUCUUACUUUUUUCCAUCACUAAAAUGCCUUCGGUAAGAUUUUCAUCUCCUGCCAAUUCUGAGACUUCACAGUUACUGAUACUAGCAUUGGAUAUGCAAUGCUUGUCUUGGGUACUAUGUAAGUUGGCAUUACAGCAACUUGUGAUGACCAUCUUACUGGCAUCUAUUUUCGUUCCUGAGACUUCACAAUUAUUCGUACUAAAAUUCGAUAUGCAAGGUUUGUCCUGGAUGCUAUUCAAGUUGACAUUGUGGCAACUCCUCAUGAACUGCCCAGUGGCAUCAACUUUCACAUUUUGACUAGUAGGAAUAAGCACGGUCUCAUUGUUUGCUGGAUAAUAGCAGGGAAUUCCCAGCUCAGAUUGAAUUCUUUCUGUUAAAGAGGCCAUUUUAGGCUUCUCUCCGUGCACGAGGAUAACAUGUUGAGGGAAAAGAAAGUCGAUUAGAUCCAUUAUCCCUUUGGCAUCUGUGUGAGGACUGAAAGAUAGCUGAUGAAUCUGGUGCUAGCAGAAAGUUCAAAUGAGAACAUGAAAGAUAUGUAUUCUUGCAUCAGAGGUUCAAACAAAAAUAAGAAUACUAACAAUAGAUGGCCCAUCUCUAAGAAAUAGCUAAAAACAUGCAAAAAACGGCUCAAAACUAAUUCUACUUUCUUUCCAAAAGGCAAUGAACAAAUAAGAUAGUUCUUCCACAACGCUCAAUAGAGUACCUUGCUCGUCAUAUGCAAACUGUGCAAAAAAUAAAAUAAAUAAAUUUAAAUAAAAUAAUAUUAAAAAAAUUCUAGGAAGGAUAAAUGCCAGAAAAGAAUGUAAUAUGAUGUGCAUUGUAAGUUUAAAUGUUAAAUUUUGCUAGAAUGUUGUUCGUGCAGCUAUAAGAUCGGAUAAUUUAUAUUAUUUAGAGGAAACUUUAGGGAAUCUUUUGACAUUGGGUGCAUGCCAUUGUGUAUUAUGGCCUUAGUUAGAAUAGGCUGCAUAUAUAAUAAUUAGCAUUAUAAGUUCAAGCAAGUCAGAAGAAGCAACUUAUUUUAUGUAAUAAUUCUAUUUUCCCUUUUUAUUAUUACUUCUAAACCAAAUCAACUUUCAUCACAUUAGAGUAUGAGGUUGGGGAAAGACCUGACAUCUAACAUCAAUAUGGGUGUCCGCAUCCAAAUCAAUUCUGGUAGGUUUACCUGACAUCAAUUUAUGCCCUAUGGUUCCAGCAACGCAGUAUCUGCAUAGAGACGAGAGAGAAAUAAACUAUAAACAAUUAUAGCCAUAUGACAAUCCUUUCCAGCAAAAGAAAAGAAAAAUGUUAUAUGACAAAAAUCUGAAACAUAAUUUGAGAAGGUUACCCAGGAAGUGUAAUUAGGUUCUUUUCAGAUGGAGCCCAGUGUUUGAAGACUUCAAGAGAAAAUCCGCCACUGAUCAUACCAGGAGUAGCGAAAAGAACACAUGGUCCAGGUGCAUUUAUAAGUGAGCGCUCAAAAGAGCACACUGUAAUGUCAAAAAAAUUAAGGUGAUGUUAAGUUUGAGAAAAGUAGCAUAGUUCCACAACAAGCAAUGUUCAUUACAAAGUAAUUCAGUUAUCAACAAAGUACCAUGCUUGAAAUCAAAUGGGUUGUGUUUUGUGUAAUUGUCUUUGAUCUUUUGACUGGUCCAUCCAAUAAGCAUCUUGUAGUACAUAUUAGCUUGAAUGGUCAAUCCUGAAAAAUGGCACACGUAAUUAGUAUCACAAAUAUGGAGGAUGUAACUAAAUGGUACAAAUUGCUAACAAGACAUAUAUUAAACAUACAGUAUCAUAUCACUUUUGAGUUACUAAAAAUUUGUAUAAUAUGAAUGGCCUACAAACUUCAAGAAUCUGACAAUGUUCCCUUCAACUACUUUGUGUUAAAUACAAUUUAUCUCUGGAAGAAACCAGCUUCUUCUGAAACUUAUAACAUAUAAUCUGGUGUGUAGCAGCAAAACAACACAUACAACCCUAUUGCACCAGCAAUGGAUUAAUGGCGCUUGGCUCUGGUGCUUUUUCCGUUGUGUAAAAGUUAGCAGAUUUUAAACUUUAAAAAUUUCCUUGGGAUGAAUCCUAAAGGGACACAAUGAAUUUCCAUCAAAAUAAGCUUAAGAAACAAUAAUGGAGAGCAUCUGUACCACAAUGCCAUCCACAUGAAUCACCUGUUUCACUAGCAAGCAAGUUUGUUCCAACAUAACAUAUUUUCGCUAUUCUCACCAUCUUGCAAAUUCCCAGUAUAGAGUUUGCAUAAAGCCAAAAGGUGUAUGUAAUCGACAUCAAUUCUAGCUCCUCGCUUUAGUAUAAGUUAAUUUAUUUUGCAGGUAAGUCCUCCAACUUACACCAACAACAGAGACUGAUGAACCAGUUAACUUAAGCAAACCAAAGGAUCUCCAUCCAAUCCAAAUAGGCAAUGUUUCCACAUGACCCAAAGGGACUCUCAUUCUUGGACUUCAGAUUUCUUCUCUUCAAGUUCAAUCAGCUUGAAUUUAUUAAUUCCCUUGUGAACUACUUACUACUAUACAUUCACCAUGUACAAGGAUCUUAGUUCAUACAAAGAUUUCCCCUAAAUGAUAUGAACUGCUAUUACUUCUGACAUGUCAAAAGAAUAACAAAUAAGCCUAAAAGUAGCUCAGAGAAGUCAUAACAUGAGGCACAAUAGAAGAAAAUAGCAUUUCUUCAUCAAUCUACACGGUAAUUUCUGAGCCAAGGCUGUGGCAUGCACCACAUAUAGUCCAGCAUCCCAUAGGAAGCUGCAGGCAAGUAUUCAGCAGCUUGCUUAUCUCUUGGCUAACAUGAUUAUCACAUGCUAAUAGAAUGACUUGUCUAAAUGCGAUUGCUUUAGGCUCCAAAAGCUUAUAGUUUAGGGUGGGAAAAGGCCCAAAAAUUAUUCUGUCUAGAAAGAUUUAUUGCAUAAAAUCAGACCUGCUUAAAAGAUUUAUCCUGGAUAGAAGUCAUAUUCCCAUGCUUAUUUCCUCCAAACGACCUUUUUAAUGGUAGGGAAAAGAAUGACCAACAAACAACAAAUCAGCUUUAAAUGCAGGAAGCAUGCAAAAACAAGCGGGCCUGGAAAAUUAUGUAUUUCUUUCAAGGGAUGACCUGGCACAUCUUCACGUUAAGUUGAUUAAAUGAUUGUAACAAAUUCAGAUGUUAGUUUAAGCGUUUAUAAUGUGGUCACAUGUUAGCUGAAGUAUAUAUCACGUGGUCACAAUGUUUGAAAGAAAACAUAAAAGUUUCCUAACAUAUCCAGCUUUAGGAGAUCAGAAACAUGAUUGUCAUUCACCAAGAAACAAGUCAAAAAGGUAGCGUGAAAAAUCAUACCGGCAGAAAAGUAGAUAGGAACAUUCAAGUUCAUUCUUUCCCAAUAGUCAUCCAACAAUAUGCAAAGCUCCUAAUGCACAUGCAAAAAAAUUAUUAUAGAAAUCUAAAAAAAAUCUUAAGAAAACAAUGAAAAGACAUAGUGAAAAUUACCUGGGCUCUCCCCAAGGCAAAUGUUGGGAUAAGAACUUUACCUCCUCCGGCAACACACUUAUGAACCUAAAAACAGGCUUCCAAUUUCAAAUCAGCAAAACAAAAGUGAAACUGCAUAACUAGAAUUCCAAGAACAGUGUUAUAUGAAUAUUAGCACAAUUGAUGCACAUCCUACUGAACUAUAUGCACAAUGGUUCGCUCAAAGAUUUUACAGAAACACAGGCCAUAUUAAUUUAUGUAAGAUUCUGCUUAGGUCGACUGAUGUAUCAUCUUUCACAAUUGCUGAAUUAUGAGCCAUUCUUUUUGGGCCUUUAGAUUUCUGUGAUAUCUGUAUUGCUAAUAAUAUAUAUAAGAAAAAUUGAUAAUAAAGAACAGCUACAGGAAAAUGAAGAAUUAUGGCUCAUACAAGAGAUCAAACCAACUAGGCAGCUAUUUCAGCAACAACUGAUUAGUCAGGAUCUCUGUGACUGCUUAGAGCGGAAUGCUCCUCUGUAAAUGGGACAAAUUGAAGCUGACUAAUGGUAGCACUUCUAUCAAAUAACAAAUUUGCAUGCCCACACAAUAUUGUUAUAGCAAGGACGAGAAAAAGAAUAAUCAGAUAAAGAGCAAAAAUGUGUAUGAUGAAAAGGUCAGCAUACAGCUUUCAGGAACUCCCUCUCUCUAGCAUAUUUUGAAUCCCUAAUAGUUGUCGCAUAUGUAGACCUAGAAGAAAGAAAAAAAUAAAGAAAAUUAACCUUAGCAAGUCAUGCAGAAGGAGAAAAGCUGUGAGAAUACAUAGGCGAGAAUAGUAUAAUCAAGAAGGCAUUAUCAUAAUUAAGUGUGCAAAAAAUAAAUCAAAGGUAUAGCAAAAUCAAGAUCAUCGAAUUAUGGGAAGGAUUAGUGCAAGCCUCAAUUACUAUAAUCAAUAAGUCUAAGACUCUUACAAUCUUAGUUAAUCAUGUCUCAUAAUGCAGUGUAAGAGCAAAUCAGUCUUAUCAGGCAAAUGAGUAAGAGCAGCAGAGAAAUGAUGACAAAACAUUUAAGUAAUAGUAUAUGUAUCUGACAUCAUUAGUAAGACCGGUUAAUUUGAACUCCUAAAUUGACUAUUAAGCUGAAAUAUCAGCAUAUUCACAACACUAGUUUAACAAAUUCAACAGAUAUAAAACAUUUAGGAUUCAGCAUACUCUGUUAUCAAAAGAUCCAACCGCAGUCGAUCAAUUUGAGCUGCUCCAAGAUGCCUAUCCGGUGUCAUAUUAUAAUCACCAGUGUAGACCAUGGUGCUACCUCCGACUUUUGCAUAAAUCAUUGCAGCUCCUAAAACCUUGAAUUAAAAAUAAUCAGUAAAAAACUAAAAAUUGGAGAAAGAAACAGAAAAGAAAAUUAAUUCAAGCAAAAAAUACGUGAAUGCUUGAGAAUGAUAGCAAUAGCAGAGUAACUAAAAGACAACCAACUUAUCAAGGUUGUACGAUUAAAUAUAUACAGAAAAACAAAAUUGACCUACAAUAUAUAACAUAAAAAAUUAGAUUCGACCAUACAUGAAAUUACAUGGCAAUGGCAUUCUCCACCGAGGCCUAGUUUGGAAUGCUUACCCCAUGGCAGCUGCUUUGAUACUUGCAAGCUACACAAAAAUCUAAGCUUAAGAGCCCUAAAGCACUAAAAGCGGCUGUUGUAGGUUAAAGCAUUCCAAAGUUUCAUUCACCGCAACAAAUAACAAAUGAAGAAGCAGUCAAGUAGAUAAAUCAUUGGCAAAGUUUGACAUAAAGCAAAAGAAAAGUUGACAUACAUGCCCAGCAUAGUAGGCACGAAUCUGAAGAUCUUUGUCGACCUGAACUGUCUGCUUCAAAUCCAGUGGAAUAACUACAAGGGAAGAUGAUACAAAAUAUCUUAGCUUUGACAUACAAAAGAGUACAUAACUAAGAUAAAGAUUUCAGAAGAAUCAAAGUAACAUAUCUGAAUCGUACUGCCAAUCCUUUGCAAAGAUACAUAUAAUGGAGACUAUAAACAUAUAACAGAAUAACCUGUCAUUUACAUAUAUACCUAAUCUUGAACAUUAAUGUGUACAACAAAUAGUGAAAAUUCACUUUAUACUAUAUAGAUGCCAUGGGACAAGUUAUGUACAAUGAUCUAUGUUGUAGAACAAAAGAAUGUGUUUAUUUUAUGUUCUAUAUGUUUGUCCCAGAAUCGCAUUUGAACGUUAGAGAAAAAUAUGGGCAUGUCUGCGUGGAACCUUGCUCCCCUAGUUUCAUAAAUAGAAGAUUCUAAAACUAUUUAACCCUCAUUUCAUGAACACUUGUGAUACCGGAAAAGACCUAAAACUACAAUUAUAGCCCCGCAUUCAAGGGAAAAAAUGAGUAGAAAUAGUAGAAGAUCACAUAGAAAUCAAAUAUGUGAAACUAAGACAUUUUUUGCACAAUUAGUAGAACACAGACAUUGGUAGCAUAGGACACUUUUCGAAGGAAGGGAAAAAAUUAUCUCUAGGCAAACAAAGUAAUAUCUCAUUUUUAGCUCAAGCAGAGGUUAUACAUAAUAUAAUAAAAGCUCUCUGCAAUACAGGGAAUGAAUUAAACCGAAAAAAAAAAGGGUUUAUGCACAAUAGGAAAGCACCAAUAAAGACUGAAUUAAAAAAAGGAAAGGAAUACUAAUAGAUACCUUUCCUCAUACAUUCCAUAAUGUGAUCAUAACUAAAUUGCUCUUCCUCUCCCCUUCGUUCAACCAUUACUUUUCGAUAAUCUUCCAACAUUAUUGGGGCCAAAGCCUUAGUUGGAUACUAUUUGAAACACCAAAAAAAAGAGCAUAGAUAAGUUAAGACGUAAAUUUUGCAAGCCAAAACAAACAAAACUAUACAGCUAUAUUUCUUCUUGAUGUGCAUUGUGCAAAAGAUUGUAAUCGAGAUGAUAAAGAAGAUGACAACUAUAACAAGUUAACAAUGCUCUGAAAAUUUUUUUAAAAAAAUUGCAGAAUAAAAAACUGAUAAAAUCAACCAAAAACGAAAUCCAAAAGAAGGCUUAAAAACUAGGCAAUACACACGAUACUAUUAGAUUAGAUAGUCGAGUGUUUAAUUGUUGUCAUCCCCAAAAGGCAAACCUGUUAAUGUUCCCUUGAGUUAUGAAUGUUUGAUCAAUCAGAAAAAAUUGGAUCCCAAAUAGCAUACAUAGAACUGAUUACAGUCAAUUCAUAAUUGCAAAGCAUUAAGGUAGAAAAAGCUUAGCAAACUAAAAAAAAGAGACAGAAUAUCAAUGAUCUCACCGUCAUGUAAAUGGGUCCGUGAUACCCACAAACCUCCGUAAAGUAAGGAAGGGCCCCAACAUGAUCCAGAUGGCUGAUAAAUGUUAAAUUGAAUGAAUUUAUAUUAAAAUAGGAAUCAAAUUAAAAUCGGGCUAAAGAAUAAGAACUACGAUGAAACUUAAGUAUUCUGGAAAAUAACUAGGAGAUUGCAAUCUCCGAGCCACCUAGAUUAGGUAGGUCUCUAGGGCAUAAAUAUUACCCGAUGAUCUGUUUACCGAAAAAUUCAGAGUAGGGCUAGAAAAGUUACAGAACAGCUUAAAGAACCAAUAUAAAGAUUUCGCUCCUGCCUUUAACAGGUAGUAUAGGCAUAAUUGAUACAAUACCUCAAAGCAAUAUUGAGAAUAAUAAACCAUGACAGGGUGAAUAGAAAGAUUACAAGUGUGUUAUGACGACGCAUGUGAGGGAGGAGUCGAAGUCCCCUGUCUCCGAUAUGAGGGAGAAAUCGGGGUAUCUGCGGCUGUCGAGGUAGCCCAUGUGCAUCCCGCAAUCGAACAUGAUCUUCUUGCCCCCGAUCGAGACCACGACGCAACUCUUCCCCACCUCUUGCCCCGCUCCUGAGGGUUGCGCGAAUAUUAAGGUUUGGGAGAGAAGAAAUAAGCAAGAAGAUGAAAGAGAAAGGAAUCGACGCGCCAUUGAGAGAGGAACUAAGAAGAAGAGAGAGGGAGGGAAGAAGAUGAUGGAGAUGGUACCUAGCACGAGGCAUUCGAUCGCCAUGAGAGGAGGGACUGAUUUCUUGUAAACCCUAGACAAGGGUUUUUGGCGACGGAGCUACGAACGGUGAGACGCGAGAGAGAGAAAAGAGAGCAGGGGAGGAGGGAGAACACGACGAUGCACGGUUUAAAUUGAGAACGUUCGGGGGUGAAGGGUUUAAACCGACAAGUCGUACAAAAUAGCAGAAUUAUUUUCUUCAUAUAAUUAUUUUAAUUUACGCGAUUUAUUUUUCCCGAAUAAGUGAGUUUCACAGUAGCGUCUCCAAGUCGAAAAUUACAGUUACACCGUAUACGGUCGGGUCCUCAAAUCCCAGCCGUUGGUCCGUGUCGAUAUUGACCGUUAUUUAGUCAUUUUGAUGAAACAACAUAUAUAGAUAAAAUAUAUUUUUUUAGAGAAACAUAUGAGAUAAAAAUAGAACUAUUUACCUAUCUAGCUUCUUUACAAAAAAAUAUUCCCUAUCUAGCCUCCUUUUGAAAAAUAUUCCCCAUCUAGCCUCAUCUUCAAAGAUUAGAGAAAAAAAGAGAAAUUAAUUCCUUUAAUAUAUAUUAAAGGGUUAAGUGGGGGAGAUUAUCUUUUUCUCUCUCCUCUUCCAUUAAUUUUUAUAUCAAAAUAAUCUUGAUCUCAUUCGGCCUAUAAAUUUUAUGUUUUAAUGUAUUAAAACCUAAAGUACGAGAAAUUCAAAUAGUUUUGGAUUAGGACCAUUAUAAUCAACUCCUUCCGAACCAUGCAUAAUAUUUCCAUCAAAAUAUAAAAAGAUUGGAAUUGGUUGAUGCGCUAUAUAAAAAUUUUCUAUUUUAAAAUAAAUCGAUAUGAAAUAAAUUAUACGCAAAAAUUAGAGAGUGAGAAAGGAUCUCGGGAAAUAGGAGAGGAGAGAGAAAAAGAUAAUCUCCCCCACUUAACCCCUUAAUAUAUAUUAAAGGUAUUAAUUUCUCUUUUUUUCUCUAAUCUUUGAAAAUGAGGCUAGAUGGAGAAUAUUUUUCAAAAGAAGGCUAGAUAGGGAAUAUUUUUUUGUAAAGAGGCUAGAUAGGUAAAUAGUUCAUAAAAAUACUGUUCGUGUUGGAGAGGUGCAAUCUAAAAAUAUGUUCACCGGAGAGAAAAUGCAGUGGCUUUGAUGAUGAUGGCAAUAGUUUUGAAUGAUUGGCACCAAAUUAAAUAGCUUAGUGAAUAAAGAAACACUUUGGGGUCGUUUGGUUGGAUGUAGUUGCAGAAACAGUGUAGUUGGAAAUACUUGCAGUUGCAAAUGCUGCAGUUAUAACUACACCUAGUCUGUUUAGUUUUACGCAGUUGCAACUGCUGCAGUUACAUUUCUUCUGUUUGGUAAUAUGAAGCUGAUAGUUGUAUUUAUGAAUUUUGUCACCUCUUCAGAUAGAGUGGUGAGGUUACCUUCACUAAACAUAAAAUAAUUGUAUAAAUUUAUUAAUUAUUUAAAUUUACUAUUUAUAAAUAAAUAAGUAGAUAUAUAUAAUAUUUUUAUAUUUUUCAAUAAUUCUUCAACUUAUUAAUCGACACAUUUAAAAUUUUUAAUUUAUUUAAUUUUAAUAUGUAAAUCAAACUUUAAAAAUUUAAACGAUUCUCUCAUUUUUUUUUUAUCAAAUUUAAUAAUUAUAAUUAAUUAAAACUUAUUAAAUUAACAUACACGAUCACAUUCUAUAAAAAUUUAGAAAAAAAAAACUAUAUUUAUAUUUUAAAUAAAAUAAAUUUUAAAAAAUUAAUUUUUUGCACAAAGCUUGUAUUGUCUAAAAAAUUUUAUUAGUAUGAGUUUAUUUAUAAGUAUUUUUAUUUAUCUAUACACAUAUAUUAUUUAUUUAUUUAGCUAUUUAUUUAUUUAUUUAUUAUUAAUAAUUUGUAGGUGAUCUUAUCCCUCACCAACUGCUGCAGUUGGAACUACGACCAAUUUGAAUGUAGUUCCAACUGCAGCAUUUGGGCCUUCUUGUGCAGUUGGAACUGCAGCAGUUGAACUCAACUAUAUUAAACCAAACAAAGAAAUUGUGGCUGCACGCAUUUGCAACUGCACUGCAGUCAGUUGCAAAUGCAUACAACCAAACAGCCCCUUUAUGUUACUGCAGCUUCGAAGAUUAUACCUCUCUAUGGGACCGUUUGGUUGGAUAUAGUUACAGAAAUAAUAUAAUUGAAAGUAUAUGCAGUUACAAAUAUUACAGUCAUAUUUAUACCUAGUUCAUUUGGUUUUAUACAGUAAGAACUGCUGCAAUUAUAUUUCUUCUGUUUGGUAGGCUGCAGUUAAGAUAUAUAUUUGUAAAUUUUGUCAAUUUUUAGAUAGAAAUGUGAGAUUACCUCUUCUGAACAUAACAUGAUCAUGACAUAUUAAAAUUAUUAAUUAAAACUUUUAUAUCUAUAUAUAAUUUAUAUAUUAUAAAAUUAAUUAUGAAUUUAAUGAAUUUUAAAUGUAAAUAUAUUAUAGAUUUUGUCAAAAUAAAAUUUAAGAUUUUAUUGAACCAGCAGAUUGGGAAAACAAAAAGAAGUAUAUGAAAAAAAAUUAUUGAAUCCUAACAUACGUUGUUAAACCCUAAAAUAUAUUUCAUGAAUAGAUAUUAUUAGAAAAAAAAAGUUUUAAAAAAACGUACGAAAAAAAAUCACACUUUAUUUAUUUUUUUAAUUGAUGAGCCGACUUUGGCCCAAUUGCUGCAAUUUGUACUGCAGCUAAUUUGACUGCAUUAUAGUACCUUUUUUUUUUUAGAGAGAUAGGUAGUACGCUACCCGCUUCGUUUAUUUUAUUUAGAAAUAAACUUAACUGGAAAUGUGAAUCAACUAGGAUUCGAACUUGGAUCUCGGGUACUAACCACAAAGUACUUUGCCACUUGCUCUAGGGACGGUCGGUGACUGCAUUAUAGUACCAACAGCAGCAGUUGGGCCUUCUCGUACAAAUACAACUGCAGAGUUGGACCUAACUAUACUAAAUCAAAUAAAAAAUUAAUAGAUGCAUACAUUUUCAACUGCACUGCAGUUGAAAAUGCAUGCAACUAGACAGCUUAAUGUGUUGCUGUUUUUUGUUAUACUCUUCGGCUGCGUUUGGUUCGGGUAUAAAUAAGAACUGCUAGUUCCAGGGAUAGGUACAAGUUCAGGUAUAAGCAGGAACUAGACCAAUUUUGCGUUUGGAUGAAAAUUGAGUUGUUCCUAGGAAUAAGGUAAAUAGUGUUUGGAUGGUUAGAUUGGAACAAGAGGAAUAAGAGUUAUAAUUUGAAAUUAAAAUUAUAUUAUGUAAUUAGUUAACAUCAAAAUAUUACUUAAAAAUAAAUAAGAAAUUAAUUAUUAAUAAUUAAUUAUAAAUAAUAAUAAUAAUAAUUUAAUAAUUAAUUAUAAAUAAUAAAUUAAUAAUAUUAAUUAUCUAAUUAAUAAUAAUAAUAAUUAAUAAUAAUAAUUAUUAAAUAAUAGCAAUUAUUAAUUAUUCUUAUUAAUUAAUUAUAAAUAAUAAAUUAAUAAUAAUAUUGAUUAUCUAAUUAUUAAUAAUAAUUAAUAUUAAUAUUUAUUAAUAAAUAAUAAUAAUUAUUAUUAUUUAAUUAUAAAUAAUAAAUUAAUAAUAAUAUCCAUUAUCUAAUUAUUAAGAAUAAGAAUUAUUAAUUAAUUAUUAAUAAAUAAUAAUUAUUAUUAAUUAUUAAUUAUUAAUUAUAAAUAAUAAAUUAAUAAUAAUAUCGAUUAUCUAAUUAUUAAGAAUAAAAAUUAUUAAUAAUUAUUAAUAAAUAAUAAUUAUUAUUAAUUAUAAAUAAUUAAUUAUAAAUAAUAAAUUAAUAAUAAUAUCGAUUAUCUAAUUAUUAAGAAUAAAAAUUAUUAAUAAUUAAUAAUAAAUAAUAAUAAUUAUUAAUUAUUAAUAAUUAAUUAUAAAUAAUAAAUUAAUAAUAAUAUUGAUUAUCUAAUUAUUAAGAAUAAUAAUUAUUAAUUAAUAAUGAUUAAUAAAUAAUAAUAAUAAUAAUAAUUAUAAAUAAUAAAUUAAUAAUAAUAUCGAUUAUCAUUAAGAAUAAUAAUUAUUUAUAAUUAUUAAUAAAUAAUCAUGAAUAUUAUUAAUUAUUAAUAAUUAAUUAUAAAUAAUAAAUUAAUAAUAAUAAUUAUCUAUUUAUUAAUAAUUAAUUAUAAAUAAUAAAUUAAUUAGUUAUUUAAUUAUUAAAAAAUUAAAUAAUAAUUUAAAUAUAUUAAUUAGAUUAAUUAAUAAUUUACUGUCAUUAAAAUUAAAUUUAGAUUUUAAUUAACCUUGUUCUCAUCAAGGAAUAAGCUUGUUCCACGAAACAGGUGGAAUAGCAGUUCCAGACUUAUACCAGCUUGUUUCAGAUUUUCAGGAACUACGAUUCCCGAGAACCAAACACACCGUUUGGGAACAAAGGGGGGAACAAGAGCUUAUUCCCCCCCUUGUUCCCGAACCAAACGCUACCUUCAAAUCUUUGAUAUGGUAUAAAUGUAAUUAGAACAAUUGUUAUUGUUUUAAAAAGUCAUUUUUAGAGUGAUCCAUAGUUGAGAGGAUUCCACACCUUUUAUUUAUCCUUAAAAUUUGAGCACUGCUAUUUAUACUACAUACACCUCCUCAUCCAACGGACAAGGAUUAAUCUUUGUUUUGUUAAUUAUUUUUUAAUUGUAAAAAAUUUAAUUUUUUUUAAAAAAUUUGAGGAUAAAUGGUUUAAGAUGUAUGCGUAAUUCUGGAGUGAAAGACUAUUAUAAUUGAGAGCUUGCAAUUAUUGUGUGCACCCGGUGGAUUAUCUGGCUCAAACAAAAUAAGCGUAUUUUUCAAAACUUAAAACGCUCACAACAGCAAAUGUUGCAAGCCGUCUGGAACGCUCGACAUCUAACAAAUUAGGUGUAGUAUAGUACCUAUCCCUAAGAGCCUCCAACGGGAUGUCUUUUCUUGUCGCCUUUUUUGCUCUUCUCCAAAAAAUUUUAUAUUCCUCCCGCUUUGUCCCUUUCUCUACUCCUUUUUUUUUUCCAUUUUUCGAGAUCUGAUUCUCCUAUUUAUAACUAAGUUUACUAUCUAAAUAAAUGAAGCGGGAAACAUAUUUCUUAAAAAUAUAAAUAUAUAUAAGUGAGGGCCUCUCAUUGUACUUUCAUCUUCAUCAAGUAGGGUUCUGGAAGCUCUCAAGUCCUGAAGGGAGGAAGAAGGUUCGCCCCUUGAAUUCUCGUGAAUAUGCUGCAGCCCUACUUUGGUGAUCUUUAAAGGGGCCUCUACACCCACCUUCUUCUUCUCCCCCUUCCUCUUACUCAUCUACCUGCUGGUAUCUUAGAUCUAGUUCUCAGCUCUAAAUUGUUAUAUAGUGUUUGUAACAAAAUAAACUUAAUUUGCAAUAAAUGCUCCGAUUGAGUAUGUGCUGUUAUUAAUCUUGUUCGUAGAACAAACACUUCCACUUUGAUGGGUUCUAUUUAUUGCUCUGCAUGGGUUGAAUCAAAACUUUGAUGGGUUCGAUUUAUUAAAAUGAAAGAAAAGGAGGGAGAAACUUAGAAAAACUCCAACAAAAGGGGAAGAUAGGAUCAAAACUUCAAUCUUGAUGAAUUUCCCAUUAUUAAACAUGACCCUAACCCAUCAGAUCAUAUCAUCUUUUUCUUUCAUGUUAAUAAGUUGCUUUGCUGGUAGAAUCGUGCCCGAAACAUGAUGCGUGUUGUAUUUGAAAAGGACCAUUUGUUGUUAGCUAGCUUGGAUUCACAGUUAGGUAUGGAAUUGCAAUAAAUCCGGAAGUUCAAGGAUUUACAUAAAUUAAUUGAGAAGUUCAAGACUGAGAGACGAGAGAGAACUAUCUAUCAUUUUACCAUCAAUUUAUUUGUUUCCAAAAGAUAGUAGCAAUCAUCAGAAUCAUGAUAGACAAACUCAUGUUGCUGCAGGACACAAAUAUUGUGAGUUUAUAUAUGUUUAAGCCUGAUCGCUUUUUUGGUUCACAUUCUUGUUUUAGUUCAGACAAUGUAGACUCGAAAAACAUAAAUAAUUUAGUUUAGCUGUUCGGACAAUCUGUAAGAUAUCUGUUGCACCAGUCACCAGGAAGAAGCUCAUAACUCGAAUAGCAAUGAGUGCUGAGAUUGCUCACUGCGGCGGAUGCCACUGCAGAAGUGUGAGGUGGCAAGUCGAGGCACCGUCAAGUGUCGUCGCGUGGAGCUGCAACUGCUCGGACUGUGCGAUGCGGGCCAAUAUACACUUCAUCGUGCCUUUUUCUAAAUUCAAGCUCUUAGGGGAUUCUGAGCAGUCCCUCACCACCUAUACCUUUGGUACGCACACGGCCAAGCAUAAAUUUUGCAAGAUAUGCGGCAUAACUUCUUUCUACAUUCCGAGAUCAAACCCGGAUGGCAUUGCGGUGACAGUUAAUUGUGUGGAUUCUGGGACGCUCAAACAUGUUGAGAUUAGGCGCUUCGAUGGAAGAAACUGGGAGAGUUCAUAUGGAAAAGCUUCAAUUUCCUCGUUUUCGAAAUCACCUGAGAAAUAACUGCUGCUUAUUCACUUUAGUUUCAGACAUUAUUUGCACCCAAUUCUCUCGCAGUUUCAGACAUUAUUUACAUCUCUAAUGCUCGCUGAAAAUUGUAUUCAAUUGGUCGGCACGUCUACAUGUAUCAGCAAUAGAUAAAUCUGCAGUUUGUUAUCUUUGAACUGUUCGAAUGAUAUACGUGAAACGCGCUUAAAUGUGGAGUUUUCCGCGCAUCGGAAUUGCGGAGAAUUUGUGUUCAUGAGCAGUGGGCUUUGUUCUAUCUAUUGGUGAAUCGAAUCAAAUUUAUGCCAUUUGGGGUUCGCAUCAAUUCAAUUUGUCCUUCUACAUGUGUCAGCAGUGAUUUAGCACAUUGUGUAUGGUUCUUUACCCACCUCGCAUAUGUUCAUGUCACUGUUUUGUUAUCCGGGAAAAGGAAAAAGAUGAAAAAAGACAAGCAGUUCCCCUUUGCCUUUGUCUGCAGAAUAUGUCUCCUUUGUUGACAAUAGUGUUACAAAAGUUGAUUAUGAAAACUGCAUCUAGCUUUGAUUUUGAAAAUUGUUCAAACUAAAUUAAAAUUCUUUGUUUGAAGACUUUUAGAACUGACGAAACAAACUACUGCAGGAGCCAAAUCAAACCGCUUGAAAUUUAAUUCUGCCCAUUCAAUUUUAAGUCUCCUAUAAGUUAAAUCUGUAGUAGAUUAAUCAUAAAAGAAAAUUCUAUAUACAAAUAAUCUACCAUAUAAAAACGUAUUACAUACGAAACUACAUGUGCACGAAAUGUCUUUAUCAUUUAUAUGAACAUAUGCUGCUGAUAUUUGGAAAUUUAUCAAUCAAACCGAGACCAAAAACUAAAAUUAUUUAUAGGCUUGGGAAACAGAAUCAAACCAAAACCAAAUAAAAACUAAACCAUUUUUUUUUCUUCCAUUUUUGUAGCUAAAUGGUGCGCACCCCCUAGAUUAAGCAGUGGUUAGGACGCGUCUUGUUUAACCAUCUCCAUCUCCUUGUUGCUGUUAUUGAUAGUGAAAUGCCAAUAAUUAAGACAUGACAACUACAAGAGCUAAAUUGGUUUAGGCAUUUUAAGCCUCUAAGUACGACAUCGCAGUCGCUUAUUCAUAGUAAGUGCCUGAUUCCUUGUCUAAAUUCUUCACUAAAAAUAUCUUGAUUAUCUGUAGCCAUUUGCAUUAGUUCCAGCCUCAAUUAACUUGCACCUGCAAUUCCUGGUUUUAGAGAGAGAUAGAGAGAGAGAGAGAGAGAGAGAGAUCAUGAAUAUAUAAUAGUCCCAUAUUAAUAAAAAGGAAUCCUAGCAUGUAUAUAAAGUACGAGGGUAUCACUUGGUUUAAACUUUUGUAUUAAGUCCUCUAAUAUGUCAAUAGAGGUUAGUUUACACCUUUCAAAUUGAACAUAAAAAGAGAAUUUUGCUCGGUUCAUAAAAUCCAUAAAUGUGGCAUGAACAUUAGUCAAUUUAAAAAAUAUCACUAUAAACUCAUAAUACCCCGUACUGUAUCCUGAAAGCCGUAUUUGGAUAGAUUUGUAGUGAUAUAUUUUGGAUACAUGUAUAUACAGUUGGUUUUACGUAUAUAUUUGUGGUUUGGCGGCUCUGUUACUCCCUUAUAGUUGUAUUUAUAUUUUUUGCAGAUUCAACUGUCGCUUCGUAUACACGAAAAAUUUUUGUAUAUACAACGGAUCUGUUGGCGAGCCCGAAAAACUGAAAUUCGGAAAGUGACGGAUUAAGUUGUUAUCAGAGAAUACUUCGGUGCUUCCAGGUCGUUUUCGAUGUUGCGACUAUUGAAUCGUCGAUCGGCUCAAUUAAACUUGAUCUAGAAUAUUCGAAGUACCUAGAAAAUAAAUUUUGCAAUUUUUCGAUAUCAUUUGCCUAGUGAACUAAGGGGCUCAAAAUCAACGGCUAAAAAUAAAAAUUUUACAAAACGUGAUAAUAUGAAAUUAAAAUUUUAGAUCAAAGAUAUUGAUCUUGUUUUAUAUACUAUAAAGAAUUUUCUAUCAAAAUUUUACGUGAUUUGAAUAUUUCUACACCGUUAAACUUGCAAACAGCUCACUACGGCCUUUAAAAUUAUUAAUUUUGAGCCCCUUCGAUCUCUAGGCAAAUGAUAUCGAAAAAUCAUAAAAUUUAUUUUCUAAGUACUUCGAAUACUCUAGAUCAAGUUUAAUGGAGCCGAUUGACGAUUUGAAAGUCGCAACAUCGAAAACGACCUGGAAGCACGGAAGGCUCCGUGCUUCCAGAAGCAUAGUAGCCUCUCUCUCUCUCUCUCCUCUCUCUCUAUAUAUAAUAUAUAUAGAAUUAGACUGGAAUACUAUUAAUAGUAAAACGCUCUUUUUGCUAUCAAGUUUUUAACUCUUGGAAGAAAAAUUGUAAGGCCAGAAUGAUAUUAGUCGGUUAGCGUUGAGGUCACCCUAGGGUUGAGUGGUCCCCACUAAUAGUAUUUAAUCCAAUGGUUAAAAAUAAUGAAAAAGUUGAUCCAAAGGCUAAAAAAUUGUAGGCAACAUGAGAUUUUGCUACUAAUAGUAGCCAGUCCAAUAUAUAAUAUAUAUAUAUAUAUAUAUAUAUAUAUAUAUAUAUAUAUAAAUAUAUCAUUGCCUCUGGUAUGCUUCUGGAAGUACGGAGUGCUCCGUGCUUCCAGGUCGUUUUCGAUGUUCGGACUUUCGAAUCGACGAUCGGCUCUGUUAGAGUUGAUUUAGAGUAUUUGAAGUAUCUAGAAAAUAAAUUUUGUGAUUUUUCGAUAUCAUUUGCCUAGUGAUCGAAGGGGCUCAAAAUCAACGGCUGAAAAUAAAAAUGUUACAAAAUAUGAUAAUAUGACAUUAAAAUUUUAGAUCAAAGUUAUUGAUCUUGUUUUAUAUGGUAUAAAGAAUUUUCUAUCAAAAUUUCAUGUGAUUUGGAUAUUUCUACACCGUUAAACUUGCAAACGGCUCACCACGGCCAUUAAACUUAUUGAUUUUGAGCUCCUCCGAUCACUAGGCAAAUGAUAUUGAAAAAUCACAAAAUUUAUUUUCUAGGUACUUCAAAUACUCUAGAUCAACUCUAAUGGAGCCGAUCGUCGAUUCGAAAGUCCGAAUUUCGAAAACAACUUGGAAGCACGGAGGGCUCCGUACUUCCAAAAGCAUACCAGCCCACUCUCUCUCUCUCUCUCUCUCUCUCUCUCUCUCUCUCUCUAUAUAUAUAUAUAUAUAUAUGAGAGAAAAAGAUAGCAUAUUAUCCGCUACGUUUUAUAUAUUUUUUCUAAAAAUAAACUUAACUGAAAAUAAAAAUUAGAUUUUCGAACUUUGGUUCUCGACACCGACCAUCAAAUUUUUUGUCGCGUGAGUUAAGGACAGUCAAUAGUAAUUAAAAAUAAUAUUCUCUUAUUCGUUUGAGUUUCUAAAUUGAACAGUUAUUUCACAUAAUAUCAGAACAGUUUCACUUGUUAUUAAGCCAAUUAAAAAGUCUAGGAUCUCGUAUACCAUUUUCCUUUACUAGUUCCAUAAGUUUUAUUUAAUAAGAUAUUUUAGAGGUUGGAGUCCUUCAACCAGAGGGAGAGAGGGUUCUUGCAAUUAAGCCUUCUUUUUUGGUCAUAUAGCUAGGUGGGGAGUCACCAAACAAUAACAUUGGAUUCUUGAGCAAGUGAUAGCCCUAGUGGGAUGCUUGCUCACACAGGCAGGAACAGCUAAAUAUGGAUAGAUAGGAACUUGAACACAAAAGGGGAAAUAAAGGGGCACUAGCAAAGUAAAGUUGGUGAAAUGGGGCUUUUCAUCAUUGUGAUGUGCAGUUGUUGCAGUGAUGCCCUGCACUCUCUGGGUGAACUGGGUUAUUCCUUCAUCCGACUUUACCAUUCUGCAUCUUUUUCCUGGCUUCAGACAGAAGUCUAGUCCAAAGCUUUCCCACACAUCUCUCUCUCUCUCUCUCUCUCUCUCUUAUUAAGUGUUUCUUAGUUUGUGUUGAAAACCAUGUAGAUUACCUACUGUCCCUAUCUGUUAAAUUAUAUAAAACAAACAGCUGUAUUGGGGUCGAAACUUUUCGCUAGAUCAUAACGUUUGAAUUAAAUGAGAGAAGAUUAAUAAUGUCAAGUACCUAGUAUAAUUCGAACUCAGAACCUUCUGUUUUAAUACUAUGUUAAAUUACAUAAAAUAAUCGUUGUACUCAGCUUCAGUUGGUAGGGAAUGGUGUUUAACUGUUAUUAUAUUUAACACUAUCGUGAGCGGUAAAGAACUUAAUAGUUAGUUUUUCAAGUUUCAGAUUUGGAGCUUAGUUACUUCGCAUUUACAAUUAUAUUUAUUUAAAAAAAAUUAAAUGAAGCAGGUAAAAUAUUUAAAAGAUCGCAAUGCUCGACCAAAUAUAGUGAUGCCUUGGUUCAUUCCUUCUAAACUUGCUAACAGUGUCUUUAAGACAUGCAUCUGAACCAAUCGGCUCACAUCGUCUAAAAUUAUCGGCGCAUUAAUAAUCUUUAGACAAAAAUUUAACGCUAAUCAUAGCAACAUGGAUGAAAGAAUAUGUGAGAUAUCUCUAACUGAGAUGCAUUUCUUUGUCGAUCAUCGUCGUUGAAUAUCGCUUGGUUUGAAUUUAAAAAUAGAGUUAGUAACAUUAUCGAAGAGUCUGAGUAAAGCUCAUCAUGUCCUAGAUUUUCUUCUGUUAGACAAGGAUGUGCACCGCACGCAACAGGAAGUAGUACAUUUUUGGAUGGGAGUGGGGACUUCAUUUGUUUUUUACUUGCUUUGGCACUUACCAGAUGGGACUAUCUCAAAAUAUAUUUACUUGGGUACGAUCCAAAUCGUAAGGCCUCAACCUAUGAAGGGAAAUAAAUAUAUAGCUUUCACAUGUUGAAUGUUUCGCAUGUUCCAGCUUCACGUGACCAUACAUUUUUGGUGGUUCCAGUGGAAAAUUUUGUAAUCCACAUACAGUUUCUUCUCUUUUCUUUUCUCUUUUUUCUUUUCUCUUUUUAUGUGUCGCAGUAUUGCAAUUUGCGGAACAUACUUCUACACCCCAUAAGAGAUUUUUUUUUUUUCUCAAAACCAACACACGCAAAUUGCACGAUCACUUGGAACUUCUCGGUGCAUUAAACUGCACCCCUCCUCUAUUUCUUUCUUUCUCUUUUUUCCUUUCUUUUGAGAAGCGAAAAAAAAGAAAAAAAAAUCUUGUGAAACGAUCAAUAUAGAACAUUUUUGUUGAAGAUAUUUGGAGUCCCCGCAACUAAGUGUUUAUUAAUUACUCGACGCUAUAGGAUAAAUCCACCGAUCAUUAUCUAAUACGACUUGGCAAAUUACUAUCAUUUGUACUAUAUAAUAUAGACUACAAAAAUAAAAGUAUACUAAUUAAAAAGUAAGAGAGAUCUAACUUACUUCUUACUCCUUACUUUUAAUAGUUACACACUACGAUAAAACUGCUCGAAAAGUGCUUCACUGAAUAGCAUCUGGUUAAUGUUACUGCAACAUUGUAAGCUUAAUCAUCCUCAUCAGAUAACUAAGCAUCCCUUACAUUUUGUGUCAGUAGUGCAUGAAUCCCUCUCUUAUCCAUGUGUGGACCAUGAAUACCGUUAGCCACGUGAGUGUCAGUAUGCGUGGGACUCGAGAUCCACUGUAGCUCCCACACGUAUAAGAUGGGGCCUCAGUGUUCCAAUGGGUCAAGGGCACGUUCAAAGUUGUGUUUCAGAGACCCGAACUGGUAGUUAUUGUGCUCAGUGGUGUACAUGAAAUGUAUCAUUCAGAUUGAUCUGAUCUGUUUCCCUGAGACUUUUUAGUGCAAUCGCUUGUGGGGGGUGGAGUCCCAGAGUGCUCAGAUGCUCACAUUUUCACUGCCACACCACGUGAUCUCCACGCCGGGUUAGAGUGGCGAUUCCGAAACUAGCUUAAGCUGAGCUCGAACUGAAACUUGCGAUCUAAUUAAAGUCGGUGGGAAUGGUCAGAGUAUUCUAUCAACUCAUCCAAAAUUACGUGGUUUCGUCAACAUGAAUCUCAAAACAGCGUGAAUGCAAUCUGCGUUGCCCGUUAGAUUCUUUGUGUACAUACUUUUUAUGGCCAACAAUCCUGAUUCCACCGACCGUACCUAGAGCAAGUGGCAAAGGGUUUGGUGAUUGGUAUUCGAGACCCAAGUUCGAAUCAUAGUUGAUUUACAUUUCCAGCUAAAUUUAUUUCUAAAUGAAAUAAACAAAGCGGAUAGAUGAUACCUAUCUCUAAAAAAAAAAAAAAAAAAAAAAAAAACAAUGCUGGUUCCUAAUCCUUUUUGAAUUGGAUUAUUCAAGCUUUGCGUUUAUGCACGUAAGCUAUGGUUCAACAUAAAAUCGUGAAAAAUAGUUUUUCAUAGAAAAAAAUUUUCGUGGAAAAAUAUUUUUUACAUUUUUUAGUAGUUGGUUUGUAGGAAAAAAUAGUUUUUCAUCAAAAUAUAUUUGGUUGAAGGAAAAAAAAAAACACUUGUUUUGUUUGGUGAAAAAAAAUGAAUGAAAAUAAUUUUACGUAGCUGAGUUUUCAUUUUUCGCUGAAAAAUAGCAGAAAAUAAAAAGUUUAUUUUUUUCUCGAAUCCGUAAAAUACUUUUGCAAAAAAAAUAUUUUUACGUCGAGGCAAAUAAGCGAAAAAAUAAUUUUUUAUACCGAAAAUUAUUUUUCGGUUCAUUUUAUGCGGAACCAAACACCACCUGCGUGAAAUAGGUUCCAUUUUCAAAAUUCCAACCACUAAAUAUUUGAUUAAAUAUAUUAAAAUAUAUUUCAGCUUCACAUACCUAAUAAUAUUAGACAAGCGUUUCAAACAGCACUAACAAAGAUGAUGGAUUUACCACGCAACAACUAAAAAUUCAAUCCUAAAUCUCUCCAAUUCUUCUAAGCGUGCAUGACGGAAAAGAGAACGGAAAAGAAUUCUAGAGUCGAAUCGACGGUACUGAUUUAGGAACAAAAAGUUGAUCGGAGUAGACCGUGUUAUUAACCGUUCAUCACGUGUACAAUACGAAUUUAUAAUCACAAAAACUAUAAAUAUUAAUAUUAUUAUUAUUAUUUUUAUUUGCAGUGGGGGCGGGGUUGAUAUGGACGGUGGAUCGCACACCUAUCACCCUCCGAACAGUUCACAGUUACACAUGCGCACCCGUCCUAUUUAUCGGGCUCUGUUGGUCCCCAGUUUGGCUCGUCGACCCAAAAGAACGCGACUGCGUUCUCUCGGGUGCGGUCCCAACACCGAGCUCGACGCUGAUGGGAUUCAGAGGAACCUAGUCAACACUGCUAGUCCUCUUCACUAUUUUUCUUUUUUUUAUUUUCUUUUUUUUUAUUUUUUAUUUUGGGCUUGUACUAUUUAUUGGGCUCCCCCCUUUUCACACUCUCUCUCCCUGUUGAAACCAGACCUUUCUCUCUCUCUCUCUCUCUCUCUCUCUCUCUUUCCGGGAUUCAAAUUGCUCUGAAGAAGAAGAAGAAGACGACGGCAAGGAACGCGAGGAAGCGAGGAGCUAGGGUUUCAAAUCGCGCUUCUCCUGCGCUCCAUCGACGGAUCGAAGCAACUAGAGGAACCUAGAGGGUUCGGGAUUUGGAUGGUGGGUGCGAGAGAGGAUUAGGGCGGCGGAGAUGGCUGAUCUGAGCGGCGGCGGCGGAGGAGAGGGUUUUGCGGCGGAGGCUGGGGGCAAUGCGGCGGCGCUCAAGGGGGCGCCGCGGCGGAGGGGGUCGAUUCGGCGGAGCUUGGAUGCGGACGAGUUCAUCAACAUGCUCCACGGGUCCGAUCCGGUGAAGGUCGAGCUCAAUAGGCUCGAGAACGAAGUCAGAGGUGGGAAUGUGGUUCGAUCUGUAGUUUUUUUUUUUUUUUUUUUUUUGUCCUUGUGUUCUAGUUUUCUUUUCUUUUUUUUUCUAAAAAAAAUUGUUAUUAUUAUUGUUAUUUUUGUCCAGAUAAGGAGCGUGAAUUAGGAGAGGCUCAGGCGGAGAUCAAGGCUCUGAGGUUAUCGGAGCGUGCAAGAGAGAAGGCUGUCGAAGAGGUCUUACUCUUUUNGGAGGGGGUCGAUUCGGCGGAGCUUGGAUGCGGACGAGUUCAUCAACAUGCUCCACGGGUCCGAUCCGGUGAAGGUCGAGCUCAAUAGGCUCGAGAACUAAUUUAGAGGUUUUUCUGUUAUUGAUUUUUUAGAUUUUUUAUGUUUUUUUUUUUUAUUUUAUGAACUUAUUUUCUCGUUUUCUUAAUCUUUUGACUGAGUAACUCCGACUUGUAAAAACGUGGGGCAAAAAAAAAGUGUUUUUUCUUAAUAUUUUUGUCGUGAUUGUCGAAAAUGUCUUCUAAAAACAGUGCUCGUCAAAUGAAUUUAUGGACUUGAAUAGUAUUUGAGAUGUAUAAUCUAGUCCUAUGUAGUAAUCGUUCCUCCUGCUAUAUACUAUAUCAUGAUUGAAAAUCCUUGUGAUAUUGUUGGGUUCUACUUUAGGUGAAUCAAGGCCUGCAAAUUUAGUUUUUUCACAAUGCUUAUAUUGCUAUUUUUAUAGGGUUUGACUCGAUCGCAUAAUCUAGUAUUAAUUCAGCUGUUUUAUCUGCCAUCUAGAAAUUCACCUACUGUUAUACUUCUGUCCGGUUCUAAAAUUUUUAUUGGUUGACGAAAACUUGGCAAAUUGGCAUCUUCUAUCUUGUUAGCAAUGUAGCAGUUUCGCUUUGUGUUAAAACCUGAUUUAUGGUUCUUUUUAGCUCGACAUCCACUGAUUUCACUCUUGCAAUGUCAGCUUUCAGAGGAGUUGGCAAAGUUGGACGAGAAACUCAAGCUAACGGAAUCCCUUCUUGAAAGCAAAGUAUGUAUACGCAGUACCUUACCUUGUGCGACCUCUUAUUUUAGUUUUCAUUCAGAACUGAAUCUGGUGAGAAAUGCAACUUACAGAAUCUUGAAAUCAAGAAGAUUAAUGAUGAGAAAAAAGCCUCCAUGGCUGCCCAGUACGCAGCAGAAGCUACACUUAGGCGAGUUCAUGCAGCUCAAAAGGAUGAUGACAUGCCCCCAAUUGAAGCCAUUCUGGCACCGCUUGAGGCAGAGCUGAAGCUUGCCCGUCAGGAGGUAACAUUCAACCCCGUAUCUGCCUAUCUUUUUACUCUUCCUGUUUAGAAGCUUUUACUUCUAGUUCACUAUAGAAUGUAAUGAUGUUUUCGUAUUUCAAAGCUUAUUCUCAGUUAUCUAUGCAGAGGUUCUAUUAGGUCAUUUUCUAUAUUAUGCUCCUAAUCUCUCGGGGGAAUUUUCAAAGACAAUUUAUACAAUACUUCUGAAUGAGAUUGAAAGCUGGUCAUCGUCAUAGUGUUUCGUUUAUUUGAUUCCUUUUAAUCCUCCAAAGCUCCCUGCAUAAUUUUGCUAAUGAUAAUUCACCUACUUAGUACAAUAGAUUGCAAAAAUGGGGCUGUUGACAUAUCAUCUCUCAUGGUUACUUAAGAAAGAUUUAGACAAUUAGUUUCUCAUUUACUAUUCUUAAGUUUUCACAAACUGAGCUUAUCCCAGGAAUUAAUAAAUUCGAAAUAACAUCAGCAUUUCCUACAUAGACAUGAUACGUGUUAAUUUGAAAGCAUUCUAUCGGUCAUAACUCAUAAGCUACUCUUAUGGAGUGGAAGUAACCCCUUUUGCUGCAGUGUAACCAGUGUUGGAUCCCAUUAAACCAAUCUGUUGAUUUACUUCAUUUGCAUAUUUAAUGCAAAUAAAAUAAAAUGGCAACAAGAUAUUGUUACAGAUCUAGUAUAUUUGCAGAUUGCAAAGCUGCAAGAUGACAAUAGGGCAUUGGAUCGUCUGACCAAAUCCAAAGAGGCAGCAUUAGUGGAAGCAGAAAGGACCGUACAGAUUGCUUUAGCAAAGGCUUCUAUGGUGGAUGAUCUACUAAACAAAAAUCAGGAGCUGAUGAAGCAGAUUGAGAUCUGCCAGGUGUCUAUGAUGUGCAAUAUCUUAACUUGAAUAUGAUAAAAGAAAGAGCUCGGUCUUGUAGAAAGGUGCCAAUCUCAGAAUUAAAAAUUCUCUUAUAUUUUUUGCAUUUUAGGAAGAAAACAAGAUCUUGGACAAAUUGCACCGCCAAAAAGUCGCAGAGGUUGAAAAGCUUAGCCAGACUGUGAGGGAGCUAGAAGAGGCUGUUCUUGCUGGUGGCGCAGCUGCUAAUGCUGUUAGAGACUACCAGCGUAAAGUUCAGGAAAUGAAUGUAACAUAUCUUUGAGUUUUAUCUUGUUGUUUAAAUGUCUUCAGAAAGUUAGAAAUCCUCAUUGUAUUCCUUCUCAUUCCAUACAAACUGUUUUCUUCUUAAUAUCUGUACUAAUUUAGGAAGAGAGGAAAACGCUUGACCGAGAGCUUGCCCGUGCAAAAGUUACAGCAAAUAGGGUUGCUGUUGUAGUUGCAAACGAAUGGAAAGAUGCUAAUGACAAAGUAAUGCCUGUUAGACAGUGGCUGGAGGAGCGAAGGUUCAUGCAAGUACGUAGACAUGCCAACAUAUCUUUACUUUGUUGACAUAAUUACAUUUUGUUACUCAUCCUUUUUUUUACAGUAGCUUUAUCAUCACCAAAAUUUUAUGCAACAGGGGGAAAUGCUGCAGCUGCGCGAUAAGCUUGCCAUAGUGGAACGCGCUGCUAGAUCCGAAGCUCAAUUAAAGGUAAGACUUCACUAACAGAUCACCUGAGGCUUAAGCCUGCUCAUAUAUAUUUUUGUCUAACGCCUAGAUGCUUGCAAUGCGUGAUCCUUUUCUGUUUUUAGGAGAAGUACCAGUUGCGACUGAAAGUAUUGGAAGAAGGAUUGAGAAUGCCCUCAAGCAGUUCCACUCGUCCCGGUGCAGAAGGCAAGUCUUUAAGCAAUGGCCCUUCCCGUCGCCAAUCACUGGGUGGAGCUGAUAACAUUUCUAAGUUGUCUCCAAGCGGCUUGUUACUUAAGAAAUCUCCAUCAUUUCAAAUAAGAUCUUCUCUCUCCACAGGCAGCAGUAUAGUACUGAAGCACGCAAAAGGUGCUUCGAAGUCAUUUGAUGGUGGUAGUAGGUCACUAGAACGUGCAAAAGUCCUUACAAAUGGAGCAGGUCAUUUAAUGAACAGAUCGUCAGAUAGUAUUAGAGACAGUGAGAUGAAUGACUAUUCUAAAGAAAGCACAGAUGAAAAAUCAAUAGUUGAUUCUGCUAACAAUGAUUUGAAUGAUUCUGUCUCUGGAUUGUUGUAUGAUUUACUGCAGAAGGAGGUAGUCAUGUUAAGAAAAGCAUGCCAUGAGAAAGAUCAAAGCCUGAAGGACAAGGAUGACGCGAUUGAGGUAUAUGACUAGCCUUUUGUUGCCACAUCCUUCUCCAUUUUUGAAAGCCCUUUAACUCUUUUUUUUUUUUCUAUUUUUUAAUGCAGAUGCUAGCAAGGAAGGUGGAUACAUUAAAUAAAGCAAUGGAAGUGGAGGCCAAAAAAAUGAGAAGGGAGGUGGCCGCCAUGGAGAAAGAGGUUGCCGCCAUGCGUGUGGAGAAGGAGCAAGACAAUAGGGCUAAGCGGCUUAGUAGUUCCAAGGCUCCUGUAAAUACUUCCCAGCUGCUAUCUGGGAGGUAAGAUCGAUUUCCUGACUAUCAGAACAGCUUUUAUUUUAUUUCAAGUUCAAGGUUUUGGGAACCCAAGUUUGUUGUCCUCUUCUUUUUUUUUUUUUUUAAUUUUGUGGUGCAAAUGUAUAGACAUUACCUGAAAAACAGUGCAUUUUGAACUGGAUACCUGAAGUUCAAAGUUUUAAUUGUACUACCUAAUCUUACUUUCUUUUUGAUAUCUGAAAGACUGGAACUGUUAUAAUACAAUCUCUAACAGUUCAUGGCGUCAUUUUGUCUGCAGAAAUGUCCCACGAAGUGGGUUGACGCGCAAUGUUCAAUGACAAAGCAACUCGAAGUAGAGCUCUCAUGCUCCUUUUGCUCUUCCAACCUACUUUGUUAUCCCCAAGCUUCCAUGACUUGUGGAUUAAAAUCGGCACGGACGACCCUUAUACUAUCAAGAAAGAGGGGAAAAAAGAAGAAGAAAGAGGACACAAAGAGGGCCGAUGUGCAUCUGACACGACUUUUCGCCGUAAUGCUGUAGUUGGGGUGAUGCUUUAAGUCAAGCUAACCUUCUUUGUUUUGUUUCUUAUUUUGUUUUUUCAAGUCAAGGCUCGUUAUCCGUUUUGUAAGACGAACCUUUUGUAUUGUUUGUAUAGGUUGGAGUAUUCUAUUUCUUCCUACUUGCUCUCUUUUAACAGAGUGUGGUGGAUUCCUUUUCUCUACCCAGGUGGUGAAUAUAUUCUUAUACCAUGUGGUUGGUUUGGUAUUGAUUUUAUCGUCACAAUGUUUGUGAGAAAAUUUCUUAUCCCAACUGUGGUUGUAUGCGUGUAACUUAGCAAACGAAUAUGAAACUUUCCGUUUAGAUUUGAGUUUGAUUUUACCGAUAAACAAUUUAUAUUUUGGCAUCUGUAUAGAAUAUAGGGCUCGUUUGUUGAUGUAACUAUCAAUUUACUCCGUUCCCUUUGAUUCUGUUUAAGUACAUGUAUCUCUUCCAAGAUUUCCGAUGCCACUUAAAAACUAACAUUCUUUCUUAUAUUUAUCCUCUUUUUAUUACUAAAUCUCUUUAUUUUUAUUUUCUUUCGAUUUUUGUUUUUCUUAACGCAACAAGAUUCAAAGAUAUUUGACCAGGUUCGAAGGAAUCGUGACCAUUUUGGACGUAUUUGGUCAACAACUGUUGCUUCACGCACACUUGAAUGCACAAUUAAAAAAAUACCUUCUCCUCGCGGAUUUUUGUCUCGCUAAUUAGAUUCGGUUCGACAUGCUUUCAAUGACUCGCACCUAAAAUACCGUGAAUCAGGUACAGAGGAAGCGAACACCGUACAAAGCCCUCACCCCUAUCAUGACCCCACACGUGUACAUUUCCGAGUGGGCCCCACGGUACGUACGGUCGCAAGCCCCACGCCUACGCCUAAGCCCACCUGUAUACACGGGAUUUCGUAUACGUGAUACGUCGUCACAGCUCUCUCUACUUGGGGCGUCAAAAUUCACUUCCGACGAACGUCCGCAUAGAGAGAUCCUAUGCGGGAAUAUUUGAAAGGUGAUGCUAAUACGACCUUUCUCUCUCUCUACGGUCUCGCUUUCCUAUUUAUCGUCGAAUUAAAAAAGGAAAAAAAUGAAAAUAAUCCCACACCGCUACUCCCUCCGCACUUCCUCCGACGCGCUCGCCGUGCGAUUCCCCUCCUCCUCCUCCGCCUCCGGCGGCGGCGGCCUCCCGGCGGGGCCCGGCCGGUGAGUCGAUCGAUCCGCUUUGGUUCCUUUCGGGGUUCUGGUUUCGAUCUCAAUCAACUACUUUUUUAGAAUUUCUCGUGAUCUGAUGAGUUGGAUUGGUUUCGUGAUCGAAACUUGUGAUCGGUUUUGUAGGAUCUGCACGUUUCUUUUUUGUGUUGUACUUCGAGUUGGAUUAGUUUUGGUGCAGGGUAGAUGUAAAGCUCAGCUGAAGGAGAAUUCUGAUUAUGGUUAUGGUUGUUAGGGUUAUCUACUUUUAUUUUUUGUGGCGAUUUUAAGCUGUUUUUGUUGAUGGGAACAAGCUCUUUGUUUGUCUUAGGAUCAAAUAAUUUUUUCCGAGGGAAAUUUUGCAAUCGUAUCGUGAGAGAGAUUACAUCAGAUUUUUUUUUUUUUUUUUUUUUUUUUUUUGAUGCGUAAUGUUAGAUCGGUUUGGACAAUCAUUCUUGCAGUAUACCUUUUUUUUUUUAGGCAACACACUAGUUUUAUUUAUAAAUUAGUUACUUUUUGGUAUCCUUCUAUAUACACUCUUCUUAACAUUUUAGUUUGUCAUAUAUCAAUUCUUUUUCACUCGAGAAUUUUGUAUUCUCACACCAAUUACUCUUAGCACCGCCUCUCCUAAGUUGAAUCAUGAUCAAUUAUUCCCCCAAUUCUCUUAAUUUUUUCCUUUUUUUCCUUAACCUAUUUGGUUGAAUGUUAUGUAUUGAUUACAUCUAUGCAUCACUAUCAUUAUAUUAUAUGAAAAGGAUGUUGUUUUGUAAGACGGUCUCGUUGCUAGGGGGUUUAGGAUGGCAAGUGGAAUGUACCAGAUUCGGCGGGUGUAGCCUUGAUCAUCAAUCCAAAUGCCGCCACUUCGUGGUUCUUUUAUUAUGUAAUACUUAUUACCUAUACGUGAAUUAUCUCAUUUGUGUAUAUUUUAUGCAGAGGAGGAUUGGAUUGCUAGAGCAUCACACAUCGAGUUGAUUGAAAGCUUGUAUGCGGAGCAAGGUUGAGUUCUAGGCUAUCUUUAACGAGAUGAAAGGCGGAGGUCUGCUGAAACUAACAAGGACGAAUCUAUUUUUCAUGUUUAUCAUCCUUAUCUUUACAACGCUUAUUAUCUGGGCACGUGAGAGAACCCCGCUCGUCACACCUUUCCAACCAUCUCUGGAGCACUUUGAUGUUCUUUCUCCAGGUAUCUCUCUUUUUGAGCCCAUUGCUUUUCUUCUUUUGGACAUUUUUCAGUUUUAGGUGGUCCUUCAUUGCCCUUUUUCAUUGGCUGUUUUGGUUUCUCUUUCUACAGUUCUAUUGAUUCCUUCUUUAACUUCUCUCCUGAUUCUCUCAGAGUAUGCACGACCGCAGCUGUCUGUGGAAGACGAUUCAUCCGUUCUAGGUAAACUUCGAAACUCAUUAUCCGAAGAUGCAGAGGCAACGAUUGGCACUCCAUCAGUGGAGAUCUCAACACCUAGUUCAACUGAAAGAGAAAAAGUGAACGAGGAUUUAAAAGAGGAUCUUACAGCGAGUGAAAGUGAAAAGGAGCACGAAGAUUUGAAAAAGGAUCUUAGAGCAACUGAUAGUGAAAAAGAGCACGAAAAUUUAGAAAAGGAUCUUCCUUUGAAGAAAGGUAAUUUAUAAUUCUUUUAUUUUGUGAUUUCUUGUGAUAAUGAAUCUUUCUAUAGUUUCUUUUUGUACUAUUCAUGAUCCACGGUAUCAUGGCGAUGUGUUAUCACUCAUCACUAAUGUAGCUAGAUCUUUUCUUCUUCUUGAAGCCUUUUUUUUAUUUUAUUUUUGAGUAGUACUUAACUCUGUUGCUUAUACUUCUUAUACUGUUUUAUUUUCCUUUGAACAUCUUUGACGACAGUGUGCAUGUCUUGAUGCAUCUGUCUGUGUUGUUGAUGUUAUCUUGCAGGAAAUAAUGUGUCUGUUGUUGAGGUGUCUUGGUAGGAAGUACUUAGGCAAAUCCCUUUAAAUCCUUGCUUCUUAAGAUCAUUUAAAUGUGUCUAAUAUACUUAUUAUUCUUCUCAGAUUGUAAUUUUGCAAAAGGAAAAUGGAUCAAGGAUAAAAAGCGGCCACUAUAUUCUGGUUUUGGAUGCCAGCGAUGGCUCUCAGAAAUGUGGGCUUGUAGAGUGAUGAAGCGUCCAGAUUUCUCCUAUGAGAAUUUCCGAUGGAAACCAGAAAACUGCGAGAUGCCUGAGUUCACAGGGCACGAGUUCUUGAAGAGGUACAUGUUCCUUUUCCAAUAUUUUAAUUCUUACAUCUUUGUGGUUAAUUUAUAUGGUUGUGUUUGGUUCCCAGGAUGAGGCACAAGACAAUAGCUUUUGUAGGUGAUUCCUUGGGGAGGCAGCAAUUUCAGUCCCUAAUGUGUAUGGUCACUGGUGGUAAAACUAGCUUACCUGUUGAAGAUAGCGGUAGAGAAUUCGGUCUAGUUAAAGCUCGUGGUGCUAUACGGCCCAACGGUUGGGCCUAUCGCUUUCCAAGUAGCAAUACCACCAUUCUUUUCUACUGGUCUGCAAGUUUAUGCGAACUGCAGCCUCUGAACAAAUCAAAUCCAGCUACAUAUUAUGCUAUGCAUCUAGAUCGUCCUGUAACGUUCUUGAAGCAGUUUCUCGAUAGGUUUGAUGUUCUCAUCCUCAACACCGGCCAUCACUGGAAUAGAGGGAAAUUCAAAACUAAUAGGUGGGAAAUGUAUGUCAAUGGGACACCCAACACAAAUAAACGGCUUGCCGCGAUAGGAAAUGCCAAAAACCUUACUAUAUACAGCAUUGCCAAAUGGCUCGAUUCAGAACUUCUGCGACGCCCAAAAUUGAAAGCUUUUUUCCGGACAUUAUCGCCCAGGCAUUUUGUUAAUGGAGAUUGGAAUACUGGGGGAAGCUGCGAUAACACAGUUCCCUUGGCUGGGGGCAGUGAGGUAGUGCAGGAUGGUUCAAGCGAUAUAGUUACUGCAGGUGCCGUAAAUGGAACUAGGGUUAAGAUUUUGGAUAUUACUGCUUUGUCGCAGUUGAGAGAUGAGGCACAUAUAUCAAAAUACAGUGCAAAAUCGUUGAAGGGUGUGCAUGAUUGCUUGCACUGGUGCCUUCCUGGUGUUCCUGAUGCAUGGAAUGAAAUCCUGUUCGCACAGCUUUAGACUAGUUUCGGGACAAAUGAAAUGAAUGGAACAGCGAUCUAUUGGAGAAUGUAGAAGGAACACAUGAAGGAGGUCCUGCAAAGCAGUUGAUCUUUCUUUUGGAAGAUCUUUCAUCUAGCCUUAAGAGGCUUAGUUGUAUUGAGCCUCUUAUCUUUUCUCAGUUUUCUUUGAUUCUUUGGACUAGCCUUUCAGAGGUAAUUACAUUAGGUAAAACAGUGGCAAUACCUUCUUUAUGUCAGUUUUAUGUUAUUUAUCUUGUUUCUAAGUUGAGGUCUAUGAACUGAAGGUGCAUUUGCUACUGGAGAUGGGAACAUGAUUGGGAUGGCCCCUUGACGUUGUUUUGCUGACAGAACAGUGACGACCUGUAAAUCUACUAUAUUAUGAUAAAAUGUAUUGAACUUUUCACAAUACAUAAGAAACUGAUCUAAGUAUAUAGACCUUCUGAAGUUUCGUAUUAUUUCUUUCUUCCGUUUUAUUUUGGGAUGAAGUCAUAUGGAGUGAAGAUGAGUUUGCUCCUACAUUGGCUUAGAAAACUGUAUCUGUCUUUCUAAUGUAUUGUAAGGUUAGUUUAUACUUUCUCUGGAAUUUUGUUGAUGUUUCCAGCAAGGUUUUAAGUGCCCGUCGGUACGGGGCGUAUCCGCCGUGCCGUACCGUGCCAACAAGAUACCUACACGAUACAGACCCUGUGCCGAUGGCAUAGGUUAAAACCCUUUAUUCUUUAAAUUAGUAAGUAAUUUCCUCAAUAAAGUUCAAAAGAUGUGAUAAAAAGAUAUAAUAAAUAGUUAGAAUAUUUUGUUGCUAAAGAAAAUAAAUAUUUCAUGCUAUUAUGUGUCGACACACAAGAAUUUUUUUGACCGGCACGCAUCGGCACAGCUCGGCACGCACCGUGCCGUACCGUGCCGGCAAGUUUCCGGCACGAUCCCGUGCCACGGCACUUAAAUCCUUGGUUUCCAGUAUUUCUUUUCUGGACUACUAUGUUGCUUGUUGUGUUCAUUAUUUUGUAGAUUGCGAAGUACAUGAUUUUGGAUAGCAAAUUCAGCAGAACCAAAUUGUUGAGACACUUUCAGGAGGCUGAGCCGCCUCCAGGUUGCCAAAAACUAUGCCGAGUUUAUCUGAAACACUUGAAAGAAUUGGUGGUGAGUUUGAAAUAUGAUUCAUAAUGGUAGGUUUUGAAGAUAUCAAAUUCUUUCUAUUCCUUCCCUGAAAUUCUACGGAUUUUUACGCUUUUCUUACAGUAUUAUAUUCUUGACUUGAUUGUAAAUUUGACUAUACCAAAACUAACACUCAGAUCUUAGCAUGGUGGAUCAUGCUAAAAUAUUUCUUGCAGUAGAUGCCAUUGCGUUCAACUGUAAGUAUCCUAACAGCUUAUGCUACUCUUUAGGCAUCUACUUACCAAUUUAGAAUGUUUUGAGUGUGAUAAAUCAAAGUAGAAAACUUAGAAAAGCUAAUCACUGUAACAAUAUUCGUCUAGCACUGGGAAGUAUGGUAGUGUUGACAUAUAUUAUCAUUUUUUUUAAAUUCUUUGGUUCUAAUUAUAAUAGUUGCUAUUUUAUUUUUUUUUCUCCUUGAUGUUUCUAGUAAUUGUCAAUGUUCUUUUGAGUAGGAGAGUGAUAUAGCAGAGUAGGUCCACCCUCUUAAAUUAGUCAAAGAUUGAGGCAGCUAUUUCUGACCAACAACAAUGGUUGCAAUUUUUCUUUGGUAAUAAGUGAUCGUAUAUCCACUUACUCUUUUACAAAAUUUUAGGACUAGUGUUUGAUGUGUGUGAUUCGAAUUGGGUGAUUACAGAUAAGUGUAAAAGAGUAGAAUCAACAUUCCUUCGACAAAAAGAUGAAGAUACCUUUAUACGGCCUAAAAAAUUUCAAUAGUUUUUGGUGCCUUUUCAUUCUCUAUCUCAAUUUUGGAUCUUUUACCCAGCUUUGUUUUUACGCGAGGAAAGUAUGUUCUUUUCUGAUUGAUAGCAACAAGAGGUGAACUGAUUCUUAAAUAGCCAAGUUAGUAUGACAUUAUGGCAAACAACUCAUAGCAUAAACCUGGUGUUCAAAUAGUGGAAGCCAAAAUUCUUUUCUUUUCCUUUUUUUUUUUGAACAAAUUGGUGACCACCCUGCUGAAGAAUCUGUGCUAAGAUAAAGAUGCAAACACAGUAAUCUACUGCAAGAUGAAGAAGAUCAAAUACACCAUCAACAAGUCGCAAAAGUUAAACAUGGUUGGGUGAAGAACAUAUAAAUAAGAAAGGCCAAUCAGAAAACUUCUUACUCUGAACAAUAGUAUAAUCAAGAUUAUCAUUGAUAAAUACCAACCAAUCUUAUUAUCUCAUCAAUCUCGCGAUUAGCUACUUAGUCAAAAUCACUCUCCAGCAUCUUCAGCAUUAAACAACAGAAGAGAGGAUGACAGAGAACCUCAUUUAAAAAAUAAUCUCAUUUUAAUAAAUAAUCUGCAGGUCAACCAACAUACUACAACUUGAUGAUAAGAAGAUCGAUGCAGACACAAGAGCCAGUUAAGAUAAACCUAAAAGCUAACUAUCUCACAAACACAACUAAACCCUUCUAAACACCACAAAGAUCCCAAAGUCACUCCUGGGAAGAUGCUCAAACACUACUACUAUUUUUCGCACGAAAUUGCACUACCAAAAGCUUAUAUACAUGCUAAUCAGUGGAAACAAAUGAGGUGGUACCUCCAAAGAAGUAAAAGGGAACUUUGUUUUUUUUUUUUUUUUUACACCUAAUAACACAAUAAGAGAAGAGAGGAUGAUCGGUUUACACUCUCCCUACAAGGUUACGUAGAUAGGCAAAAGAAUUCACCUUCUUGCUGCUUUUUCAGAAAGGUGAAAAACGUAGUUUUAGGCAGGAUUUGAACUAAUAGGGGGGGCUUGAUCUGAAACAUUAGCUAGUCCUUGCAUCAACCUAACAAUUUCUGUAGUAUCAUCCAGAUAAUAUUUCGCUUUACUGGGCUUUCGACAGACGGUGCAAGCAAACACUUCAGCAUCUGGUGCUAAAGAAGGGCCGGAUGUUGCCGUGGUGAUCACCUCAAACAUGUCUUCAUCAGAACGGUCGUCACCGAUGCAAAGAACAAAGUCCGGCAACAACUCUCGCUCCUUCAUAGUAGAGAGCAGCCGUCGAGCUACAAGACCCUUGCUAACCCCCUGCACACAUUCAAUGGUUAAGAUAUUAUCGUCUCUGGAGCAUGCGUUUUGGAAUAACUUAUCUAUCCCAGAAGCCAGAAGCUUCUGAAAACAAAACAUACAUUCGGCUAGCGUAUUGCUUGGAACGUCGGCAUUUACCUGCGGCUUGACCUCCACACAAUUAGACCCGCUUUUCACUGAAACGGGCUCAUUGGCGAGGACGCUCUCUAGAUGGUCGAGAAGCUCUUUUGCUUGACAAGAGCCAAAAUCAGGAUCGGCGUCCUCGUAACACCAGACAACCGCUGUCUCCUUGUCCUCGAUGGUCGACCCAUCAGUUGUUUCAGUAUAUAGCUUCAUAACAGGCUCUGCAAUUUGCUUCCAGCUGCAGUCUGCUGCCGGCACGCACGUUUCCCACUCUGCAUCUUUCCUGAGCCUAGAAGCAGACACCGGUAAAUAUUAUCGAGUCGGCACUUUUAAAACAUGAAUGAAUUUGUGCAGGUAAGCUAGUGAGUAAAAGUCACCUGAAGAAGUAGCCAUGCUCUGCCGCUAUUCCAAUAUUCUCGCACUGCGAGAACCACUCGCUUAAGGUUUUUCGACUUCUCGCGCUUACGAGAAACACCAUAUUGUUCUUAUCUCGGGACAAACUGUUCAAGAUCUCGAUAGACUUUGCGCUAGGGCUUUUAUCAAUAGAUGCCUGCGGAAUCAGGGUCCCGUCAUAAUCCAAAAGAAUGGCUCGGGUCGUGCUCCUCCGAUAAGCCGAAACAAUGUGCUCGUAAGCGAGCUUCCUGAAGUUGGGAUCAAGGGCUACAACCCUAAAACCGAGCCCAAAACCUAUCCCCCAACACCUCCUCCUGUUGUGAUCCUUGCAGGUCCUUUGCAGAUCCUGCAAAAAGCUGUUUGCCCAGUACCCGACGUCGUGCGUGCUGACGUACCUAUAGUGCUUCUCGUGCCGAAGCUGCUUCUCGGGCUCGGCCAUUUCCAAGGCGGAGUCCAUGGCAUCGGCCACCGCGUCAAUAUUCCACGGGUUAACCCUGAUAGCCCCGCUCAGGGAAGGGGAGCAGCCGAUGAACUCCGAGACCACCAACAUGCUCUUCUUCUGAGCCGACGGGCUCAACCCCAACACCUUAUCGAGCUCGCGGUUCCCCUCUCGGGCGAUAAUGUAUUCGUACGGGAUAAGAUUCAUGCCGUCCCUGACGGCGGUCACCAGACAACACUCGGCGACCACAUAGUAAGCCAUUCUUUCGUAGAAGUGCAGCGGCCUAUCGAUGAGGAUGACGGGCUCGUACCCGGGGCGGCCGAAAGCUUCGUUGAUCCGCUUCACCAUGGCGUAACUCUCGGCCUGGACCUCUUUGACAUCCUUCCCCCGGCCCCGAGCAGGGUUGGCGAUCUGAACCAGGACGACUUUUCCGCGCCACUCCGGGUGCUGCGCCAGCAGCUGCUCGAACGCCAGCAGCUUCAAGCUGAUGCCUUUGAAAAUGUCCAUGUCGUCGACGCCGAGCAGCAGCGUCCGGCCCUUGUCGCAGAACUGCCCGAUGAGCUCGGCGACCUUGAGCUCGGUGGCGCGGAGGGCGAGCACGGACCUGAGCUGGCCCAUGUGGAUCCCGACGGGGAGUAUCUUGAUGCUGACGGUGCGGCCGUAGUACUCGAGGCCGAUGUAGCCCCGCUUGGACUCGUAGGUGAGGCCGAGCAUGCGGCUGCAGCAGGAGAGGAAAUGGCGGGCGUAGUCGAAGGUGUGGAAGCCGAUGAGGUCGGAGUUGAGGAGCGAGCGGAGGAGCUCGAGGCGCACGGGGAGGGUGCGGUAGAUCUCGGAGGAGGGGAAGGGGCUGUGGAGGAAGAAGCCGAGCUUGACGCGGUUGAAGCGCUUGCGCAGGAAGGUUGGGAGGACCAUCAGGUGGUAGUCGUGGACCCACACCAGGUCGUCGUCCGGGUUGAUCACCUCCAGGAUCUUGUCGGCGAAGAUCUUGUUCACGGACACGUACGCCUGCCAGAGGGUGCGGUCGAAGCGCCCGCCGAGGUCGGGGGAGAGCGGCAGCAUGUAGUGGAACAGCGGCCACAGCUGCUGCUUGCAGAACCCCAGGUAGAACCGGGACCGGAGCUCGCCCGGGAGGAACGCCGGCACGCAUCGGAACGUCUCCAGGAGCGUAUGCGCCACCUCCUCCUGCUCCGCCGCCGGGAUCUCCUCGCGGAGGCACCCCACGUACACGAACUCCGCGUCCGACGAGUGCUCGCUGAUCCGGUCCUUCAGCUGCAGGAGCAGCGAAUCCUCGUCCCACGAGAAGGCCCAUCCCCCGCCGCCCUCGGAUGCGGGGCGCCGCGCCGCCCGGAUCGGGAGCUGGUUGGCGACGAUGAUGGUGCGCUCGCGCGCCGAGUGGGAGGAGUUGUCCGACUGCGACGACGACACCGAUGCGGCGUCGGCGUCGGCGUCGGCGUCGGAGUCGGAGUCGCCGAGGCCGGGGACGAUGCCGGGGGCCGUCAGCACCCGCGGGAUGCGGCGGGCGAUGCGGCCGACAGCCGCAGAGGAGGAGGACGAGGAGGAUUCGCCGGAGGCCAAUUCCAGAAGAUUCGAGUAGGAGCUUGAUACCAUUUCUGUGUCGACAACAAGAGGAUUAAAUGAGGGCUUUAAAAAAAAAAAAAAAAACCCCACCUUGGCCGGCCCCGGCCGGUAUAGAGAUUAGAGAGCUACUGGAAAAGGCACAGAGAUGAAAAAUGAUAUGAAAAAUUGGAGAAAAAACACACGGGAUUAUUAUUAUUAUUAUUAUUGAAUCAGGAAGAUGAGGAAAGAAAAAAAAAAAAAAAUUCCAACUUUUUUUCUUUUUGGUUUGAAAAUUAUAGAGGCAAAAUGCGAGGGAAGUGGAGGAGAGUUUAAGCAAGCACCUUGAUCCAAACUUGGCCAAAUAUUUAACAGAAAACAGCAAGUGGACAAAAAAAUUAAAAGAAAAAAAAAAUCCAAAAACUGAAUCGCCGUGGGGGAAUUUUUGAACUCACCAGAGCGUAAUAAUUGUAACCAAAACAGGACUAAAAUUUAAGAGAAUGAUCGGAUAAUUACCCACAUCCACACGAAGCUUUAUUUAAAAUUUUUAAGGGAGAUAGAGAGAGAGAGAUACAGAGAGAAAUAGAGAAGGAGAGAGAUAGAGAGAGAAGAGAUUGUAGGUUGCAGCGAACCACUGCGAUUUUAUUUAAAAGGAUUUAGGAGGAGGAAGAGGAAACUGUCGAGUUGGUACUCGAAUUAAAUAUAUAUUAUUUAUUUAUAAUUUAAUUAAAGAUUAAUAAACGCUCGGGGAGUGAGGGACGAAAUGACUAUUUUGCCCCUUUGCAGCUCUCGGAGUUUGGGAAGCGGUUCCUACGACCAGUUCGUAUGGGCGUUUUCUAGGUAAAGCCCGAUCGACCGUUUAAAGGGCCUAAGCGGAUCAGCCCGAGAGCGAUCCGACGGCGUAACGUCCAUCCCGCAUAGCAAAUUUCUAUGAGGACGUUGUCGGGGGGAGGGGGGGGCCGCAAGAAUCGUCUCCUUGAAAUUUCCGCACUCCGCAGGAUGGAUGAGACUCUGCUGCGGGUCCCACCGCCCGCCCUACGCUACACGCGCCCCGUUCGCACUGUGUCCCGUCGACACGUGUCGCUCCACCAGCGCGCGACACGUACAGCUGUUCGCCCUCGAGCGCCAACUUGGCAUGAACGGAUGAGCCCCACCGCGGGGCCCGCCACCUCAGUGGGACGGGCCAAGCAACGUACCGCAUGGAGCCACGUGCACUUGUUCGCCUCUCCCCCGCACCAAACACGCACAACACCAAACCACCGAAAAGCGAGCCCACAUCUCCCACGUGUCGCUCUUCCAUUGGGCGUCCCCGCUGUUCCGUGUUCUGCGCGGCACAGCGGAUGUACAUAAAUCAGUGGGGUUUCUCGGUGAGAGCGAAAGCAGGGGGGGAAAGUGGUCAACUGGAUAAGGAUUAGGAGAUUAAUACGAAUAUUUAAAUCGCAACAAGUGCUAAUUUAAGCUAAUAGUAUUUAAUUAAUCAAAUUAAUUAUUUUUGGGCUCUAUUUGUCCCGUAGUGCUUUUCCCCUUUGUUAUUUUAUUUGCCCCCCUGCAACGGAUAAGGUCGUCCAAUUUAUCUAUUUAUUUCUUUUUUUUCACAAUUUAUUUUAUUUAUUAUUUAUUAUUUAUUAUUAAUGUCAAUGAUUGCUUAUUUAUGGCACUUGUUAGAUAAGUCACCUGGGAUUAAAGACACACAAGGAAAGCCCAACGUAGUUUCGUCGAAUAGUUCGGAACAGUUUAUUUUUAAAAAAAACUAAAAUGGGAAGGUUGUCCAUAAGUGCUAAAAAUCCCUUAUUAGCUGUCACAUGCAUUUGAAGGAGAUCUUAAAGAUGGAUCUAACAUCUCAAACUGUACUAAAAAUAGAAACCCUAUCCUUAGGGAGUUUUAUAUGUUAAGAAACUUUUUGAUUGGCUCCAGCACAUGAUGUAAAAAGCUAACCAAAAAAUUGCAAAUAAUUAAUUAGUGCUUGCAUUGUCUCUUUUGUACUUCUAUUUUUCAACUGUAGUUAUCUUCAACUGAGCAUCUUAUCAAUAAAUUACAAUAACAAAAAAAAAAGAAAAAGAAAAAGAAAACUCAACUGAGGUUUUAACCUUACAAGUUACAAAUAGUUUAGUGCCUGCAUUAAUUUUUUUGAGGAAAUAGUGCCUGCAUUAAUUAAUGGUCUCAUUUGCACUUCCCCCUUUUUAUUUACAAAGAAAUUUUUGUAGUAGAAAAGUUGAAUUAAGUUAUUCCACAUACUUCAUCCACUAACAUUUUGCUCACAAAACGGACCGUAUCUAGAGCAAGUGGCAAAGAACUUGAUGGUUGGUAUCCAAGGUCUCAAGUUCGAAUUCUAGUCGAUUCACAUUUUCAGCUAAGUUUAUUUCUAAAUGAAAUAAACAAAGCGGGUAGCGUGCUAUCUAUCUCUCUUAAAAAAAAAAAAUUUAUUUUGCUCACAAAUGUGCCCUUAGAUUAUGUAAACCUCAACCUUGUAAAGCUUAUCCUCUCGUAAUAUGAUCGUAAAUUGCAAUUUCCUUUGUCUCUUCUCAUUAAUUAAUUCUUGUCAUUAGGAAUCAUUGUUCGGAUUGCUGUAGUUAAGUCAAAUAAUACAUCGCUACAACAAGAACGACACCAACGACGACAACAACAACAAUGACGAAAAAAACUCCUCCGUUGUUGUCUUCUUCUCUACCGGUAGCUCUUCCACCGUGCUCAUCUUAAACUUUAGCUUUGUCACGCCCCUCGAAAAUUUUAGUUCUGAGCUCACCCUAACUGGUAACUGCACUGUUGGCCAUGCAAACACAAACUAGUACAUAUGUCCUUAGUUAUGUUAAAAAGUUAUAGUUUAUCUUUUUAACAUAAAGGUUAUUAGAAUAACUGGUCAUGAGUUCGAAUUCUUCGAAACUUUUAGUCUCGUUUAAUUUAAGUUCACGUAUUGGAUACCUUAAGCUAUUAAAGAUAAACACGUGUCUCUGCUAAACAUAACUAUAUUAUCGAGCUUUUUUCUAUCAGAUAGUUUUGCCAUAAUUUUCUUAUAAACUGUCUUAUUAGAAUCUUUCAGAAUCACAGUAUUCAUAGAGAGUUAUAUAAUACUUGAGUAUUGCAUAAUUAGCAUAUAUGGUAAUUGUAGAAUUAACUUUUAUUGGUGUUUAAUUUCUCGGUACCGGAUUUUUUUCUCAAGCGCAAACAGUAUAAAAACAUCAUACACAAAGGAAUGGAGAACGGAGAACAUAAUUAUAUGAGUAAGUACUGUGCUUCCAAACAAGUCCUAAAUCACGCCACGACUCUUCGGAGACGUUAUAGCAUAGUCCAUCUAGAUAUAAAUAUCCAUCACCAUCAAGAAGCGGAGCCAUAUAUAUAGUAAAACAUGCGCAAUUAGAUCGAGAUGACGAUGGAAUCGACUGCGAGAAGAAUCACAAGCCAAAAGCUUUUUGCCGAUCAUGACAUUAAUUUGUAGCGUUGUAAUUCAUGGCUUGGGGACCCAUCUAUGCUUCGAUUCAAUCAUGUAGCUACGUCGCCCAAAGAACUACAUACAAAUAUAUUUAUACUAAUUGAAUGUUUCAUUGCAUAUGUAUGCUUAGUUAUUGUACCUAAUCCACCUUAACGACGGGACUUUUGUAAAAUUUUUCUUGUGAUGGAGAGAUAAAAUUAGUUCUUAUAUUUAAAAAAAGUUUAGACUCAGGAUUAUAAGCUUUACUUUUAAAACCUUAUUAAUGGGAUAUUCUUUUUUUUUUUUUUAACAGAGACAGAGCAAAUUAAGUCAAAUAAUAUUGACAUCACUUAUUAUCAUUUAAGAGGCAAAAUUGAAUAUUAAGUCCGAAGGUGAAGGCGUGGAAUUGAGUACCAGUAGAGGAUACGAUUGGGGCGUCAAGAGCCGCAAACUAAGUUCCCUCAAAUUUUUAAAAAAUAGCAAAAAAGAACAAAAAAAAACAAGGAAAAAAGUGCUUGUAGGGUAAAAAGUCAAUCAUUACUUAAGCUGAUAAAACAAGUAAUUAGAUUCUCUGGCAAAAGUUAGUUUCUCUGAUUGAAAAUAGCAAGGAAAUAUACUCAGAAGCAAGAUUUGUUGCCACAAUACCGAACCAUUUGACUUUUGUGAGUUGCAAUGCUUUGAUUGUCGACCAUUAGUCAAUUCAAGAAUCCCAUCCUCAGCUCCCUCUUUGACUUUGUUGAUCAUGCUUCUUGAUGGUUGACCACAUGAGAUGCGAAGUAGUUUAAGUAAUUGGAUUUUGGUAAAGUUCCCAUUUGGCCUUAAGGGCUUGUUUGAUUUGGGUUAUCCUACCAGAAUUACAAGUAAUUCUGUCAAGGUUACUGGGUUUGAUUCAUCCAAUCCAUAAUCUGGUCGGUAAUAUAGCAUUGCAAAUGGUGCAAGAUAACACAAAAAAUAUUAGCAAGUAGGGGGUGAGUAUCUUGUAUUACUAAUGGCGAAUAAUUCUGCAUGUUAUGUAAAAUUACAAAUUUAUCUCUCCAACCACUCACCCAAACUCUUUGCAUAUAUCAUUUUUUAAAUUUUAUUUAAAAGUUUGAAUUGCCAAAUUGUAAAUUUAAAUUUUAAAUUUUAAAAUUAAAAUUUUAAUCAAAUUUCAAAAUUUUAAAUUUUAAAUUUUUAAAUUUCACAUUUAUAUUUUAUAUUUUAUAUUUUGCUAAGUAUAAUAUAAGGAUAAUUGUGAAAUAGGCUAUACUUUAUUUUCAAAAUUACUGAAUUUUAUAAAAUGAACUAAACAUAAUAAUUUCAUAUAUAUUGUAAUUUACCAUUAUAUUACUGUGUUAAACCAAACGUGAUAAUAAAAAAUUAGUAGUAAUCUGAUUCAGAAAUUUUAGAUAUCUAGUUAUGUUGAAAUAUUUUGUAAUAUUACGUUACGCAAACCAAACGCAACCUAAGCUAUACAUGCUUUGUUGGUGCAUGUUCAAUGUUUCUACUGUUUGUAUAUGUCAACACCGUCUACCUACCAAAAGAUGCUAUUGGUUUGGAGAGAUGUACAUGUUUUUCAAAUUAAUUAGUUAUUAUUCUCGUGAUAAUAGGGCUAAUGCUACUAUCCUAUUAAUAGGAUAGGAGCACUUGUCCUAUCAAGUUGUUCUUGAUGAUCGAGAUUCCGAAUCGAUGAUCGGAGCCGUUGAAGUUGAUCUAGAGUAUUUGAAAUAUCUAGAAACUAAAUUUCAUAAAUUUUGAUAAUGGUUUACAUGGUGAUCAAAGUGUCGUAAAAUCGACAAUUUUUGACGGCCUAUAUGAGCCGUUUGCUUGUUUAACGGUGUAGAGCAAUCCAAAUUGCUUGAAUUUUUGAUAGAAAAUUCUUUAUACUAUUUAGAUAAUGUUUGAUAACUCUGAUUACGAACUGAGAAAGUCUAACAUCUAUUUUAAGAAGGUUAUUCAUUUAUGACCGUUCAUUUUUCAACUCUUAAGAUGAACUUGAUAAUAAUUUUUAAAUAUUACAAAAUUUGGUUUCUAAACAUUUCUAAUUGUGUAGAUCAACUUCAACGGUGCCGAUUAUCAAUUUGAAGUUUCGAUCAUUCAAAUCGACUUGAUAGGACAAGGGUCCCAAUCCUAUUAAUAGGAUAGUAGCCGGACCCUGAUAAUAGUGUGAGAAAGUGCAUUGGCCAGUUCAAAUUUGUUUCUUAUGCAUGGUAUCAAAGUACAUAUUCCUUGCACACAUAUGUUCAAUUUUUUGAAGGGUUGUAGCUUUGAACCUUCAAAACUACGUAAGCAUACUCAAUUUGGAUGUGACAAAUUUAAAAAGAAAUAAUCAUAAGAUAUAUUAAACAUUAUAAAGCUGUGUUAAUUAAGCAAAUGGGCAGGGACACAUCUGUUUAAGAGCGCGUUUUUAUAAUUGGAGGAGGUGGCAAAUUUAUGGAGAAAACAAAGAGAUAAAUUGAUAGAAAAAGACAUCCACAACUUCUUAUCUUAUCCACUAAAGUACAUAAAUAUAGAUAAAAAUAGUUGACCCUGCACCAAACCAACCUAUCUUACAGGUUGGAUUUGGAGAAGUAAACAAAGAAGUAACUGCUGAUAAGAAGAGAACAACAGGUCAUGAAACAAACGAGCGAGAAUAUACGAACGUUGUAAAGAGAGCUUCCCCCUCAUGAUUCAUUUUCAAUCCACCAUGCAUGAACUCCUUUUAAUCAAGGAUAAACAAGAGUGUCGCAUUUGUCCUUGGUAAGUAUCACAGUGACGAGAUGCCGCGCACCAGUAGAAGGAUUUUAGUGAAUCUCAUGAAUGAAAGGGAUUUCCGAGAUAUAGACAUGCUCUAGGUACUCCUUAUGCACCCGUAAAGUGUCACUAGUUAAUAUGGAGGUAUCUUAAGUGGCCAGAUGCAUGCAUUGGGUUGUCGUCUUUGUGACUGCUGCCACAUCAACGAUAUUGGAGAGUACUUAUAGUAUCUCUAGUUGCUACAAAUAGUUAUGAGUAUCAAUCAUAGCAUCAAUUUGCUUCAGAUCGAUUUUCUAAAAAGUGUUGUUUGAAAAAAAAAACUGUCGAAAGAACGAAAGUACUAUCUACUUCUAUUUACUUGCGUGUAAACAAUAUUGGGCAGCGAGUGGGUUGAUUCGGAGAGUGUACGGCAGGCAAUGGGGGAAUCGCGUUAAUCGGCUCCUUCCAUCUUGUUUAUUUGCAUCUAAAUAGAAGUGAACAUAGAAAUUACUCGAUAAGAAAAUCGCUAAAAACCUCUUCUUAUAUUAAGAUCCUUCAAACAGCUUUCCGCUAGCCAAAGCUUCAAGCUAGGACUCAUUUUAGGGUUCACAAAUUAGUUUCGGUUUCUAAUUCAUAAUAUUGAGAAGUUAUUAUAAAAGUUAGGUCAAACAGAUGCACAAAAUGUUGUGAAGCAAACACAAUAUAUAUGUAUGAUAUAAUUUUCUUUGGAAGCUUAUACUUUUGAUUGAUGCUCUACUAAGCGUCUUUCCCUAGUGGGGUGAUUCAUCAUCCAUAAAGAACCUUUCACGACAAAGAAACAAUGUUGUACAGCCCAUUGGAAUAUUAUUAGGAUACACAAUUACCCUACCAAAGAAUCCCAGGGUUCAAGAUUUUUUUUUUUUAAAAAAAAAAAAAAACAUAGCCAAUCAUCAACUAAUAAAAUGAUUACCACAAUUUCCCAAAAACAGGGUCCAGCAAUUUGCGUUUCAUAUCAGAGAAUUGAGAAGCCCAAAAUGGAUACAUCUUAGUAACUACAGAUAAAUAAAAAAAAGUUUUUUAAGGGACCUAAAGGAUAUUCAUUCGCAUGUACCGGGCCAAUAAUAGGCCCAUUAUACGGCCUAACCCAAUAGGAACGGUUCGGCCCAUUAGAUCCAUGAACCGUGGACUGGACCGGAUUGUUCCCGGAGCAAAGCCGGUUCAAAAGCGCGGAACUUAUCUUAUACCCCUGUUGUACCCUUCUCCUCGUCGCCUCUUCCCCGACUCCAUACGAGGGCUCCUCCCGUUGAAUACCUAGCGUGAAACCCUCGUCUUCUCCGCCUAAAAACCCUAAUCCGUGGAGAAGCUGCGAACAUCCUCCACUCCUCUCGCUAGGUAAGCGAUUUCUUCGCCGUUGACUUUGUAAUCCGCCUGUCGGAAUGCGAUGAUCUAAUACGAGGCCUCCGGAGACCCGAAUUUUAGGGUUUCUUAUUUGUUUCCGCAUAGAGCGGUUCUGAUUUUGGCUAGUUAAUCUCUUGAAGUAGUAGGAUUUUGAGCUUUUAUAGCGUUGUGUUUGAAUGGUUUGUGGCGAUUAACGAAGGUGGAUGGCGACUCAAGCGGUUCGUGAGUGGCUCGGGAUUCAGCAGUUCCCAGUUGCGACGCAGAACAAAUUGCAUGAAUACCUCGGGAAAUUGAAACAGGAGGUUUGUAUCUUUCCAUACAAAUUGUGGUUUAUUGCGAAAUUUGAUCUUUCGUUCUGAUAGUUAAGGUUUAAUAUUUUUGGUGCGGUAGAAUGUUAAUACCUUGACGAUUCUCGUGAUGGGAAAAGGCGGCGUGGGGAAGUCGUCGACGGUGAACUCCAUCAUAGGCGAGCGCGUCGCCGCAGUUAGUGCCUUCCAGGUUUGUUUAGUAAAUACUUAUAGCAGAAAAUUGGUGAUUGUUUUCCCUACUGCAAUAAAGUUAUGAUUAUAAAUUCUCGUUUUUGCAUUGUAGUCGGAAGUAUUGAGACCCGUGAUAUGCUCCCGUUCGCGAGCGGAAUUCACUUUGAACAUUAUUGAUACCCCUGGGAUUGUUGAAGGUGGAUAUGUCAAUGAACAAGCACUUGAAGUCAUAAAGAGGUUAGAGAUAGAUUGGAACUACUAUUGGGAGAACUUUUAUUAUGAUUUUGCUUUUUUGCUUUGAACUAAUACUAGAAUUAUUUGAUUAAUGUUCUUAGUUGUGGAUUUAUGAGUCAAUAGGUUCGUUAUGUGCAAUUUAAUCAUGUAUAUACAUGAAGAUUCAUUGCUUAUAUUAUGGUGAUUCUUUGCAUCUAUUUCAUGCUUUUCCUAUCUUGGAACUAGCUUCUUUUUUCUUUUUUCUUUUUCCUUUUUUUUUUUUCUUUUUUGUUUCUUAGCAUAAGUGUUGCUUUUAUUUUGGCUGAUUGUAAUUUGGGUGUCGACUGGUGUCGCAGGUCUCUGUUGGACAAGACUAUUGAUAUUCUUCUAUAUGUGGACCGUUUAGAUGCAUAUAGGGUGGAUACGUUGGAUAGACAAGUCAUAAAAGCGAUCACUGACACAUUUGGUAAAGGAAUAUGGCAGAGAGGCUUAAUCGUCUUAACUCAUGCUCAACUGUCGCCACCAGAUGGAUUAAGUUAUGAGGACUUCUUUGCCAAACGAUCAGAAGCACUUCUAAAGUAUAUCCGUUUGGGUGCUCGGAUUAAGAAACAAGAAUUCCAGGUACAUAUAUAUUGGAAACUACAAGAAUUCCAGUUCAAAAGUGAUUGCAUGUUAUGCUCACUGGCUGUGGUAAUUGCAGCUAUAUUCCCUUUUCCUUUCUCAAUUUGUAGUAGAUAGAUGAAACUUGUUGACAUGAUAUAUACAAGCGGCGCAAUCUAUUGCUAAAGAAGCUUUGCAGAGAUGUAUAAGCGGAAAAAACACUAUCUUUCACACCACUUGGAUUCCCUCAAAUUUGCAAAAUGAUAAAUUCAAUUGAACCUUAGGGCAUAUCUAAUUUUGUGUGUACGGUAUGGUAUGUAGAUGUUUUUUUUUUGUGUGUGUUAAAAGGGUAUGUGAUGCAUACUGGUCCCCUCACACGACACUAUCAAGUUCAUGAGUAAUUUCUCAGUCCCAUAUCAUGAAGAAUUUGCAGACUGUGUAUUAAUCCAUGUUGCCAAAGUUAGUUACUUUUGCUCACUGUAACUUCUAAUAUGCUAUGUAAAUGCUGAUUGGCAACUGCUACUUUAUCUUUCAUAUAGGAGAAUUCUAUUCCUGUGGUACUAGUUGAGAACAGCGGUCGAUGCAAGACAGAUGACAACGGGGAAAAGGUUUUUCCUUGCUCUCUUUCUCUUUUUCUUCCCAUCUAAAUUUAUGCCAAUGGUUUCUUUAAUGGGCAUGGUUUCCAGGUUCUUCCCAACGGUAUUGCAUGGCUUCCGAAUUUGGUCAAAACAAUUACAGAUGUUAUCAUGAAUGGUGGCAAGUCUAUACUAGUUGACCAGAAAUUGAUUGAUGGUCCCAAUCCGAAUGAUAGGGGAAAGUUCUUCAUACCUCUUAUCCUGGCUUUUCAGGUGAGCUUCUGUUCCCACCGUGAGGAAUAUCUUCUUAGUGGUAUUAUCUUAAACUAAUCCCUGGUAUUGCUUCUUCUUUCAGUAUUUCUUCGUUGUGAAGAGGAUACAGGGUGCUAUAAAGCGGGAUAUCGCGAAAGAGAGCAAGCCACUCUGGGAGCUUCGUGAUAUGGGAUUGGCAAACCGGCAGUUCUAAUUGUUCAAUUUUGUUUGCUUAGGCCUCUCAAUUUUCAUUUCAGUUUGAUUUGUUUACUCCUUUUACCCACUUUUUGUGAUAUCUCAUGUUCUCUUGCUCUUUUUUCGUAAUAAGUUAGCCUAUAUCAGUUAAAGAUUGACUAUGUAGCUAAUGAACUUCUGAGAAUCUACCGGAAAUUGUUUUUCAUUUAGGAAUCUGCUUAUAGAAGUGAUGCUAAACAUGGUAUUUAUGUACUAACGCAACAUGCGAGGGAAGGUCAUUUUCCUUUUUUCUGAAAUCAUGUUCUAUGAAGAAUUGUACGAUAUAUUUAUGCGAUAACGCAACAUGGAAUUGUACUAUAUAUCUCCAAAGAGCUGUCGGAUUUUCUUUGUAAUCAUAGGAUUUCGCAUUUUAUUUAGAUUAGAGUUAAGCCCAAGUAGAUUUUAGCUAAACAAAAGAAAAUGUGGAUAAGACUAUAAGGAGAAGAUAGGCUUUUUGAUCGUUGGAAUCUAUGAUAUACACCUAUUCUAGAUGUACAGCCAAACAUUGCUCUGCUCAAGUACACAGGACAGGAUCGCCUGGUGGUGAGAGGCUUAUGUGGUCCAUCAUUGUAGGCAAACAAUUUACCAUUGAAUUAUACAGUCAUAGCAAUUCUGCUUUCAUCAUACAUACUAUGAUUUGCACCAUGAUGAAAGUAUGCUCAUAUCUCUAGUCGCUAAGUUACAUAAAAAAAUUAAGCACAUAAUAAGUUACAAAAAUGUUUUAUGUUCGCACCGACCUUCGACAAUAUAAAUACAGAAAGAAAUAAUUACGAGAAUGGCUACUGAGGCUUAUCCAUUAAAUAACAACUGGUAGUAUCAUAAGUUAUCAUUACAAAUUUAGUUAUCCAACAAAGUGAAAAUCUCUAACCAUGUUGUAUUCAACUCCAAAUCCUUUUAGUUAUUUGAACCAAAGUAUGGUGCUUCAAAAACUAUUUCUAUUAGAUCAUCUGAGCCAACAAACCACCCCAGGAUGAAAAACAGAAAAGAUUUUCUGAACCCUUAAUGCGGCAAGACAGAUUGAGCAAAUGCGAGUAUACUAGUCUAGGGAAAACGCUCCAUCGCAGUACCUGCACCAGUUGCAAGAAUGAUUAAAGUUGGAUAAAAUAUCCGAUUCGCACAGUUUCUGCUAAGUGGUCAAGUUUCUACAUGCUUCAACGUUGACAAGGCAAUUUGAGUUACACUGAUAUGAGUGGCGUUUUAUGACAAGCAAUCUAGCAUUUGUGUGAACACUACUUUGUUCAGGUAGUGAUUAGAGACUGAUAGUAAGAAUAUGCAUCAUGCAACAUGAAUACACUCUUGUAUAAACAGUACAUAGUCGAACUUUGCAGGGUUUGAAGGUCAGGGUCGACAGCUUGUUGGAACUUCCUUGUGUCUAGUGAAGCAGAAUUAGAUAAAACACUCCGUACAAGUUCAUACUCCAUCAUGUUGGAUGCAUAAGGUUAACCACUCAUGAAUAAAUGAUCAUGUUUGUUCUAUUAGACAACCAAUUUCUAGUGAACUCAUAUUAAUCGGUAGGAACUGCACCAAUCUUUUCCAUUUGAAUCUUUUUUAAUUCAUUAGAUAUGCAAAUCAUAUAUCCAUAAGAUGCCUAAAGUUCAUAUUUUUCAUUUUCAAUUUUCAGAAUCUAACGAGCACCAUACUCAGUGUAAAACUACUAACUUCGUCAAAAGUGGCUACUUUAACAACUAUUUAGUUUUUUAGAAGAAAAAAAAGAAAAGAAGGUCGAGGCACUAUGGAAAUUUACCUGUUACUGAACUUCUCAAGUGCAUCAGAUGCAUAAAGAAGUGUCUCACUGGCCUUCUCUAAGACCAUAUAAAGUUCCCUUCCUCCUGUAAUCUUAGCAAUUACCCACGCAUUAUUUUUGGCUCUGAUGCAUACUUCAGAGUCCUUUUCAUGAUCAGGGUCAUCCCUCUUUGCUCUAGACUUCUCCAAAUCCACCUCUUCUCUCAGCCUAUUAAGCGCAAGAAGAGAGUCCUGUGGAGCACAAUUAGAAACACGAGAAGGAAGCCCAUCAGAGUUCAUAAAUAGAUCAAAAGAAUCUCCAUAACAUAGAAUGAGAGAACAUAGAAUGAGAGAUGUAUUGCCAUUUGGAAUUUCCAGAAAAGAUCAGAUUAACCUAAAGAACAAGGUAAGUUUAGCUAUGCCAACAAAAAAAAUCCUUCAAUAAUAGCAUCAUAACUGCGUCAGAUGUCCUCUGAUUAUGCUUCUCACCAGAUGUCCUUUUUUGGUGAGACCAUAAUAGACAGAAAUUUAAGGGCCGUGUAAAGGAAACAGCUUCCCGAUUUAAGCAACUACAAGUCUACAACAUAUGACCGACUGGAGCGACAUAUAUAGUGAAAUACACCAAACUCAGCAUUUUAAUGAUAGGGCGAAAACAUAUAUAUGCAGCUGAGCUAUUUUUCAUGCCAAAAUGUCAUCGCCAAAGACAAAUAUUCAACAAGAAGGAAACUGGAUGCGACAAAGAAAAAGAAGAGCAGAUCCAUGAAAUGUUUAUUAAAAGAGACCAAAAAAAAAAAAAGAACAAUUAUACAGCAAACAGCAAUUGGUGAAGUACAAACCUUAGUCAGAGUUGUAACUUUUCCAGGCGGGGAAGCCCUUGAGACAUUUCUAUCCCUGUCGACGAAUAAGUAGCGAUACCCACUAACAUGGUAAGCAUUUUCACCACCCCAGCUUCUGGAGAGUUUCUGCUCAACAGUAACAAUUUUCUCUGAUGCCUGAAAGAGUGACAAAGAAACACCUAUUAUGUCUCAUAAAACACAAGAAACACAUGGACAAACAAAAGAUGAUGAAUAAAAGUGUAUAGAGAAGAUAUACGUAGGAAACAAUUCCUAAAUCAAAAAAGGAAUCCUGGUGGAAAGGCAACGGUAUUUAGAGUCAGGAUACAGUUGACUGAGGCAAAAUUACUGAGGGUGUAAAAGCUGAUGCACAAGAAACACAACAAAAUUCCUUAUUCAAAGACAAUAAAAGUAAUAAUGGAGAUAAGAACCAUCAAAAAAGGCUAAGGAUGACAGAAAAAGAGAAGCAACUUGUGCAGAAAAUAGACUGACAUUUUCAAGAAGCUGCUUCUUCAAAAGGGCCACACCCUGUUCUCCAUUUAUUAAAGAAGACACAGGAAUGAGGAGUACAAUUGUCAGAUUCUUGUGCUGGUAAACGCAAAGAUACAUGCGCUCCUCUGUCUGCUGAAGCCAUACUAUCGGCGCCAAAGGAAUAAAACCACCAACUUCUGCGCAUGGAACAUCGGUGACAACAAAACCAUCCUUUCCUUUACACCAUUUAUCACGUUGCAAAGGCCUUUGUAUAUGGUAUCUCUGGCUUUGUCCCCCAGGAGAAGUAUCACGAGACCUGUUCUGAUUUUCUUCUGCUGCUCCAGCGUUUGUUACAGUGGAAGCAGCAGCAAUAUUAGGUGAAGAAGUCCCUCUGCGUAAAUAAGACCAAGAAUUCGUAUUGGACGAUAGAGCAUGUGGAGUCAACCUCAGAACAGCAUAAGUGAACAGAUUUGCUGUGUCAUCCUACAACACAGAUCAAGUGGGUAAAUUUUUACUGCUUACAUACACAGCAAGUAGCAAUCUUAAGUAGGAAUAGCGGUAGGAAAGACAACCGUACAGGUCAACAUAAAAAGUGAUAUAAAAGACAACCAUACAGGAGAAAGUGUUGUCGAGACCAACAGAUCUUGGAAUAAUACUAGUGAAUUGCAGGCUGUAUUCCCAACACAGGAAGAUCCAAUAACUGUGAUGAGCGACUGGCAAAAUACACAUGUUAUGUCAGUGGUGAUAUAUUCAUCACGUAAAAAAACAUAUCUAACCAUAAUUUGCAUGAUCUUAAGAGAGCAAAUAUCUAUGAGCUGCUACUACAAUAAUGCACCUGAACUUCAAGUGCUACUUCUCGUGAGAUUGUCAGCAUUUGAACACUUCCUCGCUCCCUCAAGCAAUCACGGAAGGAUGGCAUUUGAAUCUUUUUCCCAACAUGAAAAUCUGCUCAAGUCAAAAAUAAAUAUAAGGAUUAAAAAUCAUAAAAUAGACAGUUCAGCAAGUUUUGGAAAAGCCACUGACGAUUCAUAAUGAAACAGAAACUAAAGUCAUACUGUUAAUGAUCACAUAAAUAUGCAGCAAAGCAUGCCUCAUGGGGUCUGUUCAAGUUAUCCUGUGAUAACUUGUAGAUACAGGAUUUUUAUUUCUGUGAUUACAUUCGUAUGUUUUGCUAUUAUGAAAAUAAUAACAUUUAGCUAUGAUGAAAUUUUUAAUAAUUUCAACUAUUGAGGAAAUUAUGUUCACCGCUGAGAUUAUUUAUCAUAUUAUAAGUAAAAGCUGUAUAUAUUGGGGCACUUGUGAACAUAUUUUCAUAUUCACCGUCAACCAAUUAUCAAGUGCCCUAUGACUAUGAGUAAGCAAAAUAGAUGCUGAAAAAUAUAAUUAUGCAUUCAAACAGGCACUUUAAAGUAGUCAGAGACUCCUCUCACCAGUUAAAUAGUCUGUGAUAAAGGAGUAGAGAUGGCUACGAGUAAGUUCACCGCUAGGUUGUUUGUCAAGUAAAGCUCGCAGAGGUCCAUGAAACAUUUUGAAUAGAGAAUGCACUUCCUUAAGUAUACUCUGUAAGGAAUCGCAUCUCCAAAUAGAUUCAUUAUCUUUAUUUUUCUCCACUACCUGCAGUAGCAGUCAAAAAACUGGAUUAUCAAUAGCUUAAUCACUGCGUCUGUCAAAGACCAUCGGAACCAGAACCAAAUCUCUUAAACCAGUAAACAUUGAUUAGAAUGUUCCUCAGGUGGGCAGCCAAGGUAAGCUCCUGCUUAGCGCAUUGACUAAUCCGGAUUAUACUCUUAAAUUGUUUUGUCAACUUGUAAAAUCAGACACCGUCACUUUACACAAAUGAGAUCAUCAACCAACAACCUUUUAAGAGAAAUAAAAUCAUACCAAAACCAUCCAUAUGUCCGGUUCAGCCUGGUAAAAUACAUGAGAGUGUUUCUCCGCUUCUAUGACCUCACAAGCUGUCUCUGGAGAAAAGAUUCUGCAACAAAUAUAACAUUAGUAAAUCCAAAGAAUGGAAAAUAUCAACAAUGUUGAUAUACUUAUAAUAGGAUGAAUGGAGUUUCUUGAUAAAAUCAGCACUUUUCAGUACAGAGCAUGCCCACAAGGAGAUAAAAAUAGGACACGGUGGAUGAUAAAUAACAGGGGAACAAAAGAACAAUGGAAAGCCUAGCUCCAAAUCAACUAUUCUAUCACAGUAAACAUAUUUUUCAGUGACAGAAGGUGUUGGUUGCAGAAAUUAAAAAACAACGCAUUACAACAUACAAGUUUUUUUUUUUUUUUUUUUUUUCACGAGUAGCAAAUGAAGGUAUCUAAAACAACGAGAAAGCUGCACAAACCGAGUAAAAGUAAUGAUUCCUUCACAUAGUCCUAUUACAGAGAGCUGAACUGAGAAGGGGCAUUCAGCAGGGAAAAAGAAUAAUAUCUUGUCAAGUUCUUGGCCUUCUUGUUGUCCCCUUCUUAAGUCAAAGAUACAUAAUUGGAUGCCAUCAUUGACGGUGGUCGUUGAUGACAAUCCCAUUUGGUCGUUGAUUUCUACUAUCUGCAUUGUCAAAGUAAACACGGUCAUAAAAUUAAGCUAGGUGAGAAUAAAUGACACCAGGUGCAGAUAUGAAUUUGCUGGAUGAGCCUUACAUUUACAAACGAGAAGUCUCCCACUCUCUGUAACAAAACUAAAUUGGGCACUUUAACAAUUUGAAAGCAAGUAAACGGACAAACGACCCAUCUAAAUGCAAAAUAAAGCUAAUAACAGAAAAUGUAUUAGAAAUCACAAUGCACGCAACCUUGUAUUGCCAACCUUCACAACAGAUACUUCUGAAAAGGCGGUGACAAACUGAUAAUACUAGUUAAGGAAAUCCCCAAAAGCAUCUUACAUUUGUGACGGCCUGGUCGUGCAAGAAGAGAGUAUCAAAAGCUGAAGCCGCAUAACUAUUACCAAAAAAACUACCUUCCAGUUUGGCCUACGAAAACAAAUCACUAAUAGUAGUACAGGGUCUUGGUACAUACCCUACAACGUAGAGUGAAAAGAUAAAAUAUUUGAAUGUGUUCUAGCAUCAGGUGCACUACAACCUUACUAGAAGUUGGAAUUGAGCUCUCCAGUAAUUAAAAAACAUGGACGACUCUCACCGAUCGACCUCGUAAACUAGGAUGUGGUAAUAUUGAGAUUAAAAGAUGGCAUUCUCAGCCAAUACCCAAUCUGAGGCAUCCUGUUUUUAAAUCUCAAUAAUUUACAGCUAGUGAUUAAAAGAAAAGGAAACUAGCGUGGCAAAUCGAACCACCACUGAACAAAAAGUAAAAUUAAAAAAUAGAUAAUUCGAAUGUAGUGAUGUGUUUUCUAAACCUUCAGAUUAUUGAGCUUACGAAUUUCUUAUAACAGCUGAUCCCCAACGCUUCUAAAACUUCAAAUAUAUUGCAGUAAUACCUUUUUUUAGGUGGAAAUCUCGCAUUAAGGCAUAAAAUUUACUCUUGGUCUGGUUCCAAUCCCUAAAUCUUGAAUCUCAGGGAAAAGGAAAGUACAGAAUACACAAGAAAACCAGAAAAGAUUAUUCAUUUCUGCAAUGAUUAUCAGCAAAAUUUUCUGCAACACUGUUUCAAAAAAGCUGGCCCAAAUACAUUCUCAACAACCAUCAAUACUCUAACUCUUAAUCUUAAUCACAUAAAAGAUAUACCUAGAUUGGACUGAUCCAUAAGGUCCUCCCAAAAAACACUAAAAAAAAAAAAAAUCAUAAGAUCGCACCCAAUUCUUGCUUUGUUCAUCCCAAAUUCCCAAUCGGGCCCCAGAAGUACACAUCAGAAGAAGAGGUUAAAGCAAACCUAAACAAAAAGAAGAUAGAGAGAGAGAGAAGUGAGAGCUUACCGAGAGGCUUCGAUGGAAACACACUCUCUCUUGAUUCUUGUUGUUCGGAAAAGAAGAGAGAAAGAAGAAGAAAAAGAACGAACCGGAAAUUGGGUAGGCCAGAAACGGGCCGGGUUCGGGUCAAGCGAGACGUGCUCGAAUUGACCAAAAUCCGACAUUGAGGACGAAGAAGAAAUGGGGAAAUUNAACCUAAACAAAAAGAAGAUAGAGAGAGAGAGAAGUGAGAGCUUACCGAGAGGCUUCGAUGGAAACACACUCUCUCUUGAUUCUUGUUGUUCGGAAAAAAAGGGGGAAAAGAGAAACUGGAGAGGUAGCUGGGUACUGGGUAGGCCAGAAACGGGCCGGGUUCGGGUCAAGCGAGACGUGCUCGAAUUGACCAAAAUCCGACAUUGAGGACGAAGAAGAAAUGGGGAAAUUGUCUAAUGCGUAAUUAAUGAUAGACAGACGUUUACAAUGGGAAAAACAUGGGCCGGACCUGUUCUGUAACGGGCCCGAAUAUUUUGGGCCAUGCUCGUCCAACCCAGUCCUUAAUUAUACCUAUAUUGAGAUUGAUCAGACCGGAUCGGAUUGGGCCGGAUCCACUAACAAAAAAUUUCUGAAUCUGGCCCGUGUCGACCAAAGAAAAAAAUAAUAAUAAACGAAAAGCAUUUAUUUUUUUAAGAUCGUGCUUUUAAGUUCUGGGCAUACCCUGAGUCAAUCAAAUAAAAAAAAAAAAAAAAAAAAAAAAAAAAAAAAAAGUUGACGAAACUUUAACUCAAUCACUAUUUCAAAAGAUGCGUUCGUAAUUAAGCAUGUACGCACUGAGAAGUCUCAUCGUCGGUGUGACUUGGGUUCGUCCAACUUAGCCCAAACUCACGGCUAGAUUCAACGUUCAUCUCCUACGACUACGUUUGAGUCCAAAAUUUGACUCUUCUCCUCAGUAUGAGAAAAUUAUACUUGCAAUUCCUACCAAUUGUCUCGUUCUACACGGUAAUAAAAUACGUGUUCCAAACAAUUUCCCUUCGGAAUUGGCUAUAAAUAUCUCAUCUCCUCCAUAAUCUUCUUUAUUCAUCAAAACGUAACUUCGUAGUACUACUUAUUAACAUCUAGUAAACUUAAGUAGCUAAAAAGGAGAGAUGGCAAUCGAAAAUAGGGUGAAGGUGAUGCUCAUUCUGGUCUUAUUGACGUGUAACUCGCAUUUUCUGUCGACGGCGAGGCCCUUGGUAGAGUUGCGAGAAGAGUCCGGCAUCGGAGGUCUUGCUUUGUUCGAGUCUCUUCCGCGAGAAAGUGUACCGCCACAAGGUCCCUCUGGAUGCACGAAUGUUGGCAGCAAUAAAGGUGGAAAUUGCCCGAACCCUCCAAACCGUUAAACGGCAUGUCAAGUAGCUUCUAUCACAGUGGUAUAUGCGUGCGUCAAUUCAAAUGAAUAAUUUGCAGUAGCUUGUGUUGAAAUAAAAAUAUGUGAAUUUGCACAUUUGAGGAUACUGAUGCUAUUUUCGGUUUAUUUGUUUAUUUAUAAAGAUGUGCUUGUAAGCUAUUUGAGUCUCUCAAUCAAUUAUUUAUCUCUUGGGCUAUUGAAACUAUUUAAAAAUACACUAUUGAAGCUAUUCUUGCAUUUUCCUUGUAUAUUUAAAAAGUUGUGUAUGAUGAAGAUUGUGACUGUUUCUAUACUUUAAUGAAUUGAAAAAAUAUUAUUUUGUCGUUUUCUUUUUUGAAAAAACUAGUCUAACAUAAGUACAUCGAUGUUUAUUCAUCUACUUUGAUAUUCCUAGAUACCCCUAUGCGGGGGCUUUCCCUCCAGGGAAGGGAAAAAAAAGAGAAAAUCCUAGACUUAAUUACCUUUCAAUGUGAGCAAUGGGCAUUUGUAAUGUUUUUUCCUUGAAAAAUAUUAGAAGAUAUUAAAUACUUCAACAGAGAUAUAUUCCUUCAUAAAAAUGUGUGUAUAUAUAUAGUUGUAAUAUAAUGCCACAAAAACCAAAAACGUGUACUAGCACAGCACAAAAUUGAAAUUGAAAAACUGAAUAAUCAAAUAAAUCUAUCGGUUUCAUAAUGAACGCAAAAAUUUUACUAUACCAAUUCAAAUUGGUACAUAAUAGAAAUUCAUAAACUGACGCCUCCUAAUUCACCAUAUUUAGCUGCAAUUGCAUAGGCAUUUCAAGUUUGACAUAUAGCUAUUAUUAACGACCAUCUCUAGAGCAAGUGGCAAAGGGUUUGGUGGUUGGUACCCAAGACCCAAGUUCGAAUCCUAGUUGAUUCACAUUUUCAGCUAAGUUUAUUUUUAAAUAAAAUAAACGAAACGGGUAGCGUGUUAUUUAUCUCUCUCAAAAAAAAGACAUAUAGCUGUUAUUUAAAAAAAAAAAAAGAGGUUCUAUUGACUAUUCAAAUUCUUCAAUUUUGUUUGAAUUGGACCUAAAUUUAGAAUAAAGUUAAAAUUUUGAAUUUUGUUUUUUGAGAGAUAGGUAGCACGCUACCCGCUUCGUUUAUUUCAUUUAGAAAUAAACUUAGCUGAAAAUGUGAAUUAACUAGGGUUCGAAUUUGGACUCGGAUACUAACCAUCAAGUCCUUUACCAUUUGCUCUAAAGACGGUCGGUGAAAUUUUGAAUUAGAUAGUAAAGUCUCAAGGUGACUUGGACCCAUCAAACGUAGCCUAAUCUCUCGACUAGAUUCAAUAUACAUAUAUUAUGUUACACCCCAAAAUUUAGACACUUCCCUGGACUAUGCGAGAAACUGUACGAGAUUUUCCCAUGCAUCCAUUUUACUAAGAAGGUACAUCCACAUUUCUAAAGUAGGUACAUUAUAAAUACCCACCUCUUUGAUAACAUUUUCCAUGUAUCAAAACCUAAGUACUAUAAUAUUCGCAUAUUAAGUUCUUUAUCGAUCGAUCAAACCUUACGAGAGAGGAAGAGACGGCGAAAGGGCAUGUGAUGGAGGCGCUGGGGACUCUCGCCCUAUUUGUUUGUAGCCAGUAUUCUAUUUUAACUCAUGCGAGACCCUUGGAUGAGCUAGCAAGUUGGUCGUCGGAGGUCUGGAUCUGCUCGAGUCAAUUCCGCAAGGAAAAUCGCCGCCACCGAGCCCUUCUGGGUGCACGUAUGGCUCUGCCAGGGGAGGGAACUGCCCGAGCCCGCCGCACGCAUAAAUGUCAUGCAGUUAAACUGUAUUUGCAGUCGUACGUACUUUUGUCAAAAUGAAUAAACUCAAAGGAUUGAAAUAAAAGUAUGUAAUAAACUCGGAGGAUUGAAAUAAAAGUAUGUACAAGUACGCAUCUUCGAAUACUAAUGCUACAGGAGUUUAUUCUUUUUCUCUGUGCUUAUAUCUAGUAUAUAUGAGUCGCACUACUUGAUUAAUAACAUUUAAUUAUUGCAGUCACUCGAUCUUAAGAGGGUGGUGAUUACUGUGACUAUGGUUGUUUCUUUUUUGCAAAAAAGUUCUGUUUUCUCAGAACAGCCGAUUUAGCUUUCUUGGAGAAUUCCACAAUAUAAAUGUAGAUUAAUUAUUCAAAUUUAUAUAGAAAAAUCCUUGUUCGCUUAAAGGGCUAGUAUCUUGCCAUGUAGUGGGAGGCUAGGUUGGGAUAAGCGCUGUAUCUAUACGCUUUAAGUAAAUUUGUUGUAUAUUUUUAAUAGUUCAAACAUUUGAAAUUAAUGAUCAGCGCCUACGAUCCAACAAAUCUCACUAAAAUCUUUAUGGGUACGUACGUACGUAGUUAAGAGUGCAGCGCCAGAAUUUUUUUUUUUUUUUUUCUUUUGAGGAAAAGAUAGCACACUAUAAACUAAGCUAUAAGGGUGAGGCAACACAGGAGUGCCGGAGCUUUUUUGGAAUUACGUAUCUCAUAAGAGCUUUUCUACAAACAAGAAGUUCUAAUAUAACUAAAGCUCACGAGCCACAACAUGUGACUCUUGCAAGCAAGGAUGCAAAAAGACCGGGUCAGAAUCAAGUCAAGUUUAGUCCGGACCCAACUCCGACAAAUUUAUCGGCAGCUGUGAGUCUCAAUUGGCACUGGGGACUACUUAAUGUGACAGGAUUAAAUUCUAUAUAAAUCAUUUUUAAAUCUCACAGAUAAAAUUACAUAAAUUAACUACCACAUGUGUCAUUUUUGUAUGGAGAUAGACUUCUAUACAAUUUAUAGUACCGAAGCUUCGAUAUUAUAAUCUCGUUUUCAAUCUUAAAAUAUUCAAAUAAACUAUCUAUAUCAUUAAAACUAAUUUAAGGCAUUUAAAAUUUUUAGAAAUAAAAUUUUAUAUUUUUUUCACAUAGUUUACUUUAUAAUCAAAUCAUUUCAAAUUAUCAAUUUUCAAUGACUAUUAUGGCGAAUUUAUAAUUUAAUGGUGUACUAGAAUAUAAAUUUAUUUAAAUUUUGAUAUAAAAUACUUUAAACUAUCUAAAUCAAAAUCAAUAUCCUUGAUCUUAAAUUUUAAAGUUUUAUUCUUAAAUUUUAAAGAUUGUUUAAAGUAUUUUAUAUCAAAAUUUAAAUAAAUUUAUAUUCUAGUACACCAUUAAAUUAUAAAUUCGCCAUAAUAGUCAUUGAAAAUUGAUAAUNAAAUUUUAAAGAUUGUUUAAUUUCAAUCGUUCAUUUUGAUAUAAUUUACUUACUAAAUAAACGAUGUCGAAAAAAAUUAAAAUUAUAUCUCUAAAAACUUCACAUAUCCUAUAUUAUAUGUAACUGUGUGAAUCGUUGAUUUGAACAUCCUAAAAUCGAAAAUGAAACUAUAAUACCGGAGCUCCGAUACUACAGAUAGUAUAGUAGCUUAAUUCCGGUUAAUACAUAUAUAUGUAUACUAAGAAAAAAGAAAAAAGUAAUUAGAUGAGCGUAAAAAAAAAAAAAAGAGUUGGUACUUUGAUGAUAAAAACAUAAAAUUUAAACUCAUUUUGACUAUACUCAACUAAAAAUAUUGAGUAACAAUUGAACACAACUAUCGACCGUCCCUAGAGUAAGUGGCAAAGAACUUGAUAGUUGGUACUUGAGACCCAAGUUCGAAUUCUAGUUUAUUCAUAUUUUUAGCUAAGUUUAUUUCUAAAUGAAAUAAACGAAACGAGCAGGUGCUUCCUAAUCUCUCUCAAAAAAAAAAAAAAAAACACAACCACUUUUGCGUACGGACGUGUACUGCCGUAGAGAAAUGCACCGGUCAAUUCCAUUGGCCUUCAAAAGUCAAAACAUAAAUUAAUGUGCUUGCAUUUACCCUUCUAUUUCCUCCUCUUUUUAAUUAACUUGCAAUUCAUGUGGAACAAGGUUGAUCAAAUCCAAGGGAGACGUGUCCUUUUAACUUUGAGGAAUGUACGUAGUAGCUUGAUCAAUCCCCUUGUACAAGCACCACGACGUCUCAGUCGGAGUAGUGUGAAAUUGAAUGACCCGAUCCAUUCAACUUGGCUCAAAUUAGGACUAUUGAUUAGAACUCGAUUAAAAAAUUUAGACCCUUUUUGCAAUGGGAAGUUCCUAUUGUUUCUCAUUAUACUUACCACGCAAAUACCAUUUUCCAACAUUAGUGGACUAUAAAAUGCCCACGUCCUUGUAUAGUUUCGAUCAAACCAUACACUGAAUAAAAAAAAGAGAGGUAUACAUAAAAAGCUUAGAAGGAAAAAAAAAAAAAAAAAAAAAGGGGAAAAAAAAAUGGAAAAAGGGUAUAAAGCGAUGGUAGUUAUGCUGAUCCUCAUAUUGUUGAUAUGUAGCUCACAUUCUCCCUCGGCGGCGAGGCCGUUAGAUGGGGAAAAUGGUCAGUUAGGAGUCGGAGGUGAUCUGGUUGUGUUCGGGUCCCUUCUGCAGGGACAGAUUCUGCCAACGGGACGCUCGCGUGAGUCCCUUCCUCUUUCGACUCAUGCAAGGCCGUUGGAAGGACAAGAUUAUAGGGUAGGUGUCGAAGGUCUGAAUCUGCUCGAGUCUCUUCCACAAGGACAAGUGCCGCCAAUGGGCCCUUCUCCGUGCACUAGCGGCUCCGCCAAGGGAGGGAAGUGCCCGGGUCCCCCAGGAGCAUAAGCUUUGCGCGGUUAACGGCAUUUGCAGUGAUGAUUGACUCAUAGUGAAAACGUUACUUACGACAAAAUGAAUAAUGUUGCAGUGUUUACAUAAAAGAGUGGAAAUGUAUGCAUGUUAAUUCGGAUAUUAAUACCAUUUGCUUUGUUCUUUAAUUUCUACUUAUAUCUAGCUAGUAUGUGUCAAACGAUUUGGUCAAUAACAAGUUGUUACAAUUAUUAAUGAAUUUAUUUACGAAAUGGUGAAUAUUGUGACUGUGGUUGCAUUUUCUUUCUCUCUCUCUCUCUCUCUUUUUUCUUUUUUGUUUAAUUUUUCUCAGGCAACCUAUAUAAGUUGUCUUUAAAAGAGUUCUACAAAAGAACCAACUGUUACUAACGCAGGUGCCAAAUAAUUUAAUGAUUGGUAUUUAAGGUUUCAAAUUCAAACUUUAAUAAUUUUACAUUUUCAAUUUCAUUAAAAAAAAAAAGAAAUGGGUACGUAGUAUGCAACCCUUCUCUCUUAAAAAAAUAGAGUUCUACUGUAUAUAUAAAAUAGGAGCUCAAUUCUAUAUAUGAAUGACAAAAAUAUAAAAGGUAUAUUUAUCCUUCCAUUUUAAAUAGAAACUCAUACUAAAGUGCCCAUCGGUAUGUAGUUAGGAAGAGCUUUUUUGGAAAUAGAAAUCUCGUGAGGGAUUUUCAGCAAUUAGAGGACAAAUUCUUUUUUUCUCUAUCAAAUUAAAUAAUUAUAAUUAAAUAAAAUAUAUUUAUUUUAUGUAUACAAUCAAAUUAUAUAAAAUACAUAAGAAAAUUUAAUUUUUAAGAAUUUUGUGAAAAAAAAGCUUUGAACGCACACUUUAACUAAUCUAUACUAUAUCUAUACUAAAUAUAAAAGAGCGAACAGAAAUUUUGGAUUUGUCAAGUUUUGUUUCAAAAAUGUCCUUUCCAUUCUCAAAAUGCAUCUUUACUUUAAAUAACUGUUAUAAAAUAAUUUUUUAAAUUAUCAAUUUAUACAAUUUAAGUUUCUAAACUAAUUUAAAUUUUAGUAAAUUGAAACUAAUGAAUCUACUAUAAUUUUUCUUAUUUUUCUAUCAAAAUUAGAUGAUAAUGAUUAAUUAAAUUUUUUAACCUAUAAAUUUAACUUUCCUAAUAUAUUUCCAUUAUAAUUUUUAACUUAAACUAUUUAAAUUUUUAAAUCUACUUAUAUUUAAUAGAUAAGCCUAACGUUACUAACUUAUCCAUCUAUAUAUAUAUGACAAAUUAGAUGAUUAUAAUUAAACAAAUUUACUUCUUUAAAUUAUAAUCAAAUUCUACGAAAUAUAUAAGUAAAAAAAAAAAUUUGCUGAAAAAUGUGUAUUGCACGUGUACUUUAAUUAGUAUACAUAUAAAAAAAAAAAUCGGUGAUAUAUUUAAAUAUUUUAUUUCACGUACAAAAUUAAAUUCAACAAAAUACAUAAGUAAAACUAUUUUCUUAAGUUUUCGUGUGCGUGCGUGCGUAAUGCGCGUGUUGCGCAUGCACACAUUCAGAUCGAGCAACGGUAAGCUCGAGUCAAACCUAGAAAGUUUUAAGCAGGGUCACAUGGGGGUUGACCCGACCCAACGAAAUGAACCAGAAAAUAUGACCCGACCCAUGUUUGUAUCCAUACACAGAACCUGUGAGGAGAAAUUAAAAAAAAAAAACUAAAAAGCAAUAUACAUUCAGCAACAGUUGAACACAACCACUUCCUCAUACGGACGUGUACGGCACUAGAGACAUGCAAUGGUCAAUUAAUCCGAUGGCCUUCAAAAGUCAAAACAUAAAGUGUGCUUGCAUUAAUUACGCUUCUAUUUCCUCCUUUUUUUCUAAUCAACAUGCAAUUUACGUGGAACAAGUUUGAUCAAAUCGAAGGGAGACGUGUCCUUUUUAACUUUGAAUGCAGUAGCUUGAUCAAUCCCGUACUACAAACAAGCACCACGAAGUCUCAGUCGGAGUAGUGUGAAAUUGAAUGACUCGAUCGAUCGGGUCCAUUCAACUUGGCUCAAACUAGGACUUUUGACUCGAACACGAUUAAAAAAUUUGAACACUUUUUGCAAUGUGGGGAGUUAUGGAGGAAACGAAUGAGUUCCUAUUGUAUUUUCGUUGUAAUUACCAUGCAAAUACCAAUUGCCAACAUUACUCGGUUAUAAAAAUGCCGCUUCAUUGAAUUGCUCUCCAUCAAGUUUUGUAUACCGAAUCAAAAGGGGAGAGAUAUAGAAGUUAGUAAAAAAAUGGCAAAAGAGUGCAAUGUGAUGGAAAUGAUACUGAUUCUCAUAGUGUUAACAUGUAGCUCACAUUCUCUUUCGAUGGCGAGACCGUUGGAAGGCAAGAGGGGCCAGUUAAGAGGUGAUGUGGGUAUGUUCGAGUCCCUUCCACAAGGACACAUUCCUUCAACGGGACAUUCGGGCUGCACUAAUGACCCCAACAACAAGAAUGGAUUUUGUCCGAACCCGCCGCAAGUCGGAGGUGAUCGGAGCGUAGUGUUUGAGUCCCUUCCGCAAGGACAAGUUCCUUCGACAGGGUACUCAGGCUGCACCAAUGACCCCAACAAUGAGGAUGGAUCUUGCCCAAACCCGCCGCUAGUCGGAGGUGAUCUAGGUGUAGUGUUCGAGUCCCUUCCACGAGGACAGGUUCCUCCGCCAGGGCACUCGAAUUGCACCAAUAAUCCCAACAGCAAAAAUGGGUCUUGUCCGAAUCCACCGCCAAUCGGAGGUGAUCUGAGUGUAGUGUUUGAGUCCCUUCCGCAAGGACAAGUUCCUUCACCAGGGCACUCGGGCUGUACUAACGACCCAAACAACCAGAAGGGGUCUUGUCCAAACCCGCUACAAGGUUAAAAACAUCAUGUGGUGAUUUGCUUACACGGUAUUGAUGAUUCGUGAGAUCAAUACAGAGGAUUAGAAUAACAAAGCAUAACAAUAUAGAGGAUUAGAAUAACAACGCGCGUAGCGUGCAUGUGCCUGGUGUCUGUGGAUUAACAGUAUGUUUAUUUGUUUCUUCUUUAUCAUAAGAUAUGUUGCUUGUCUUAAGUGCUUUUACCUGGCGCAAAAGUUCAAACACCAUUAAUGAAAUCACUAGUGAAGAACCGGCGCGUUGUGGCGGAAUAUAUAAAUAAAAUAAAUAAUAGUAAAAAAAAGAGUCAAAAAAUUAUAUAAAAAAAUAACUAAAAAAUAAACAAUUAUUGCUGUAAUAAAAAUAUAAAAAUAAAUUAUAAGAAAGAUUAAAAAAAAUAAAGGCAAAAAUCAUACUAAUAAAAAAUUAUAUAUAAUUNUCUACUUAUAUUUAAUAGAUAAGCCUAACGUUACUAACUUAUCCAUAUAUAUGGCAUAUGACUAGAUGAUUAUAAUUAAAUAAAUUUACUUCUUUUAUAAUCAAAUUCUACGAAAUAUAUAAGUUUUUUUUUUUUGGGUGAGAAAUGUGUAUUGCACGUGUACUUUAAUUAGUAUACAUAAAAAAAAAAAAAUGGGUGAUAUAUUUAAAUAUUUUAUUUGACGUACAAAAUUAAAUUCAACAAAAUGCACAAGUAAAACUAUUUUCUUAAGUUUUCGUGUGCGUGUGUGUGUAAAGCGUGUGUUGCACAUGCAUACAUUCAGAUCGAACAACGGUUAGCUCGAGUCAAACCUAGAAUGUUUUAAGCUGGGUCACAUGGGGGUUGACCCGACCCAACGAAAUGAACCAGAAAAUAUGACACGACCCAUUUAUGUCCGUACACAGAACCUGUGAGGAGAAAUUAAAAAAAAAAAACUAAAAAGCAAUAUAUAUUCAGCAACAGUUGAACGCAACCACUUCCUCGUACGGACGCGUACGGCACAAGAGAAUGCACUGGUCAAUUCCUACGGCCUUCAAAAGUCAAAACAUAGAGUGUGCUUGCAUUUACCCUUCUAUUUCCUCCUCCUUUUUUUUUUUUUAAAUCAACAUGCAAUUUACGUGGAACAAGUUUGAUCAAAUCCAAGGGAGACGUGUGACUUUUAACUUUGAAUGCUGUAGCUUGAUCAAUCCCGUACUACAAGCACCACGAAGUCUCAGUCGGAGUAGUGUGAAAUUGAAUGACUCGAUCGAUCGGGUCCAUUCAACUUGGCUCAAACUAGGACUUUUGACUCGAACACGAUUAAAAAAUUUGAACACUUUUUGCAAUGUGGGGAGUUAUGGAGGAAACGAAUGAGUUCCUAUUGUAUUUUCGUUGUAAUUACCAUGCAAAUACCAAUUUCCAACAUUACUCGGUUAUAAAAAUGCCGCUUCAUUGAAUUGCUCUCCAUCAAGUUUUGUAUGCUGAAUCAAAAGGGGAGAGAUAUACAAGUAAGUAAAAAAAUGGCAAAAGGGUGCAGUGUGAUGAAAAUGAUACUGAUUCUCAUAGUGUUAAUAUAUAGCUCACAUUCUCUUUCGAUGGCGAGACCGUUGGAAGGCCAAAGGGGCCGGUUAAGGAUCGGAGGUGAUCUGGGUGUGUUUGAGUCCCUUCCGCAAGGACAGGUUCCUUCAAUGGGGCACUCAGGCUGCACUAAUGACCCCAACAACAAGAAUGGAUUUUGCCCGAAUCCGCCGCAAGUCGGAGGUGAUCUGGGUGUAGUGUUCGAGUCCCUUCCGCAAGGACAGGUUCCUCCGCCAGGGCACUCGAAUUGCACCAAUAAUCCCAACAACAAAAAUGGGUCUUGUCCGAAUCCACCGCCAAUCGGAGGUGAUCUGAGUGUAGUAUUUGAGUCCCUUCCGCAAGGACAAGUUCCUUCAACAGGGCACUUAGGCUGCACCAACGACCCAAACAAUAAGAAAGGGUCUUGCCCAAACCCGCCGCAAGUCGGAGGUGAUCUGGGUGUACUGUUCGAGUCCCUUUCGCAAGGACAGGUUCCUCCACCAGGGCACUCGAAUUGCACUAAUAAUCCCAACAACAAAAAUGGGUCUUGUCCGAAUCCACCGCCAAUCGGAGGUGAUCUGAGUGUAGUGUUUGAGUCCCUUCCGCAAGGACAAGUUCCUUCACCAGGGCCCUCGGGCUGCACUAGCGACCCAAACAACAAGAAAGGGUCUUGUCCAAACCCGCCACAAGGUUAAAAACAUCAUGUCAUGAUUUGCUUACACAGUAUUGAUGAUUCGUGAGAUCAAUACAGAGGAUUAGAAUAACAAAGCAUAACAAUAUAGAGGAUUUGAAUAACAACGCGCGUAGCGUGUAUGUGCCCGGUGUCUGUGGAUGUAUGUGGGUACUCAUACUCGUUAACAAUAUGUUUAUUUGUUUCUUGUUUUAUCAUAAGAUAUGUUGGUUGUCUCAAGUGCUUUUACCUGGAGCAAAAGUUCAAACACCAUUGAAAUCAUUCUUGCAUUUAUUUUUAUGUUAAUUUUUCAGAAGUUGUGUCUUAGGCCGAACAUUGUCAGUGUUUUCAAGUAGUUUCUGUGAUGCGGUCCGGUCACUUCACAAAGAAUGUGAUGUAAUUAUGAGCAAUUAAUUAGAAGCAUCAAAAUUCCAACAAUUCAAUUAUGUGAACCAGAAAUUGUUCCCACACAGUAAGUAUACCAGCAUACUAUGAUAAAACCUCUAUUUUAUCUCUUCAUCACACUAGGUUUAUAAUAUAAUAGCACUUCAACUCGAUCGUUAAUUAAUUAUGGCUACACGCUUGCUCACAAAAUUCUUGGUUUAUAUCCAGUAUCGAGUAAGAAUAGCCGUAAAACUAACUUUCAUGUGAUGAUUAAGAAAAUAAGAAACUGAUUAAAGCAAAUAGAGCAGCACACCUAUGUUUAUUCUUAGUUACAAGUACUAUUUUGAAUCCUAGCUAGAUAGAUGCUUCCGAGCCAUUGUGACGUGGAUGUCAUUUAAUAAAGCAAAUCAAGAAAAUGAUCACGGAUAAAAUUUCCAGUAAUAGGGCUUCCCACUACUAAGGCAAGGACUUGUAUGAUGUGAUACUCACAAUAUGGGACGCACAAACUAAAAUAUUCGAAACUUCAGUAUUUAGACAGCAACCUGAAUAACAAGAGAUUUGAUAUUCUGCUGGGGGAUGGGGAAGUUGAACAUCCAUAUUUCAGUGUUCGGGGUGAUGCAGCAGGCAAACAUGCGGAUCACCUGCGAUUUAGCACAGCAGCAGCUACACUUUUCUGAGGACAGGUGUCAUCGAGCGUGACGAUUAAGAUCGAGUUCAAGCGAAGGAGAGCAAAAGAAUAAAUGAUAAAAUGAGAUCGAAGUAUAUGUCGAGGUCAUUGUUGUUACAAGAAUCUCUUAUAAAAGAACAAGAACAUGCAGGAUGAACUCUAAGAUGUACCACUCAGCUACAAUAUAACAUUUCGAUCUAUCUUUGAAAUAAAACAACCAUUAAUAGCAAAAGAACACUUUGAAACUUCUCCCUGUAAAGAUCAACAUCAUGAAACUGAAAAAAAAAAAAAAAAAAUCUGCUAAAUCAAACAAAACAAUAAAGAAGACCAGGCAUGAGAAUUAAUCGACAAGCCUAUAUAGAUAACUCUCCCAUAUUGCCAAUAUUGUUUUCUCUUUUUUUCUUUCGAUCUCUUCUAUCUUGCAUGUGCUGAGGUGAAGGAUUCGGCGAAACCGGUGGGCCUCGCAGGAAUGCUGCUCUGAGAGUUCUCCAAGUUUCCGAUAGUUGAAACUGACUGGCUACUGUUCUCUAACUCCUUCCACCUCUGGAGUGCUUCAGGUAAUGUCAAGUCCAAGUCGAUCGUAUAUUCGUCGUCCAAUUUGGGUUCCAACGGCUUCCAUACUUCCGCCAACGAAGACAAGACAUUAACGACCUGGCCCAUGUCGGGCCUCUGCUGCGGCUCUCUUGAACAGCAGUGACAAGCCAACUCGGCAACCGUGAGAACGCUCUUUAGGGUUUCGUCGUCAAGGUCGAUUGUUGGGUCGAUGACUUCUUCGAAAGUAGCCUUGUUGAUAUGCAUUCGUCUGAACCACGUCACCAGGUGCACGUUCUCCUCCGAUUGGCUGUUGUCGAGAGCCUUUCGGCCGGUGAUUAGCUCCAUGAGGAUUACUCCGAAGCUGAACACGUCGGCCUUGGUGGUCACACGGCCCGUCACUGCACGGUGGUAAAUGCAGCAUAAAAUCACCAACAUACAAUAUAUAGCAGGAAAUGUUUAGUGUUCUGGAAAAGAUCUGAUAGGCCCUGUUUCAGUUUUGAACACCAAAUAUAAAGCUUUUCAUCCAAGUGCAUUGUUUGUUAUAGAUACAUUGCUUAAAUCGCAUGCAUUUUCUUCUCUAAUCAUCAUGAAAAUUUUGUUGGUUCUUUUCUUUCUGAAUGUUAUAUAUUGAUCCUGUGCAAAUAUUUGAACAGUAUAAAUAAGUAACAUAGAAAAGCAAAUACAUAAAUAUAGAUAUACCUGCAUACUCCGGUGCGAGAUAUCCGAAGGUGCCGGCAAGCCUCGUCUCAACUGAAUAUUUCCCAUCUGGUGCAUGCUUAACAAGCCCAAAAUCCGCAACCUUAGCUUUCAUAUCAUCCCCGAGAAGAAUAUUGGAAGGCUUCAGAUCCCUGUGUAUGAAGCUUUGAUUAGCCAGGCUAUGCAAAUACUCGACGCCGCGAGCAACAUCGAGUCCGAUACUCAAUCUCCUCUUCCAGUCCAACGGAUUCAGCCCCUCGCUCUUCCAGUUGAAAAGAUGUUGACUGAGCGUUCCUCUCGGCAUGUACUCGUACACCAGGAUCCUCUCACUCCCAUCCAAGCAAUAACCGAGGAGCGAGACCAAAUGGCGGUGGCGAAGUCGCGUCAGGACCGAAAUUUCCGACGUGAACUCGCUCAAACCCUUCGGGCCCGUCGCGCUGCUGCCCUCCAUCCGCUUCACCGCGAUCUUAGUGCCGUCGUCGAGCCCCCCUUUGUAGACCGUCCCGAACCCUCCCCGGCCCAAUAUAUUGUCCUCGCUGAAGUUAUUCGUCACGUUUCGAAGAACUUGAAUCGAGAUGACCAUACUGCUCGGCUCGCCGACGUGAAAGUCACGAGGCCCACUACUCGUGCUGCUUACAGCUCCAUUGAAGACCCCAUUCAAGCCAUUACCAGCCAGAGAUAUCUUGAGCAUCUCCGCCUCCGAACCGGAGUGACCCGGGUGUAUAACUAUGCCGCUCGGAAGCCGAGACUUGCCGAAACAGAACUUGUUUCUCUUAGAAUAGCAGAACACAAGCAAUCCGACGAGGAAAGCCGCACCGAUAACAGAACUGACGACAACGCCGAUUAAAUAGGACUUGUUGCUACCACCGCCACUAUCCGAUCCAGGAGAGCUCGACCCGUCUUUGCCGGGAUUUAUGUCCUUCCCGAUAUCGGGAUUUCCUUCGGUUCUCACCACAACAUUUCGGCGAAAAGCGGGGAUUUUCCCCCAGAGAGAGUUAUUUGACACGUCCAAUUCUUUAAGUGAAGGUAAAUUGGUAAGAGCUUCCGGAAUUGUGCCGGUGAGGUUGUUUCCCGACAGUAAGAGCUUCUGCAGCGAAGGCAAAAGCCGAAAAUCCGGCGAGAUGGCGCCGUUGAGGCCCAGUUUCUGGAAAUUAACAACAAUCACGUCCCCUUUGGCAUCGCAGGUGAUUCCCAGCCAAGUGUUGCCGCACGGAUCGUUACCGGGCCAAUUCCUGGCGAAUAUCUCGGGGUACCCGAGAGAGCUGGCGAUGGAGAGCAUGGCGUUCACCCGCGGAUCGCAAUCGCCGGCGUCCGUUCGGCAGAAGCGCUCGGACGAAGGGAGGAGAUCGAUCUUCAUGCGCGCGGCGUUCUUGAACGCGGGAACGGGCCCCUGGAGGAGGUUGUUGGUGAGCACGACGGUCCAGAGCGAGUCGAGCCCGGUGAGCGAGUCCGGGACCGGACCGGUGAGCUCGUUGUCUCGCAAGUCCAAGUCGGCGAGGUCGGUUAGGCGCGAGAGGUCGGGGAUGGGGCCGGAGAAGGAGUUGGAGUGGAGCCAGAGUUGGCGGAGGCCGGUCAUGUCGGCGACGGCGUCGAUGGGCCCGGAGAGCUUGGCGGGGCCCCGCUGGUUGUUGAGGAGGAGGGACUUGACGGGAGAGGUCGAGAAGCUUCGGGGGAUGGGGAGGGAGGUGAAGUUGUUGUCGUUGAGGAAGAGGGUGCGGAGGGAGGAGAGCGAGGGGAGGGAGGGGACGGGCCCGGAGAGCGAGUUGCCCAUCACCUCCAGCCGGACGAGCGCGGUCAGGUUCGCCACCGCGCCCGGGAGGCUCCCGGAGAGCCCGCGCCGCCCGAUCUGGAUCGCCGUCACGCGGGCGCCGCCGCCGCCGUCGGGGUCGCACCGGACGAGGGGCCACGAGCAGGGGUCGGCGUCGCUCGACCAGUUCAGGGCCGAGGCGGGGCGGAGCGCCGCCGCGAGGGCGACCAUCGCCGCCGCGUCCCCGGCGUCCGCGGCGAGCGCCGGGGAGAGGACGAUGAGAAUGACGACGACGAAGAGAAGAUGAGGUGCUGAGAGCAUGGCGCUCUAGAGAGAGAAAGUGAUGAAGAGAGAGAGAGAGAGAAAGAGAGAGAGGGUGGGGCUUAAGGUGCGGGGGCGGAGCGGGGGGAGGUGUGGAAAGCGUGGGAGGGGCGGGGACGAAGACGUAGUACUACGCCACUAUUCGAAUUCGGGGCGUUUCCGUUUUAGGAAAGUUUAGUACCUUUUAUUCGGGGAAGUUAUUGCGUCUGCCUAGUACUAGUAGUAUUUGGACUAUAAAAAUUAAAAAGAGUAGGACCUUUGGGUACCCCAGGAUAAAAUUGGUGAAUCUUUUGGAACCCACAGACGCAAUGGUGGUGAGUUUGGUGGGUCCUACUAAUUCGUGGUUGGGAUAUUUGGGUGUGUACUUGGGUGCAAUGACCGGGUACGCACGACGGGGAAUCGGAGUAGAUGGGUUCUUCUUCGUUUGGUAAUAAGUGGCUUAAUUGCGCAGUUUUGGAAAGCAACAACGCGUAAUAGCUGGUUUUAUUUUCUUGUACGAAAAUGCCCUCGUUCUGUUUCCUGCCUUUAACUGUUAUAAGGGCGGAACCGUCAAUUCGGCGGUUUGAUUUGGGAACGUAACGCUCUUAUUAUAGUGGAAGGAUCGCCGAGGGUGAAUUGUUAUUUUUGGAAAGAUCGAGGAAAUAAAUUGUGUGGAUUGGUGAAAAUAAUGUAAAAUAAUUUAAUCAUAUUGCUGAAUUCAAGUUCAUUAGAGAAAAUUUGGAACUAAUAAAUUUAAUGGAUUCCGUUCAUUUUGUAUUGGUCAAUAUUUUAUUAUCAUAAACUAUCUGAAGAUUGUUAAGUAAAUAAAAAAAAAAAAUAGCGAAGGACUUGGAUGAGUGAAUAAGCACUUUUGUUUGGACGCAUUUCCCUAAUUUAUUUGUCCAAACUGCCACGUGGAGGGGCCCAAACUCUUUACGUUUUCAUAAAACUUAAAAUAAUUAAACUUAAUAUUGUGCUAAAUAAUAAUAAUUAUUAUUUUUAUGAAGAGAGAAUGGUUUACCGACCGUCCCUAAAACAAGCAAGUGACAAAAGACUUGGUGGUUGAUACCCAAGAUCUCAAGUUUGAAUCCUAAUUGAUACACAUUUUUAGAUAAGUUUAUUUCUAAAUAAAAUAAACAAAAAGGUAGCGUGGUAGUGCUACGGUGCUACAUAUCUCUCAAAAAAAAGAAGAGAGAAUGGUUUGGGUCCCUUGGGAUGCUCUCCCAAGGAAAAUUGAUGAGAUGGCAAUCCCAUGUAUAUAUUUUGGGACCCACCCUUGGGCUUCAAACUCUAUUAAGAGACUGUUCCAUAACGUAUCGUUUGGUUCGGGGAUAAGCAAAAAGUGACUAUUCCACGAAUAGGUAUAAAUUGAGGUAUAAGCGGGAAUUAAAUUAAUUUUGCAUUUGGAUGAAAAUUGCGUUAUUUCUAGAAAUAAAAAAAAUAGCGUUUGGUCAGGUAAGAUGGAAUAAGAAUUAAAGUAAGUAGUGAUAAAUAAAAAAAAAAUGAUAUUAUCCUUCUUAUUAUAUUUGAAUUUGAAUUUUGAAAUUAUAUAUAAAUUUUAAAAUUUUAAAAUUUUAACUUUUAAAUUUUAAAAUUUUAAAUUAAAUUUUAAAAAUUAAAAUCUCAAAAUUUAAAUUUUAAAUUUUAAAUUUUAAAUUUAAGAUCAAAUUUAAAUUUGAAAAAUAUAAAAUAUCAAAUUUUAAAUUUCAAAAAUUUAAAAUAUCAAAUUUUAAAAUUUUAAUUUAAAAUUUUGAAAAUAAGAAUAGUGGUGGUAAAAAUUAAUAAAAAUAAUUUAUUAUAAUAAAUUUAUAAAUUUGAUAAUAAUAAAUUUUUUAAUAAAUUAAUAAUUUUUUAUUAUUAAUAAAUUAAUAAUUUUUUAAAAUUCUACUUAAACUUAAAUUUAAUAAAAAUAAUAAUAUUUAAUCAUAUUUAAAUAUAAUUUAUUAUAAAAUUUAUUAUAAUAUUUAAUGUUUAAAUAUAAAUAAUAUGUAUUAAUAUAGUACAAUUAAUAAUUUUAUAAUAAAAAUAAUAUAUUAUAAUAUAUAACAUAUUAUAUUUAUAUAAUUUAGUUUUAAUUUAAUUUAUAAUUUUAAUAAAGUUUGAAAUUAAACAUUGGAAUAACACUAUUACAUCAAAAUGGUGGAAUAGUAAAUCUCUUACUAUUCCGGAAUAGCCGAGAAUAGUAAGGUUUAACCGGAAUAAAAUAUUCCGGCCAAAAAUUAUUUCGUUUGGCGGAAUAGUGGGAAUAACUUUUGUUAUCCCCGCUUAUAUCGCCAACCAAACGGGGCCGCUGACACACCAGUAAUCUUAUACUUGCAGUACUAGACAUGCUUCCAGAUAAAUUAUUUUUUGGAUGGUUAGGUUUGACGCGAAUGGCAGAUUGGUGUCAUCUUGUUUCCAUUGGAGGCAAUCUUGUGUUUAAAGUUUCUUCGAUCGCCCGAUUCUCAAACUUCAUGUGUGCUUCAUGAUCGAUCUUCGUUGCAGGUAAUCGGGUCAAAUUUAAUUUAGGCCAUAUUAUUAGCAAAUUAAACAAGUUAAUUGGAUGUAAAUCGACUCACUUAGGGUGAUCAAUCAAGCAACUAACGGGCAACCCGAACCCGACCAAUACGCGGCCUAAGGCUUGAUUGUCUCCCAUAUUGACCUCUGUAUACGAGAUUGAAUAACGACCGUGAAUAAUCGGUUCGAAGUUAAGGUGUGCAAGGAAUAAGAACCAAAAUGGAAAUAUGAAAACCAAGAAACGGUGGGAGGUCUAGUUAGUCAGAUAAUCUUGAUCUCUGUUCGAUUCGAAAACUCAACAGGACAAGUUAAGCAACUCAAGUUAGAUCAGCUCGAUUUGAUUAGGGCUAUAAUCAAUACAAAUGCAUCUUUCCCUUGUGCAUGAUUUCUAGUAGUAUAAUGCUGAAAAAGCAGGUAGUAUUACCUGAGUGAUCUUAUUUGUUUCUGCUACGGUACUCUUGGGAAUUACGGAGAGACUGAGUUCUCUAUUUGUUUCCGUACGUAAUAUCAUAUUUAGCAUAUAAUAAUAAGUAGGUUAUGAUAUCAUUUCUACGCUAUAUAUUUUCCAACGGCCCGUAGGCUUUGAUAUCUCAGAAGUCCAGCUGCGUAGGGCCACUUUUGCCACUGCAGGAACUGGGCCUAAUUGCCCCCGUAAUCGAUGGGCCCAAGCCCAUGUUUAUAACUGGACUAAUGCGUCAUUACCAUAUCGCAGUGAGGGCAAUAUCGUAAUUUCGCAAGCCACCUCCAAAAGUCGCCACAAACCAUUCUCCGCCUCAGUGCGACGGUUAGCUAUAUCAUCACCAGUUGAACGUUGACACGUGGGAUCCGCUCAAAAUAGGUGGGGCCCACGCCACGGCUUUAUAACCAUAGUACGCCCCGUGAAAGGAGAUGGUCUUCGAUCCUGCAUUGGCACCGCCACCUUAUAAUAUCUCAAGCAAUCAAAAUUUUCUCUUUAACAAAAAAAAAAAAAUAACAAAUUCCUUUUCCAAAAUUAUGAUUAGAUUGAAACAUUUUGGAUGCACAAUUUUAUUGGUUAGGAACAUAACUGAUAUAAUGCCGCCACGAUAUUUUAAACUUCCACCCAUAAAAGAGUACUAUAAUGCGCCACAAGUAAAACUAACGCAAGAAGAACUUGCUAGCUUAUAUGCGACGAUAGAUCAAAAGCUCCCGCCGAGACAGAGUUGGGAUGUUUCCCUUGAAUUUUUUUUUUGAAAAAAAAAUAGCAAAUUAUUUGUUUUAUUCAUUAAGCAAAAUAAGUUUUCCUUGAAAUUUUGUCUCCUAAAGAGUAGCAUUGUUUGUUAAUUAGCAAAUUUUGGAAAGGCCACAAAAUGACAAGCACAUCACAUGAGACACAGUAUUAUCGUUCCUAAUUAUGACUUUUCGUAGGAAUUUAUAAGCAGAUGUUGACCUUUUUGUGCUCUAUAUUCCCGUGGUCAAUGUACUACUUCGAGUGGAGAAAUAGCUUGCGUGUACGAUAUUAAUGCUGUUACACAGAAAGUUAUAGUCCAUAUCAAUCAAAAUGAUAAUUUUAUUUCCAACACACAAAUUGUAAACUUGUUAUUGAUCUUGUUAUAUAUAUAUAUAUAUAUAUAUAUAUAUAUAUAUAUAUAUAUUUGAGCUAGAAUAUUUUUAGAAAUAUCACCCACUUGGUGCUAUUAAAUUUUUAGCUUUUGGAUCUACUCCUUGAUUACUAAUAGACUUUAUAUCAAACACUAUUCCACCUACCAUCAUCUACCACCACCAAUCAUUAUCAUCCCAAUCUUAUAUUUCUCCAUCCAAGAAUUAAAAAAUUAAAAGCACCAACCUCUCAGUACUUUUAAGAGUAUUCUAGCUCCACUCUCUCUCUCUCUCUCUCUCUCUCUCUCUCUAUAUAUAUAUAUAUAUAGAGUUGAGCUGGAAUGCUAUCAGUAGCAAACGGGCUCCGUUGCUAUCCAUUUGUUUUGGAUGAUGGAGCGUUCAAAUCGACGAUCGGCACCAUUGAACAUGAUCUAUAUCACUUGAAGUAUUUAGAAAUUAAAUUUCAAAUCUUUUCGACAUCAUUUACCUAAUGAUCAAAGAGUUUCAAAAUUAGUAAUUUUAAUGGUUGAUAUGAGGAGUUUUCUCGUUUAACGGUGUAAAGCUAUCCAAAUCAAUUGAAUUUUGGUUAGAAAAUUCUUUAAACUAUUUAGAACAAGAUCUAUACUCUCGAUCAUGAUUACAAUAUUUCUAUCAUCACUUUUUAGAGAAUAUUCAUUUUCAGCCAUUCAUUUUUACGCCCACUUGAUGGACAAAACAUAAUAUCGAAAAAGUAUGAAAUUUGAUUUCUAAAUAUUUCAAGUGGUAUAGAUCAUUUUCAACGGUACCGAUCGUCGAUUUGGAGGCUCCAUCAUCGAAAACAAAUGGGUGGCAACGGAGACCGUUUACUACCGAUAGUAUUCCAGCUCAACUCUCUCUCUCUCGCUCUCUCUCUCUCUAUAUAUAUAUAUAUAAGAGUAAAGGCACCACUUAGCUACGCUCAAAUCAAAAUAAGAUCAUCUCGAACUCACAAAUGCUCCAACAAAAUCAUUUUCUUAGAUAUGUAUGCAUACUGUGAUGUAUUCAGAUUCAUAAUUUUUAUUCUAUUACACAUGACAUAUACGAAGCCCUGCCAUGUACUUGCUAAUAGACCAUUAUGCUAUUUAAUCGACUAAAUUAUUCGCUAUGAUAUAAAUUGUUACUAACACUUGAAUGUUAAAAUGGAAGGGCGCCCGUAACAAUAAUUAAUAGUAUAUAAAUAGUAUCUACUAUAUAUUUUUUUGCUAUUGGAUUACACCACCUCUCACUAAAUUCUAGCCAGAUAUCCAACAAUCAAAAGUGGAUAAUAAAUACUGUAAAUAUUUUAUUAAUAAUAGUAUUUCAGCAUAACCCGGUAUAUAUAUACACACACAUCAUUACAAGAAAAUUAUAAUAUAAUGAUAUUUUUUAAACAACGCAGGAAGCAUCUACAAGCUUUCCUAAAAUAUAUAUGGUAAAUUUUGACACUUUAAAAAGUGUUGUCAUAUGAACAUUCUAUUAUAUUAAAUAAAAUUAUUAAAUAAUAAAUUUUAAUAUUAUUUUUAAUUUUUUAAUAUUUUAAAAUAUCUGAAUUUUAAAAUAUUAUGAAUAAUUCUGACGCUUUGAAACGUCAGAAUAUAUUUUACCAACGUUAGACAUAAAUAUCGAUAUAGAUAGCAAUUUUUUAUUUAUUUAUAUUUUAACUGGCGUUUUCAAAUGUGACGCUAAACUAUAUUAAGUUAUUUUUUAGCAUAAUUAAAUAUAAGAACAAAUGUAAUUUUUUUUUAUUGUGCAUACACAAGUACGUAACUACUAUUAUUAUAUUAUUACUAUUAUUAUUAUUUUCGUUGGUCAAACAAUAUGGAUCGUGAGAGGACUAGUACGUACAGGGCCAGAGACGUACAAGGCACAUACUGUCCAACUAUACGCCAUCGCUCUACUCGUGGAGGUGCGACGCGUGGUACAAUAAAAUGAUGCCACGUCAUCGUUCUUAGCGUACGGGGUGCGUACGCACGUGUAUGUAUACGAGGGAGUUGGAUGGAACUUGUACAUCCCGUGUUUUAAUAGGAGGAUGUAUUAAUGGGUACCCUUAAUUGUGUACUUGUGAACAAAUCCUUUUAGAUUCUCUCCCAAACUCGUCGAUUUUCCCAGAUCCGGGUAAUUAAGAGGGUCCGCGUAAAUAUGACUUAGUGUCAUUUUGGGCGGGUGGGUGGUUGGGAGGGGAGAGUUUCGUACAAUACGGUUUGUAUUGUUGGAGCUUUGAAAUAUACCGUACGUGGCACUGCACCAUUGGUCAAGUCCGAGUACAGACGUUGACUAUACUUAGCUGUCGUAUACGUGCAUUGCCAACGAAUCCAAUGUAUUUUUCCUUUAUAGGGAUAGCAUAUUAAUGUAUUUGUUGGUGUUGGUAUAAUAUUCAUAGGUGUUACGUAAAUUUUCAUAGGUUUUUUUAAAAAUUAUAUACUUAUCCAACAUAAGAAUAAGAUUUCGGUAGAAAAUUUUUCAACAAUAUUUUAUCUGAUCUGUUGUUGCAUGUCAAUUUAUUUCAUCCAAAAAUUUAUCCGAUAUUUUUUUAAAAAAAUUAUCAAUAUUAAAAUAAUUAUAAUUUUUAGAAAGAAAAAAAAUUAAUAUGCGGCAGCAGAUAAAAAAUUUCUCAUUAAUUUUUUUUUUUGAAAGAAACUACUGCAGUACAACUAAAAUUUGAAACAUCUACAUAAAUUUAGAAUUAUUUCUGUGAAAAAUAAAAAAACUAAGAUUGUGUUUGGUUGGGGGUUCAAGGGGGAUACGGGGGUUAUACCCCUUUAACUCCAAACAUGAAUUUUGGAGGGUGGGGUUAGCUAACCCAUUCCAAAUAGGUUAAAUACUCAUUAUUCUUUUUAUUCUAUUUUAUUUAUUCAAUCGUUUUUUUUUUAUUUUUGAAAAUAACUGAAUUCUUAUCCAAAUAUAAAAUUAAUAUAUUCCAGACUUAAUUCUGAAUUUAAUUCAAUCUCUAUAAUAAUUAAUUUUUACUUAACUUCCAACCAAAUGCAGCCUAAAUGUCUGCAUGCAAUUAGAAAUUAUUAGUGAUUUUAUUUGUGUAUGCUCUAAUAAAUAAAUAUAAAUAUUGUCCCUCGGGGCUAAAUAGCGGCGGCGUUAGAAACAGAAGUGAUAAUUAAGGGGGGCAAAAUCGUAAAUAAACUGCUCCCAAACCACGCACGUGACCGGGGGCUUUUUCGCUUUGUUGGGACUUUGGACGCACGUGACCGUGCUACAUCUCCGGACCAAUCCGUAUGGGGUGGUCGAUCCAACGGUCAAACUCCCACUCGAGUGGCAUCAAGAUUCUCGGCGGCCAUGAUGAACGGCCCAGAUGUCGUGCUGGCCCCGCGGCGUAUGAUAGGUUCGCUCGGUCCACUUUCUCCUUCCCCCUCCCCACCACUAUCCGCUGGUCGCUGUCCCAAAGAUCUCCCACUACGAUUCUUUUUAGAUGUACCUUUCCGUGGACCCGGUCUAUAGACCGUUACCUAAACGAAACAGUUAGUUUCCCUCGGUUCUGUCCAUGGACCGGGUGUAUCCAACUAUUCUCUCUUGUUUCUGGGUUCUUCUCUUUCCCUUUCCCUGCACCCAUUAUCCCGCGGAUAAAAGAGAACGAAGUCCCCAAAACCCACCUACCAUAAACCCGCAAAACCCUAACCCUGGCCCUACCCCGCCAUUAAAGGCCAUACGAAGGUACCGAUCCAAACAGCUCCGAACUCCCCCACACUCACUCCCCUUGUUAUAACGAGCCCUCGACGUUGAUCUCGCAACCCUAAUCGAAGUGAGGGAAAGGAGAAGAAAGAGGAGAAGAAGAGCUGAAGAACGUCGCCAAUGGCGAUUAGAGCGAAGAAAACGAGGCCUUAAUCACAGAUACCUGCGGCGAAGAAGAAGAAGAAGAAGAAGAAGAAUCUCCAAGAAUCGAGCUCGGAUUCGGGAUCGCCUACGAAAGUCGGCGGCGACUCCUCGCGAUCUCUCUUGCAACCGCUUCGUCUCCCCCGACUUCGUGCGUCCCGAGAAGAAGGGCGACAAAACGAAUACCAUAUCAUAAUUCGAGGUUGGGUUGGGGCCACUCCAAUGGGGUGGAGAGAGUAGAAACAGAUUUUUAUUUUUAUUUUUAUUCAUUUAUAUAUAUAAUAAUAAAAGUGUUGGUGGGGAUUAUUUAAUGCGAGAGUAUCUUUGAGAAAUCGUGGAAAAAUCGUAAUUUUUAUUCACCUUUGAUCGUUCUACGAAUAGAGAGAGGAGGGGUGGUUUUGUUCUUGCACAUCUCGUUUUGAGUGUUCUUUUUUAGCUCAAUUCACCCCUUUCAUUAAAAAAAAUUUCUUGGGUUACUUUUUGGGAGAUGUGAAGGGUUUUGCUUCUUUUGAGGAGUUUCCCGAGCCACGCCUUCAUCCAACCGACAUUACUGAGACUCGUAGUCUCUGUCACUCCUAAUUGUUUUAUCACCUCCUUUCGCGGAGACCGAUGGUGGGAAUGAUGCGGUGAUUAGGGUUUUGAGGGAGUUGGGG
Molecule: long non-coding RNA, 89517 nt
Filed under: Ananas comosus (pineapple)
Lineage: Eukaryota; Viridiplantae; Streptophyta; Magnoliopsida; Poales; Bromeliaceae
Description: long non-coding RNA (ACOM_LNC004482)
Source: RNAcentral